GAAGCUCGGGGCAGCCCUUGCUUUCGGGCGGCACCGCUCUCUCACGGCGGCGCUAGGGCUCCUCUCACCGGUCUAGAAAUGAUGCUGGGAGGGAGACCGACCGAACGGGACCGGUCCGGCGGCGAACGGAGGUCGGACGGCGGCGGGAGGACGGCCGGAAUUCUGCUGGGUGUAGAGAGAAGAAAAUCGGGUGAGAAGAGAAGAAAAAUCGGGAGGGAGGGAGAAGAGAAAGAAGAAGAAAUGGGUUGGGCUCGGCCCAGCCGACCCAACACCCCUUUUAACCCAUAAUUCCAAAAUUCAACACCCCGAAAAAUAAUACCCGAAUAAAAAUUACCGUUUACUAGCUAAAAUUUACUAUUUUUACCGUCGCCGUAUAAUCCCCAUACGAAUUAUCCUCCGCACAUAAUCGUCCCCGAAACCCCUCUAGGGACCAAUUAAACUAUUUACUCAAUGAUCGAGACGGUAAAAUUCUUAUUAUAAUCACGCUAGUAAAUAAGGUAAAAAUAUAAGGGUCGGGAUGUGACAACUAAAACUUUGAAGAGGUUACAAUCAAAUCAAGUAGUGAUAUACAACAUCAUCACUUUUAUAAGUUACAAUAACAAACUUGAUUUUACAACUGAUGAACUCUUCCAAAAUAACGAUGAAUUCUAAUUGAAGAACCUUUGCAGCUUCCUUCAAUUCCACUUCCAAUAACACUGAUCUCAGAUCAUACAAAUGAUAAAUGAUGCAGUGAACAAGUAUGAAUGAGUUUUAAAACAGUUUAGCAGUAAUAGACAAUAUCACAAUGCUCUUAUCAAAUAUGAAAAACUCAGUCAUUAACAGAUUGCUUCUUGGCAUAUAUAUAGUGUCAAAGCUCCCCCUCAAUCAGAUCCCAUUGAUCACUGAUUGAAACUGAGAGGGAAACAACUUUUCAAAACAGAUUUGUUAACCAAAAAUAAAAUCUGAAACAAUCCUAUUCAAAAAUAUUUGCAAAAGAUUUCCUAAAACUAUCUCACAGAUAUUUUAGUCAAUUUAAAACCAUAAAAGGACUGUGUCUUUUCUUUAAACAGAAUACCAAAAACAUGAUAUGAAUAUGCAUGAGAUGUAAUUACCUUAGAUGAUCUGAAAUCAGUGUUACUAUGGUAAAAACAACAGAUUGCUCUUCGAAACCCUUGCUUCUCUUUGCCGAACCAGGAAACCUUUACUUCUUGAUUCUUCUGCAGUCAUCCUUUCCUUUUUUGAAUUGAAUAUGACUGCCAUAUGCUUACACAUUGAUUUCGCUCUUUGCAACAGUUUUCAUUUCAAGCAAGGGGCAAUAUUUCUUUUACUGCGAAAUAGUCAUUUAUUACAUUUGAAGCUUGGAAAGAAAAGAGGAACGAACUGCAGCAAUGCGCGGGCAAUUUUUCUAAUAUAUAUUGGCAAGUCUUGUGGUCAUAUAAUGACCAAGAAGGCAAGAACCAUGUUCAUAAAAUCAUUCAAAUGUCUUAAUGUCACACUUUUCUAAUAAGCAUCAAGAAAUACUAGAGUGGUCAAAAAGUCAUACAUGUAUACCCCCCCACCCCCCCUUUUUUUUCUUUUGUUUCCCUUUACCUUGUCCUUUCUUUCUAGUCGUAUGUCGUUUACUUUGCCGAACUGUUGUUAUUUGAGAAUUGCAGGUAGAAUAUGUUUAUAUGUAUAUAUCAUGAUGAUAUAAAAGAGAAUAUAAUUUUUGUGUGCGUCUAAAAAGCUCUUGAAGUAUAGUUUCAUUUCACUUAAAUGUAACCAAGUUAUUAACGAUAAAUGUCAUUUGAACCGGCGGCCAAACUCCAAAGUCAGGAUAAAGUUUCGCAUUAACCUGCUAAGUCGGUGCCUUAGUGAUCUAUUCCUAAAAAAUGUACAUGGAUUGAAAGAUGGGCAUAAAUAGAUUGUAUUUACAUGAUUUCAAAUACAAGGUUGUAAUCAGCUGUUUUUCCCUUUUACUUUUUCUCUUUUCCUUUUCUCAUCAUUCCAACACACCCAGGACAGUCAUGCUACUGACUUUUCUUUGUUAGCUUCCUUUCUUUUCCCAUAUAAUUCUUAAAUAUUCUGAAUGGUAAAGAAAUUAUUGUAUAGGUCCACUUUUUUCUUCAAUAAUCUAUUGAAGAAGUAUAAUCUAAGUUUCUAAAUGAAGUCGUCCACGAGCAACGUUCACUUUCAUGCCUUAAUCAUUUCCUUGCUCGAAAAUAUAUUGCAUUGUUAUUCCUAAUGUUCACAUUAAUCUAGUUCAUCAUAUUGAUCAGAGACGACUCAACAACUUCAAUGUAUAUUAAAACAUUUAUGUUUCAUUUCUUACACAAAAAAAAAAAAAAAAAAUACAAAUAUGUUCUUCCAUGAAUAGAGACAGCAAUAUUAGAAAGAAUGAACACAAUGCCAUUUAAACACACACACAAACAAAAAACAAAACAAAAAAAGGAAAACUCAAACGCUGCACAAUUUAGAAAGAAAAAAGAACAGUUGUUGCUUGGAGAGAAUAUACUAGAGGCAAAGCCGCAAAGACGAAUUGGCAUCUUUAAUACAAUCAGCUUGAAACUUUCGANNNNNNNNNNNNNNNNNNNNNNNNNNNNNNNNNNNNNNNNNNNNNNNNNNNNNNNNNNNNNNNNNNNNNNNNNNNNNNNNNNNNNNNNNNNNNNNNNNNNNNNNNNNNNNNNNNNNNNNNNNNNNNNNNNNNNNNNNNNNNNNNNNNNNNNNNNNNNNNNNNNNNNNNNNNNNNNNNNNNNNNNNNNNNNNNNNNNNNNNNNNNNNNNNNNNNNNNNNNNNNNNNNNNNNNNNNNNNNNNNNNNNNNNNNNNNNNNNNNNNNNNNNNNNNNNNNNNNNNNNNNNNNNNNNNNNNNNNNNNNNNNNNNNNNNNNNNNNNNNNNNNNNNNNNNNNNNNNNNNNNNNNNNNNNNNNNNNNNNNNNNNNNNNNNNNNNNNNNNNNNNNNNNNNNNNNNNNNNNNNNNNNNNNNNNNNNNNNNNNNNNNNNNNNNNNNNNNNNNNNNNNNNNNNNNNNNNNNNNNNNNNNNNNNNNNNNNNNNNNNNNNNNNNNNNNNNNNNNNNNNNNNNNNNNNNNNNNNNNNNNNNNNNNNNNNNNNNNNNNNNNNNNNNNNNNNNNNNNNNNNNNNNNNNNNNNNNNNNNNNNNNNNNNNNNNNNNNCUAGAAUUCCAUUUUGGCCAGAAUUCCAUCUUUCACAUAUGUAACAACGUAACUAUAGUUAGUGUUAGUAAAUCAAUAACCUUUCUUUUUAAAAAAAAAAAAAUAAGUACUUUAAAUCCAUUAAUCAAUAAAUACUGAUUGCACUCUCUCCCCUCAUUUCUCUCCAUCACAAGAACCUGCAACUAUGUAUUGUGGCAACUCCACCACACUCAACAACCCCUAAAUCUCUCUCUUUUUUUUUUUUUUACUAAAAGAGAAAUUUUUAUUCACACAUCCUAAAUCACUUGAUACACAUCCCAAUUUUUUGGGUAAUUAUCUUUUCUCACACAUUACCCACUUUACCCUUAUUUUAUUGUAAGCCAAUAUCGUCUUCCUCGAGUCUCCAACACAGUUCAUCACCAUCGUCAUCUCACACUACAUUAUGUAUAAUCAUAUUUCAAUAAUUGAAAACAAGAAAGGAUGACGAAAGAGUCUAUAAAGAUGAUAAUUUGAAUUUCUUGGAGAGAUUUCAACCUUCUAGCUUUGUUGUCAGGCUAUGAAAAAGAAGAAACCCUAAGCUUCAAAACAAUAAUACAAUCGACCUCAUGUCAACUAUGUUUGAAGUUUUAAUAUUGAAAUUAUUUUUUAGGUGAUUCAGACAUUUAGUAGUUUGGUUUGGAGGCAACCCAAAUAGUUGACCUGCAUCUUAGUUUGUUAUUACAUAUGAUCCAAUUUUACAGUUGCAAUGUUAUAGAAGGUAAAUAUAUAGACUUUUAAGAUUAUGAUUAUGCUGGACACACGAUGAGAAUAACAAAAUCAAAGAAACGUUCAUCUUCUGGGUUUAAGGUUUAGAAUUGGACAAUUUUUUUUCUUUAUCUCAAAUUAGUUAUGAGAGUAAAGGUGUAAUUAAAAAACCUUUUAAAAAAAAGGAAUGUGCAUUUAGUGUUAGGGGAUGUGUGAAUAAAAUUUCUCUUACUAAGGGGGGUGUAUUGUAUAUGGAAUUAGUGGAAGUUUUAAAGAAGUCUAUGGAAUUUGAAAAUUUAGGUGUAUUCAAUACAGACUUUUAAAAAUCUAUCAAAGUCUGGGUGUAUUCAACUAGAUUUUAAAAAAUCAUUAUGAAUUCCAUCAAAGUUCAAAGGUAUUCAAUUAAGACUUUUUAAAAUGAAUAGAAGUUCAGAUGUAUUCAAAAUAUCAUUCAUACUUAUGGAAUUAAUAACUCAUGGAUAAUUGUGGACUUUGUAGUGUAAAUUACACACACCAAACUCCAAUAUUUUUCCAUCCACUAGAGCAAAGAUUUGGAAAAGUCUACGAUAGACUUUCUCUUUACAUGUGAAUAGGUUGAUCCUACAAUACAUCAUCUUUUUUUUCUUUUUAUAAUAUUUUGUGCUAUCAAUAUUCUAUUCUACCUAUUCUUUUCAAUGUUUUUUUAAUGUUAAUAUUUUGUUGUAUUUCAAUUGUAAUGCUUGUAACCCUCGAUAACCUAAAUGUUAUAUACUAACUCUUGAUAUUAGAACCACAUGAUCAUAUAUUAUUAUAUUAGCGUACAUGAAUUAAACUGUGAACAUCUAAUGUCCCACUUUAGAAUAUGUGUCUUUCGUUAACGUACAAGUAUGCAUGUUGUUAAGUUAAUAUAGUUUUUUUUUGUUACUUAUGUUUAUGUAUUUCAAUCAAAUAUUACAACGGUAUGCAUCGAAAUUAGAUAGAUGAGCACUAAACUUAUAAUCGGUGUCAUUAUGUGUUUGUUAUUGCAUCUUUAUUUUUCUUUUCCUUUUAUGUAACUCUGUAAGUAUUAAGAAAUCUACAUAAGUCAUGCAUAUGAAAUCUGUAGAUUUCAGAAAUCAGUUAAAAGUCUGUGAUUAAAAAAUCGAAUGGUUUUUAAGAAAUCAGUGAAAAGUCUAUGAACUUUUCAAAGAGUCUAUAGAACUUUUCAAAAAAGUCAAUUGAUUAAAAUAAGUCUGUAUGAAUCCAAAUACAAUACACCCUCUAAAAAUGAUAUAUUUUUUUUUUGAUCUGGCAUAUACCCGAAGGUAGAGGAGAGAUGAACAUCUGGAAUUGCAGAAAAAUAAAGAGAUAGAACAUAUGCAUUUGGGAUAGCAAAAAUGGAUAUAGAAUUUGGGUUUUCAAAGUUCAAAUUGAAAUAUUCGACCAAAAAAAAAAGUUCAAAUUGAAAUAUAGGUAUAUGAUAUUGAGGAGAAACUGAAUUGGGGAUUGAGGAGAUUUUUCUUGGUUCAAGUUGGAUUCUCAGAACUUACUGAUUCAAAUUUGCAGACUUGCAAUUGAGGUUGAGUUGCGGUGGUCAAGAGAGAGAAAAGAAAAAGAGAAUAUGAAGAUGAACAUCUAAAGGAUUCAAAUUUGCCCACUGCAGAGAGUAAAAGUUGCUGGGAAUUUUAUCUUGAUCUGGAACAGACCCGGAGGUAGAUGAGAGAUUUGGGAAGAUGAGAGAUUUGGGAGUUGCCGGCAAUGCAAAGUUGCAGGUUCUGGUGAUGGAGAGAAAUGAGGGGAGAGAGAGCAAUCAAUAUUAAUUGAUUAAUUAAUUUAAAAGCUAUUUUUUUAGAAAUGAAAAGUUACUGAUUUACUAACACUAACUAUAGUUAAGUUGUUUUCAUCAAAAAAAAAUUAUAGUUAAGUUGUUACACAUAUAGCAAGUUUUAAUUAGGUGGCUAUACUGUGACCAACUUAGUUGUGGUCGGCAAAUUUGAAUAUAGAAAAUUCUAGUAUACAGCGCGAUAUGAUAUACAGAUCCCACUAAAAGCCAAAAUAGCUGAUGUCAUCAAUAGCCUUUUCAAAAAAUGUAACCGGAGAACCUUCCCAACAAGUUUUACUUUUAGUAAAUAUAUUUUUCCUCUUAUCUCUUACCAUAUAAAAUUUUGACGGAGCGUAGUGGGUCUAUAUUUAUGAAUUUGUUUAUUUUGACAUUUUACAGUUGAAAUCUAUCCUCUAUACUCUAAGGUAAACAGUUAAUUUUUCAUUAUCAUAAUUUCGCUUCUUACUAGAACACAAUUGCUUUGCCAUCUGCAAAGAAACUAGAGAUGAAUUGCUAGAAGAACAGAAACAAUUGAUAAUCCUUAAAAAUUUUAGAUCAACACUUGAUAGAGAAGAUCCUAAUUAUUAGGAUAAUAUCUAUUUGGUUCAGAGAAAAAUCUAUAGAGUUCAAAAGAACAUUAAGGUUAUUAAAGAAAUUCUUGAAGUAUACCAAGAACUUUUAGAUUAUCUCAGAAUAGGGUAAGUUGGUCUCGAGCAGAUCACCUUGAACAUAUUUACACUUUGAGUAGAUUGAUUUAUUUCACCUCGAGCAGAUUUCACCUCGAAUAGAUUUCACCUCAAGCAGAUUAUCUCGAGCCAGAUUACUAGCAGAGUACUCUGAUAGAUUUACUGGUAUCAGAGCCUAGCCUUUAGCUGGUGCUCAAAAGAAAUCCCAAGAUGGGAACAGGAAUUGAACAAAUACUAGAAAAGCUUGAAUUUCUAGUACAACAAGUUGAUGCGAGGCAUCAAGAAUCUCUAGCAGAAGUGUCUAGACAUAUAGAAUAUCUAGAAGGAAUUCCAAAUAUAGUCUAUCAGCUGACUAAACUAGAAAGCAAAAUAGACUAUAUUCAAUCCCUUCCAGAAUAGAAAGAAGAACUACUGGCAAAAGUCAAUAGUAAGAUAGAAGAGCUUAACCAGCAACAGGUAAAAAUCUUAGAUUAUGUUCAAAACAUAGUUGGAGAACAUAAAAGGCUAAAAAAUGAGAGCCAAUCUAAGAUGAAUACCACAAAAACUCACGGAUUCAAAGCAUUGGAAGUUCCUCAAGGAAAUUCUUCACCAAGAACUUUCCUUUUUGAACUAACAAUGAGUCCAAGAGUUUUUGAAUCCUCAGAAACUCCAAAGCUUAAAGAUAUAAGAGAUAUGAAGAUGAUGAGCAUCUUUGGAAAGAAGAAAAGAGUACAACUGCUAAACUCCGAAGAAUUCGAAUACAAUGAAUUAGAAAGUAAUGUCAGGAAUUCAGCAAUUCCAAAAUUCGAAUUCAAUCAAAUUUAUAAAAGAGGAAAUUUUGAUUUGUUGGAUAGCCAUCAAUUCAAAAUUUUAGAGUUUACCACUCCAGGAACAACAGGAGAAACAGAUCUCCUCGUAGUAACACCUGAAGAGGUGGCUAAGGCUAGAAAAAGAAAUUAUAAAUUUAUGCACAUUGGAGCAGUCCAAGUAGGCAUAAAACUACUGACCAGAGAAGGAUUAAAUUGUUCAGUUCUAUGUGUUUUACAAGACAAUAGACUAAUAGAUUUUCAGAAAAGUUUGCUAGGAACUCUUCAAGCAUCUCUAUGCAAUCAAGUUGCAUACUUCAACUGCUUCCCAAACUUUUCAACAAGCUUGAAUGAUGCUGCUCACUGUUUAAGACUGAGAGUCAAAACAGAUGGCACAUCUAUGAAAGAAGGCAUUCCAGAACUUGCUAUAGUUUAUAGGAUUUACUAUAAACUAAUGAGUACAACGGUAGAGCCAAAAACCAGGCUAUCAAAUAUCUCUAGCCUUACUACUGGAUUCCUCACAAACCCAAGAAAUCAUUCAGAACAGAUUCAUAAGGUUACUUGGGAUGAGGUAACGUUUCCACUAGAGUGGAAAUUCUCUAGCCCUAAAGAAAAGCCAGAAAGUGCGAGGGCAGCUAUUUAUGAAAACAGGAGAACGGGAGACGUGAAUCUCAAGUUCGAAGGACAUAGGAGAAGUGAUGCAACCCUCGAAUGUCUAAGAAAUGACAACUCAAGAUUACUUAGGAGAUGCAACACUUCUAGAGAAGGAAGUACUUCUAGAGAUUUAAGUACUUCUAGAAGUACUAGAAUUAUAAUUAAUGAUGAAUCUAUUCCAGUAGUGGAAGAAGAUUUAGAAGAACUUCACAGAGAAGUAAACAUGCUAAAAUCAGAAGGACUUUAUGAGCUUUCUGAUGAAGCAGACAACUGUAAAGAUCCCGCUCAUCUAGAGCAACUGAUUGAAGAAAUAAAAAAUUUUAAUCUUGAAAAAAGAAGAAAAGUCGAAAAAAAAGUCUUUCCUUACCACGAUGUCAAAAUGAAAGAUGGAGAAAGCUCCUCAAGACAUCCACAGACUGCCAUUAUCAAAAUUGGUAGAGAUACAAAACCUCUUGAAAGAAAAGAGCCUACAGGAAAGAGAGAUGACAGAAACUCUCAAAGAUUUGUCCCAGAACUAAGCAUACCAAAAAUACCAAUAUCACAGCAUGGUAACUGGUUAGAUCUGGAAAAGGCUCUAGAUAAGAAGAAAGCCAUAGAUGACUGGGUCAAUGCAAUGUUUAUGGCAGCUUGUACAACUUAUGGAAAGUUUGAGGCACAAGACCUACAAACAGUCUAUCAAGCUACUCUUACAGGAAUGACAAAGAAAUUUUAUCUUGCUUGGAAAGAAACCCAAAGGGGUAGAGUAUGACUAGAAACCAUAAAAGAUGAUAAAUCUCCAACAACCUUUGCUACACCAAUCUAUAAGCAAUUUUGUGGAGAUAUAUCAUUUGUUGGUGAUAAAGCUAGAGAAACAGCCAGAACCAACAUAUAUGCUUUCAAGAUAUGCAACAUGGCUUAUUUUGAAGAAUAUUUGAAUGAGUUUCAAGAUUACUGCACCAUAGGAGAUAUGGAGAAUAUAGAUUUGAUAUAUCUUCUAUAUAGGAAACUCUCAAAGCCGUGGAGGACGGCUGUAAAAAAGAGCAUAGAUGUCAAACCUCUAGAAAGACUCUCAGUUGGUGGAGUAGCAAAAAGAAUUAGAGAGUUGAUGAGGGCACAGUGCAAAGCAAACAUAAGAGCUAAAGUUGCAAAGAAACAGCUUAAACGAGCUGAUAAUUUUUGUACUAAACUCCUAGAGGUUCCUUCCAAUUGGGGUUGUAAAGAACCAGAUCAACACAAAAGGAGGAGAAAAGAAAAGAAAUUUCACAAACGUUUCGGAGGAAACAAGAAGAGAAAUUGGAAUUUCAAGAAAAGUUCUAACUACAAAAGGGAGAAGCAUAAUCCUAAAAAGUGAUUUUUCAAAAAGAAAAAAUCAUCGCAUGGAAAAUCAACUUCUCAGGAGUCUGAAAAGAAGAAAACAUGCAGAUGUUGGUUAUGCAAAGUAGAAGGACAUUAUGCUAAUGAGUGUCCUAAGAAAUAAAAAAGAACUUCAAAAGCUCUUUUUAAAGAAUAUGAAGAGGUCAUGGAGAUGGCCAACAUGAAGGGAUUUGAAGUAGUUUACUCUGAGGAAGAAGACAACAUGUCUGUCUACUCAGCAUGGUCAGAAGAAGAUUCUUUAGAAGAAUCUGAAUAUGAUUCAGAAGAAGAUUGUAAACCUAGAGAGGUUUACCUUCUUGAAGUCAAAAACUGGGAAGAAAACACUACAGAAGAAAUAGUUUCUUCUUAUAGUGUAAAACCAGGAACAUUUACCUGUGAUUUUUGUUUGUCUUGAAAAGGAUGGUCUUCCCAUAUCAUGUGAAAAGUUAGGAAAAACUUAUCACAAAGAAUGCUUCAUAGCUGAAGCAAGAACGAAAACAAAAAAUAGUUCAAUAAGUCAGCUUGUUGAACAAGAAUAUGAAGAUUACUUUCUAUGAGAUAGAAGAAAGAAAAGAAAUAUUGAGAACAGAAAUUCAAAGAAUUAAACUUGAAAGAAUGGAAUUUGAUAAAACCUUAGAGGAGGUAAUAUCAUUCGAUACAACUUCAGACAGACCACCAUCAUUAAGUAAUGUCCACAAAAAUUGGCACAGUCAAUUCAUGAUGCUAAACUUGACGUUGAAAUCCACAUAAAUAGAACACAUUCCUUAAGCAUUGACAGAAUUUAUAUCUCUAGCCAUGCUACUUAUUCGGGUGCAACCACGACCCCAAGUGCAACAAUUAAAAGCACACGGCUUACUUUAGCCAUUCCACAAGAAUGAUUCUAAAUGCCAAAACCUUUGGACCCGACAAACCCACUUUUAUUUUUUUUUCUACCUCCAAUAAUAUAUUAAUCUGAUAGAAGAAUACAAACUGAAAAUCAGAUAUGCUCAAUUCUCCUACACCUCCCAGGCGCCACGACUUCCCACAAAAAAGACUCUUCGAUAACCGAGCUUGCAGCACCAAGUUAACCAUCGAAUAUAUUAAAUUUUUUUCCAUAAUAUGCCCACUACUACACAUUUUGGUUCACCAUCCAACGAAAACUAUAAAUUCAAGGAAGAAUCAAGACUCAUGGCCAAUCUUUGUGCAAGUUCCAGAAUAAAUAACUUAAAAUUCAUGAAAGUCAAGUCCCACAACUUCGAGCUCAAAAGCUCCACAAAUCACCGACGUCCACUAGAACCUGUUUCAAAAACGCACUAGAAACCAACAUUUAAUAGUGGUUUCAACUAAUCACCCUGACACCAACGGAUGAACACACCACCAAAUAGUGAAGACCUCCCAAAUUAAACUUGGAUCAAUAAGCGGUCCCUCCACAAUACGAUCCUGAGAAGAGACGUCGUUCAACCUAUCCAUACAUCUACCAUUCACCAUAUUAAAUCUCUUAAUAAACCUUGACUCGAAAUGCUUCUUGAGUCAACAGGGAAAAACCCUCUUCCAUAAGGCUACAACAUAUCUACAACGACACAAACCAUCUAAUCAACAUAACAACACGACUUCCAGUCUACUACAAAGAAUUUACGGCUCCAUGGUUCGUCGCUUAAUCGAACCCAGAUUCACUUAGGAACACCACUAAAUUUAUCAAUGAUCCAUGGCUACAACACAACAAUCAAUUCUUCAUUUGCCUCAAAAAAAAAAAAAAAAACUUUCGACAAAAUAACCAGAAUCUCUAUCCUUCAAAUCGAAGAAUUUGGAAUUCGCACUCUAUAAUUUCAAGCUCUGAGGAUGCUACCCAAAAACAAUAGUAGGAAUAAUUUAUAUAUUCCCACACACACCACAACCAAAACUUUGCUCCAUCUCACCGAAUUAGAAAUAAGGUGAGAACAAAUCCUCCCAUUGUUGUGUUGUAGUUAGUCACCCAUUGCGAACGAAGUGAUGUUAGCAAACAAACUUCGAUCUCAAAUUCAAAACUUACAUCACUACUCGAAACAAUGCAGCUUGAAAUUACUAUGGACACCCACGCACUCUUGCUCCAUAAUUCAGUGGGCUUUAUUCCACUGCUACCACUUCCACCAGCUCCACACAACUGCUAUAGAAUACCCAUGACAACACGUAAUAAAUUCACCAGGUGUUGUCGUAAAACUGGAGUGACCACAACCAUCCUGCUCUCACUCCACCAUUACUUUUCAAUUCCAUUUAAAUUUAUCAUCUUCCCAAACACUCAACAAAUCUGGAAACCACACUUCAACACCUAGAAUUCCGAAAGAAUCCAUAAUGGUCCCACGAUUAAAAUCAUACAACUAACAUCUCAUUCCACGACUCCAAAUUUGCUUGAAACUCAAAACAUUUAGUGCCACCACUCAAAUUCUAAAAUUUCCCGACUGUGGCACAACAACAAGUUGUCACAACGCACUGACCAAUGACUUUUGUAAAACCAACAACCCAAGGAAAAGCAACCCAAGUCAUUUCACUUAGUGCUUUAACAAACUUCAACUAACCCACAAUAGAGACCAAAAUCAUCAGAAAUCUUAUUAUUCAUCGACUACUAUUAUCCGUCAUAUCCAAAAGAUAUUACCACCACCAUCUUAAUAAAUUGCUCAAAAGAUAAAAACUUAUCCAUAAUUAGAGUUGUAGGAACCAGAAUAUGUGCUGACAUAACCAGCAUUAUCCCAAAAUGUUUCCAACUGCUUUCUGUUGCGGAUAAAAAUAGUCGGCAAAUUGGCCUUCAAUCAUGACUUAUCUAAAUUGACAUUUAGCUUUUUAUGUAGCAAUGCCUUACAACGCAAUCACUAGCCAAAAAUCCCACGUGACUAAAUCGCUCAAGCUUAAGGUCCGCAACAACUCAUAAAGGUACCUCCAAGAGUUACUAUAGGUACCCCACCAUAACACUUCAACUAACUUAAACAUCAAAAGAAUACACCACUACUUCGAACUUUCUUUCCAACUAUUUUCUCCCAUAAAUCACUUAACAUGAUGUCAAGAUUUUCUAUCGGACUACUACGACUGCUUACUUGCCCAUCAUAAAUAGAAAACUCCCAGGGCAUAAAUUCAAACAUUUCACUUACCACAGAUUCGCACAAAAUGCCCAACCUAGCAUCUUAAUCAUCAGCCAAACAAACAUUGAUCAAAAGAAAAGAAUGCUGCCACGCUUAUGAGUUCCCAACUCGCAAUUGAACUCUAACAAUUUAUGAUAUCAACUUGAUAACUCUUGGAAAAAGGCAUAAUCCAUACACUUUUUCAAUACUCAAAGCAUAAUGAUUUACUUAAGAGGUCGGUGUACGAAGGCAUAGUCUUAGAGAUGUAGGACAUUUAUGGCACACUACAGUCCAUAAAUAAAAUAAGAACAACUACAUCACAAACUUAAUCAACACAAAGUGUCUAAAGCAUAUAAUGCUAAUCGAUCCGCCGCGGUCGGACCAUCACUCUAUAGACACUAAGCAUGACCAAGAAUAUGAGGUAGUGCUAAAAAAAAGGGAAAAGAAUCGAAUAACCUAAUGCUCUGAUACUAACUGUCAGGACCCACCCCGAAUUUCACCCUGAAACCCGAAGUAAAUCUUGCGGGGACAACCUCUAUGGAAAGUUUACCGAAAAUUCGGCAUAACCUUCCUUCAAAAUGGACAACCCUUCCUAAUAAUACCUGAGAGGUGACAGGAGAAACAAUUUGCAAAGAAGAAACGUGCAAUCCUUUUACAGAGGUAAAAGAAGAUCUCCCACACCAAAAUAUACGUCAAGUAAAGACAGUCUCUACAAGCAGAUUCAGUAAUUAUAUGGAAAUUGGAUUAAAAUUUCCAAAAUACAAGAAAUAUCAUCUACAUGCAUUUAUAGAUAUUGGAUAUGGAUUCAGCUUAGCAAAGAAGUUUGCUAUACCAGAAAAAUAUUAGACAGAAGAUCCAAGAAAAAGUGUCGUUGGAAGAAUCAUAGAAGGAAGGCACAUUCUCAUGAAUACAAUUGCUAAGAAGGUUAAAAUCACCAUCAGAGGUGGAGAUUUUAUCAUUGAGGAACUUUGGCAAUCAGAAAAUCAAGAUGCUGAUAUACUGUUAGGAAAUGAGUUCAUCCUACAACAAACCUUCAUACAAAAGACACCCCUAAACCUAAAAGGUUUUGAAAAGGGCGAAAAAAUCUUCUGGACAAAGCGACUAAAACACUCUAGAAGCGUAGUUGGUCCCGGAUUCACAUCACAAUAUCAGAAGUCGUAGCAAAAUCAUGGUGAUCUUUAUAAGCCAAAAUUUGAAGAAAUCUUACAAUAUAAGCAGUACAGGCUGCAAGAAGAAGUACUUCAAAAUGAAGAAUUUUCAAAAGAAGAAGAAGAAGAAGACGAAGAAGAGAUCAAUGAAGAAAUCAGUUUCGUCCAAUAACAUAAUCUCAAAUAUUUUGAAACCAAGCUGGAGCAGCAGAAAAAGCAUACCCUUGGUGAAAUUAAGGAUAUGCUAAAACAAAACAUUAAUAUAAACCCAUUGAGGUUUAGGAAAAAGACUCAGUGGUCUGUGAAUUAAAACUUCAUGACAUGAAUGCCAUCUGUCAUGUAAAAGCAAUCCCUCAAUACAAAGAAGAAGAUCAGAAAUAAUUCAGAAAAGAUAUAGCUGAUCUCUUGGAAAAAGGGUUGAUAAGACCAUCAAACAGUCCUCAUCAUGCUCCUGCUUUCUAUGUCAGGAAUCAUGCUGAACAAGUAUGAGGUAAAGCAAGAAUGGUGAUUGAUUACAGAGAUGUUAACAAAAAGACUGUUAAGAAUGGCUAUCAAAUAGCACAGGCAAGAGUGCUGAUUAAUAGGCUCAAAGGAGCAAAAGUUUUCUUAAAAUUUGAUGCAAAAUCCGGAUUUUGGCAAGUUAAAAUGCACCCAGGUAGCAUCCCUCUUACUGCCUUCGGAACUCCACAAGGACAUUACGAAUGGUUAGUAAUGCCAUUUGGCUUGAAAUAAGCUCCAUCAAUUUUUCAAACAAAGAUGGAUAAUAUUUUCAAACAUGUGGCCGAUUUUUGUGUUGUCUAUAUUGAUGAUAUAUUGGUGUUCUCCAAAACCAAAGAAGACACUACCAGAAGAAAGACUUUAGCCGACGAAAAAAAAAAACCAGGCCGACGAAUCAAUUUUUCGUCGGCUAAAGCAGACUUUAGCCGACGAAAUUUUCCUUCGUCGGUUAAUUUUUAUUUUCGUCGGCUAUAGUCAACUUUAGCCGACGAAAUAAAAAAUUCGUCGGUUAAAGAAUUUAUUUUCGUCGGCUAAAAUCACAUUUCGUCGGCUAAAGAAUUUAUUUUUGUCGGCUAUAGCCGACGACUUUAAACAUUCUUUAGCCGACGAAAAUAAAUUUCGUCGGCUAAAGUUCUUUAUAUUCGCAGAUUUGGACAACAGCUCAUUUGAGAAAAAAAAACAGGAGAAGAAAAAACGGGAGAAAGAGUUUGGGUGUUGUUGAAAUCUGUCCAUAAUUAAGAAGUGGAGCUAUAUAUAGGUACGUACAUGUGUAUAUAUGUUGAUUUUGAGUUUUAUUUGAGUUUAUCGAUUUUGAGUGUGAUUGAAUUGAUAGAUUUUGAGUACGUUGGAUGUAUAUAUAUAUAUGUGUGUUGAUCGAUUUGGUUGAUGAUUUGAUAAUAUAUAUGAAGUUGUUGUUAAUAAGUAGUAGAUAUAUAUAUAUAUAUGUUAAUUAAUUUAUAAUAUUGUGUUGAUGAUGAUUUUGUGAUGAUGUUGAUAUAUAUAAAUUGUUAUGUAAUUCUUAAUUAAGUAUAUCUAUAUAUAUAUGUGUGUUAAUUAAUUUGUUAUCAAUUAGUUGUAGUACGUAGAAUAUAUAUAUAUAAAUGAAUUGAAAUUUUAUAUAUGGUAUAGAAUUUAAUUAAUAAUUAGCUAGCGUUAUACAUAUAUAUUUUGUUAUAUUUUCAGGAUCGGAUAUGGAUAAGAGUUGGAUUUCGCUUCCAAAAUAGGACAAAAGAUAUGGUAAAGGAAUUAUGAGUUUUCUGGAAUAUGCGCUGGCUAAUGCUAACGGGAAUACAAUUUUCUAUUGCCCGUGCAUGAAAUGUCAAUGUCGCAACGAUAUGCAUCGAUUUGCGAUUGACAAAGUAUGGCAGCACCUGAAGAGUAACGGGUUUUGGGAGAAGUACACAUGUUGGUUAUAUCACGGUGAAAUAUCAUCUGGGGGUCCGCAUGAUCAUGGCCAAUUUUCUGAGACGGGCAGUACAUCCAACGAUCCAACAACGGUCUUCAUCAACGACAUGUUUCCUUAUGAGAGCGGUGUAUGCACUCAAGGACAGUAUAUGCUUGACCCGGUGCAGCCAUUCCCUAGAGCUGUCAACACUGCUGGUAUUGACAAGUACAACAAACUGCUUGCUUUCCAACAGACCCUUGUAUACCCCGGUUGUCAGAAGACCAUUCUUGAAAGUGUGAUAGACGUAAUGAAGAUUAAAGUUGAGACAAAAUCGACUGUGAAAGCUGUUAAUGAUUAUCUACAGUACACUAUUUCGAUGCUGCCUCACGGUCAUCGUCUUCCUACCACUCAUCAUAAGGUCCGAUGUAUCCUGAAAGAUCUUGGGCUUUCCUACAUCAAGAUCCAUGCAUGUAGAUAUGACUGCGUUCUCUUUUGGGGUAAAGAUCCAGAAGGGAAUGACCUUGGUGGCCUUGACGCAUGUCCGGUAUGUCACACUGACAGGUAUAAGCUGACUCCUGCAGGCAACAGGAAACCUGUAAAGGUACUUCGGUAUUUCCCUUUGAGGGAUAGGUUGGAGCGGUUGUACAUGUCUUCACACACGGCCGAAGCUAUGAGAUGGCAUGCUGAUAGGGAAUUGCAUGACUAAGAUACCCUUAUACACCCUGCUGACAGGGAGGCUUGGAAGCAUAUAGACAGGGAGUUUCCUCAUUUUGCGUCAGAGGUCCGAAAUGUGAGGCUCGAGCUCUCAUCCGACGGGUUCAACCUUUUUGGCAACAUGAGUCUUCAAUAUACUGUAUGGUCGGUGAUUUUGGUACCGUACAACCUUCCUCCAUGGAUGUGCAUGAAGAAGGAAUACAAUAUGUUAAGUUUGUUGAUUCCGGGGCCCAGUUAUCCAGGAAAGUGUCUCGAUGUGUAUUUGAGACCUUUGAUUGAAGAGCUUAAAUUUUUGUGGGACGUUGGUCAUCCCACUUAUGACAAGUACAUGCACAAGAUGUUCCAGAUGCAUGUCAUGGUUGUUGGUACCAUCAAUGAUUUUCCUGCCCGUGGGAUGUUGUCGGGCAACGUUGUUAGGGGAUACAGGGCUUGUCCAGAGUGCCUUAGCGAUGAGGGGAGCAGCAGUCAUUGCAACAAGAUAUGCAAAUUGGGUCACCGUACUCUCCUUCCAUAUGAUCACGAAUGGCGGCUCGAUGCACAGGCAUUUGAUGGGAUCAUAGAAAACGGUGUGCCUCCCAGAAAAUAGGCAUUUGAUGGGAUCAUAGAAAACUGUGUGCCUCCCAGAAAAUGGACGGGGGAAGAAAUUUUAGCAGUGCUUAAUGAGUACGAUUUUGGGCAGCUCAACAAUCAUCCCAACAUUGUGGCGGCAAUACCUGAAAGACCCGACAGGUACAAAUUCGGGUUUUUUUAAUUUACUGGAAUGGACUUAUAGCCGACGAAAAACGCCUUAAUUCGUCGGCUAAAGUUUUUUUUUUUUUUUUAAAAUAAAUUUUAGCCGACGAAAUACGCUUUAAUUCGUCGGCUAAAUCCCUAUAAAGCCGACAAAAUAAACUAUUUUCGUCAGCUUUAGUUAUUUUUUAUUUUUUUAUUACAAACUUUAGCCAACGAAUAUUUUAAAUUGUUCGUCGGCUAAAGUUGGAGAAAAAACCGACGACAUGUCUUUCAUCGGCUAAACUCUAGGACUAUAGCCGACGAAUACCUUAAAUAUUUCGUCGGCUAAAGUCUGGGAAGAUAACCGACGACAUUUUUUUCGUCGGCUAAACUCUGGUCUAUAGCCGACGACUUCUACAUGUGUUGUCGGCUAAAGUCACCACAGACGACAUUUUCCCAACGAAAUCUUAACCGACGAAUUAAGCUGACAAGCCGACGAAAAUUUUUCGUCGGCUAAAGUGCUUGUCCUGGUAGUGAGAACACAUGAAACAUUUAUAUGAGGUAGUUAAGCUGAUAGUUCAGCAUGGAAUUAUCCUAGGAGAAAAGAAAGUCUUUUUAGUCCUAGAUGAGAUUGAUUUUUUAGGAUUAAACAUAAAAAAUGGAGUCAUCAAGCUCCAACCUCAUAUCCUGGAGGAAAUCUGGAAAUUCCCAGAUAAAAUUCCAUAUACCAAAAGUCUACAGAGAUUUUUAGGUGUCAUAAAUUAUGGAAGAGAUUUCCUUCCUAAAAUUGUUGGAUUAACAGCAAUGUUGUCUCCAAAAACAAGUUCUAAGAGAACUUGGAAAUCACAGAAGAUGAUGAAAAGAUUGUCAGGCAAAUUAAAAACCUACGUAAAAAUUUGCCACCAUUUCAUCAACCUGAAGAAAAUGAUGAGAUCAUUCUUCAAAUAGAUGCUAGUGACAAUUUUUGGUUUGGUGUUGUUCUCGCAAGAACUCCAGGCACCAACACAGAAAAAAUCUUAAAGUUUUGUAAUGGCAAGUUCAGCCCUACAGAGCAGAAUUAUCCCACAGGGGAAAAGGAAAUUCUUGCGGUAAAGAAAACAAUUGAAAAUUCUCUCACCUUUUUAGGAAAACCAUUUAUUGUGCGCACAGAUUGCGCAAGAGUUAAGAAUUUUAAAAAUUUCAAGCUUGAUAGGGCUGUUGAUAGGGGUAGAUUAGCAAACUGGCAAUUAUUUUUUAAUGAAUAUGAUUAUAAUGUGGAAUUAAUUGCAGGUAAAAAAAAUUAUCUUCAUGACGCCUUAAUUAGAGAAUUGGCAAUGUCCAGCAGAAGUGAAGGAAGCGACGAAAGUCGUAAUCCUAGAAACAGAAGACCAGGAAAAGAACUAGAACAACCAGAAGAAAUCAAAAGAGUUCUUAAGAGUUUCUUGUUGUGUCCUAAAAGACCAGGCACAACUGAUCAAUCCCAAGGUAAAGGAUUGGCUAGCCCGUCUUAAACGGCAGACGGUAAAGGCUUAACAAGACCGUUGAUGGCUGCUGCUUUGCCAAAAAGCAGACUUACUCCUAAGAGAGUCCUAAAUGUUCAUGGUUACCAAUUAAAUACUUUCCUGAACCAAUUUUUCGUUGUGGCAAAAAAUUAGUUUUCUACCAGAAAGCCUUGCUCGAUAAUUUAAUGUUUGCUUUUCAGGAAAAUGAUUUAGGACUCAUGAUACAAUCGCUUCAAGCUCUGUCAGAAGAAUUGCAUGAAGCGCACCAAGGGAAUAAACAACAGAGUGUUGUCCCAGUGAAUUUUUUCAAGGUAAAAUACCUUGAAGGUCCAGAAAGUGCUAGAGUUCCUGUUCUAGCGUUGAAAGAAUCAGAGUGGUUUAAAUUUCAUGAUAGCAUUGGAAUUCUUGUGACCGAGUCCUGCCAGAAACACUUUUUACUGUCCCAGGACCAUAUCCAGGAAGAUAUGUUGUGAAUGUUAAGAGUAAACAUCCUCAAGAACAUAAGCUUUGGCUAGUUGAAAAUGGCUUUGUUCAUAAUAUGUGGACAAAAUCAAAUGAUGAUCUAUAAGGAUUGCCAGCCAUUAUUGUCAAUACAGUUAAGAAUGUUAGAAAGUCAAACUUCAUUCUCAGGCUUAAGUUUAGAUCCACACCUCCUGAGUGGGUGCAGAAGAAAAAUGGAGAAACAGAAUACAUAUCUCCAUACCACUAUGUAAGAAUUAUCCAAGGGCAAUACUUAGAGCCUGCUUGUCAGGGAUACAAUGGGUAACCUAACUCUAGUAUCCCAUGGAAGAAAGCCAUGUCCCUAGAAUAUAUCAAGAAAAUCAUCGAGGAUGAUCAAGAGAAUACUUAUCUUGUAUUUGGAGAAAAAAUAAUUGUUACCGCCUAUGACCAUCCUGAGGUCGUUAGCAGUGAUUUAUUUUUAUCUCUCAAGAAAAGAGAAAUUGAUUCCACCUUAGUAUGUGCUCAGUGGAUUGAAAAGAUUGAAAAUGACAAGCACUACAAGGUGUAUGAAGAUACCGACAUGGAAGAAAAUGAAAGAAAUGCAAGAAGCAGAUAUGAAGAUCCUGUAUUGGGCAAUAAUUCUGAAGAUUUCGAAGACAUGUGAUCUUUUUCUUAUCAAGAAGGAAUCUGCUUUAGUUAGUGAAUGAAUAAUGGAGCUGCCAGCUAGUGGAAGACUAUUAAAAUGCCAGCUAAUGGCAGAAUAAUGGAGCUGUCUUUUACUGUUUUUAAGUUGCAUUUCAAUUCCAAUUUGAGUUCCGCUGCCUAUAUAAGGAACCUUAAGUCUUAGUGUAGAGAGAUCAAAAAAUUGAGCAGAAUCAUUUUCUCUCAAAAAGUAAGAAAGUCUUAGCAAUGUGUUCUUUCUAGUUCGAGUGAGUGUGAAGUGUGGUGUGCAGUGUGCCUUUUAUUCCAAGUAAGUGUUUGUAAUCCUAAGUUAUGAGUAACUAAAAAGUGAGGCUCUGGGUUUCAAUCUGUAUUUAUGCUUGGAUAAAUAAAUUCUACUUGGUGCCCAAUAUCCCGUCGCAAAAAUAUUUUUUAUUAUUCUGUUAUAUUUCUGCAUUUUCCCUGUUAAGUUAAUAUUAUCUCUGCAUUUUAAUUAAAACCAUUUCUAUUUAGACAGCAGUGAUUCCGCCAUAUUUAGUAACCAGGUCGACCAUAGGUCUUUAGGUGAAUUUUUGGCAUGUUGAAUGCUAGUUCUUUCUAGGAGUGUUUUUAGUUAUUUACAAGUAAUAGUAACCUUGUAGUAAAAAAACCUGUUGUACAAAUUUCUAUUAGGUCAUCUUUUGCCACUUGUUAUACAUAUAUUAUAAAAUAAUAGAAAAGCAGUCUGCAUCCCAUGCAGCGCUGCACUAUAAACAUACCCAUUUAUAUAAAGUAAACCAUGCUGUCAUGAGACAAUGGAUUAGCUUCAGUGACGGAGGAUAGUUAUAGGGUCUCUGGGCUACAGCCCAGAUAGUUUUAAUUGAUUUUAAUAGUUAGGCUUAUAACUCAGCUGAUGAACAUGUAAAAAAUAUAAAUGUUAUGCUUUGUAGCCCACCCAAUUCCCAUAAAUUGUAUUUAGCUACAUAACUAAUUAACCAGAAAAAUGAAAAAUAAAAUAAAAUCUAGUGGAAUUCAUAAUAGUUUAUAGUUUUGAAUUAGGUAAUUUUCUUUUUCUUGUUACACUUCUCAUUACAAACCUUUUUUUCUUUCCUUUUUUUCAUGUAUGAAGGAUAUAAAUUCACUAUUUAAUCUACUUUUAUUUAUUAUCAUAUUUUUAUCAUAUAAAAGAAAAUUUUAACCCAGCCUAAAUUGAAAUCUUGGCUCCGUCCCUGAUUAGCUUAUUAGCGCUUCUAACUUAGUAAAGUACGAAAUGAAUGAAUAAGAGACGAUGUCUAACUUUGCGACCUGGUUUAUAAAAUUAGUGAUCUCAUUGAUAUGACCUGUUCAAACUAAACAUACCAUUCCCCACCAAGGCCCCAAGACACCCAAUGCAGGACAAAGAAAAGCGUCUACAAUUAUCUAAUCUUUUAUAAACCAUGCGUUGCCAGAUGAUGAUUGAACCAGACCAAAGAUAACAACACAAAAUACUACUUAUUAUGAAUUGUUGAAAGACAAGAGGAGAAAAAAAUGCAGUCACCUUGCCUGAAAGAGGUCACAGAAGUAUGCAUCAGCGGCUGCUGCUCCUCCUGCUCCUCCCCCUUAUUCAAGUCUACAGCGUCUCACCACACCACCUCAAAGUCUGAAAGAACUUCUUCGGCUUGCCAUCGUGACUUUGCAGCCAAAACUUCAUCAUUUAUCUUCCCAAACACCCAGUUCACCAACCAUGAGUCUAUUCCAUCCUUGCAGAAGUCCUUCUCUGACUUCACCAAGGCUUAUCCCAGAUACUAUGAGACAGCAGAAGUGGACCAAAUACGAGCUCAGGAGUACUACCAUCUCUCACAAUCCAAUCACACCUGCCUUGAUUAUAUAGGCAUCGGUCUAUUCUCCUCUUUCCAGCUGCACAAACAGGAAUCAUCAAAACAAAUGGUACCCUCUUCAUCCACUUCUCUAUUGCCAUCACCUCCAAAAAAUUCAGAUUACCCUUUCUUUAGUAUAUCCUACAAGACUGGGAAUCUCAAGAUGGAGCUUCUUCAUGGCGGCCAUGAAUCAGAGCUGGAAUCUGCAAUGAGAAGAAGAAUCAUGAGUUUUCUUAACAUUUCAGAAAACGAUUACAGCAUGGUUUUCACUGCCAACAGAACUUCAGCUUUCAAACUUGUUGCAGAAUCUUACCCGUACAAAACUAGUAGAAAGCUUCUGUCAGUUUAUGACUAUGAGAGUGAGGCAGUGGAAUCAAUGAUUAACAGCUCGGAAAAGAGAGGCGCCCAAGUCAUGUCAGCUGAGUUUUCAUGGCCAAGGCUGAGGAUUCAGUCGGAAAAAUUGAGGAAGAUGAUAGGAAGUAAGAAGAAGAAAAAGAAAAGAGGGCUUUUUGUCUUCCCAGUACAUUCCAGAGUUACAGGUUCUAGAUAUCCUUACAUAUGGAUGACUAUAGCACAGGAGAAUGGGUGGCAUGUCUUAGUUGAUGUUUGUGCCUUAGGACCAAAGGAUAUGGACAGCUUUGGCCUCUCUCUUUUUCAACCAGAUUUCCUCAUUUCUUCUUUCUACAAGGUGUAUGGGGAAAACCCAUCUGGCUUUGCAUGCCUCUUUGUCAAGAAAUCUGCUAUUGCGGUCCUGGAAGCAUCUAUGAGUACAGGAAUUGUAAACCUUGUCCCAGCACAUGAAUUUCUUCAAACAGGAGGGGAGUCCUCUGGUACCGACAUAGAAGUUGAAGAGAUAUCUAAAUUUCGUUUGCAACAAGAUAUAUUGGAUAUAUCACGUUCUUUCUCUGGUCUGAUAACAAAACACAGUCGGCAGGGAACACCUGCGAAGAGAUUAGAACAAGGAGAACUCUCUGACAGUGCAGAAGAAGGUGCAUACUCAGAAGAACUGGAAAUUUCAGGAGAAUCCGAAAGGCUUGCCAAGAGUAGCAAAAAUGGGAAUCAAGAGGUUGUAUGCAGGAGCUUGGAUCAAGUGGAUUCGCUGGGGCUAACACUGAUCACUAACAGGGCAAGGUACCUGAUCAAUUGGUUGGUAAGUUCAUUGAGAAAGCUUAAGCAUCCUAACUCAGAGGGAGUUCCUUUGGUCAAAAUAUACGGACCAAAGAUCAAAUAUGACAGGGGACCAGCUCUUGCAUUCAAUAUAUUUGACUGGAAGGGAGAAAAAUUUGAGCCUGUUCUUGUCCAGAAACUUGCCGAUAGAAACAACAUUUCUCUUAGCUACGGAUUCUUACACCAUAUCUGGUUCUCAGAUAAGUAUGCUGAAGAGAAAGGAAGAGUCCUAGAGAGAAGAGAUAAUGGAGCAAAGGAAAUGGCUGCAAACAAGUUAAAGACAAAAUCUGGUCCAGGAAUAAGUGUGGUUACAGCUGCACUUGGGUUCCUAACAAAUUUUGAAGACACAUACAGGCUUUGGGCUUUUGUUGCACAGUUCCUAGACGCAGAUUUUGUGGAGAAGGAGAGAUGGAGAUAUACAGCUCUUAAUCAGAAAACAAUCGAAGUAUAAACCAUAUAUGUUUAUUCUAUUUGAUAGAAAACUAUACAUUUUUUGCACACAUGUUCUGUACAUUUAGGAUUUAAAAUCAAAGGAAAACAGAUGUACCGCCAUUCAUUAUUUCAAAGAAAUCUCAAACAGUUCAUGAUGUUUGCUGUGUAGUCAUAUAUUGUGUUAGCUAAAUGUCAUUUUUGCACAAAUUUAUGUUAACGACUUCUUUUCAUAUUCUCAAAUAGAGGGGGAAAACAAAGUGUCUUUUUUUUUUUUGUAACAGGGGCAAAACAAAGUGUCCAGAGAGAGGAGAUUCACUUGAUGCUCAGAAAAACUCGCUUUGUUCUAAAGGGAGUAUUCUGAGUUAGAGCCAUCCAAGUGAUCGAACACCCCAAUCCCAAUAUAUGACAGUUGAUGAAAAANNNNNNNNNNNNNNNNNNNNNNNNNNNNNNNNNNNNNNNNNNNNNNNNNNNNNNNNNNNNNNNNNNNNNNNNNNNNNNNNNNNNNNNNNNNNNNNNNNNNNNNNNNNNNNNNNNNNNNNNNNNNNNNNNNNNNNNNNNNNNNNNNNNNNNNNNNNNNNNNNNNNNNNNNNNNNNNNNNNNNNNNNNNNNNNNNNNNNNNNNNNNNNNNNNNNNNNNNNNNNNNNNNNNNNNNNNNNNNNNNNNNNNNNNNNNNNNNNNNNNNNNNNNNNNNNNNNNNNNNNNNNNNNNNNNNNNNNNNNNNNNNNNNNNNNNNNNNNNNNNNNNNNNNNNNNNNNNNNNNNNNNNNNNNNNNNNNNNNNNNNNNNNNNNNNNNNNNNNNNNNNNNNNNNNNNNNNNNNNNNNNNNNNNNNNNNNNNNNNNNNNNNNNNNNNNNNNNNNNNNNNNNNNNNNNNNNNNNNNNNNNNNNNNNNNNNNNNNNNNNNNNNNNNNNNNNNNNNNNNNNNNNNNNNNNNNNNNNNNNNNNNNNNNNNNNNNNNNNNNNNNNNNNNNNNNNNNNNNNNNNNNNNNNNNNNNNNNNNNNNNNNNNNNNNNNNNNNNNNNNNNNNNNNNNNNNNNNNNNNNNNNNNNNNNNNNNNNNNNNNNNNNNNNNNNNNNNNNNNNNNNNNNNNNNNNNNNNNNNNNNNNNNNNNNNNNNNNNNNNNNNNNNNNNNNNNNNNNNNNNNNNNNNNNNNNNNNNNNNNNNNNNNNNNNNNNNNNNNNNNNNNNNNNNNNNNNNNNNNNNNNNNNNNNNNNNNNNNNNNNNNNNNNNNNNNNNNNNNNNNNNNNNNNNNNNNNNNNNNNNNNNNNNNNNNNNNNNNNNNNNNNNNNNNNNNNNNNNNNNNNNNNNNNNNNNNNNNNNNNNNNNNNNNNNNNNNNNNNNNNNNNNNNNNNNNNNNNNNNNNNNNNNNNNNNNNNNNNNNNNNNNNNNNNNNNNNNNNNNNNNNNNNNNNNNNNNNNNNNNNNNNNNNNNNNNNNNNNNNNNNNNNNNNNNNNNNNNNNNNNNNNNNNNNNNNNNNNNNNNNNNNNNNNNNNNNNNNNNNNNNNNNNNNNNNNNNNNNNNNNNNNNNNNNNNNNNNNNNNNUUUUCAUGAGAAAUGUCUACCAUUUGGAUGAGCAAAAAUCACAAAAAAGUAGACUUUCUGACAAAAUUGUUCUUGAGAUUGAAUCAAUAAUUGAAAGUGAAAGUUGCAAAGUUUACAUUUAAUAUAAAACACAACUACUAUUUUCAUGAGAAAUGUCUACCAUUUAGAUAAGAAAAAUCACAUAAAUGUAGACUAUCUGGAAAUAAAAAUGGUUCUUAAGAUUAAAUCAAUUAUUGAAGGUGAAAGUUGCAAAGUCUACAUUUAACAUAAGACACAACUACUCUUUUCAAGAGAAAUGUCUACCAUUUAGAUGAGCAAAAUCACAAAAAAGUAGACUUUCUAGAAAUCAAAAUUGUUCUUGAGAUUGAAUCAANNNNNNNNNNNNNNNNNNNNNNNNNNNNNNNNNNNNNNNNNNNNNNNNNNNNNNNNNNNNNNNNNNNNNNNNNNNNNNNNNNNNNNNNNNNNNNNNNNNNNNNNNNNNNNNNNNNNNNNNNNNNNNNNNNNNNNNNNNNNNNNNNNNNNNNNNNNNNNNNNNNNNNNNNNNNNNNNNNNNNNNNNNNNNNNNNNNNNNNNNNNNNNNNNNNNNNNNNNNNNNNNNNNNNNNNNNNNNNNNNNNNNNNNNNNNNNNNNNNNNNNNNNNNNNNNNNNNNNNNNNNNNNNNNNNNNNNNNNNNNNNNNNNNNNNNNNNNNNNNNNNNNNNNNNNNNNNNNNNNNNNNNNNNNNNNNNNNNNNNNNNNNNNNNNNNNNNNNNNNNNNNNNNNNNNNNNNNNNNNNNNNNNNNNNNNNNNNNNNNNNNNNNNNNNNNNNNNNNNNNNNNNNNNNNNNNNNNNNNNNNNNNNNNNNNNNNNNNNNNNNNNNNNNNNNNNNNNNNNNNNNNNNNNNNNNNNNNNNNNNNNNNNNNNNNNNNNNNAUCACAUCAGACGGUCAAUUUUUAUUUUGUGAUUUUUAGUCAUCGAAAUCAUAACGUGCCUACUAAUGUAGUAUAACUUGUUUAGUAGGUUAUAUGCUAGUGUACAACUUUGUGAACCAACUAUAUACAUGAAGCAAAAUUUUCAAAAAUCUCGUGAAAUAGGAUGUGAUCGGUAUAGUAAAAUACGGCUACGGUAGGAAAAUCACUUUAAUUUGCCAAUGUUUGGGCCCCGAUCGAAGCGGUCAACCUUAUUUACGCUUAUGCUUCAAUAAGGAGAGCCCUAUCCUCAGGUGGUAAACGUCCCCAAAGUUUUACAUGGGUGGUUAUGUCUCAUCUAUGUGAGACUUUAUUGUGUUGAAGAAUCGACCAAACUAGGUCAUAAAGAGGUAUGUAAGAUAGUUUUUGUGUAAUAAAUAAAGAUGAAUUAGGGUUGACCACUUUGAUCGAGCCCCGAACAUUGUUGAAUCCAGUUGAAUUUUAUACCAUAACCUUGUUUCACUAUAAUGAUCAUAUCAGACGGUCAAUUUUCAUUUUGUGAAUUUUCAUUGAUUCAAUCUCAAGAACAAUUUUGGUUUCCAGACUGUCUACUAUUUUGUAAUUUUACUCAUCUAAAUGGUAGAUAUUUCUCAUGAAAAUAGUAGUUGUGUCUUAUGUUAAAUGUAGACUUUGCAACUUUUGCCUUUAAUGGGUUUAAUAUCAAGAACUAUUUUGAUUUCCAAAAAGUCUACUUUUUUGUGAUUUUGCUUAUCUAAAUGUUGGACAUUUCUCAUGAAAAUAGUAGUUGUGUCUUAUAUUAAAUAUAAACUUUGCAACUUUCCCCUUCAAGUAUUGAUUCAAUCUCAAGAACAAUUUUGAUUUCCAGAAAAUCUACUAUUUUGUGAUUUUGCUUAUCUAAAUGGUAGACAUUUUUAGUAAUUGUGUCUUAUGUUAAAUGUAGACUUGCAAAUUUUACAUUUGGUUGGUUCAAUCUUAAGAACUAUUUUUAUUUCUAGAAAGUCUACAUUUAUGUGAUUUUUCUCAUCUAAAUGAUAGAUAUUUCUCAUAAAAAUAGUAGUUGUGUCUUAUGUUAAUUGUAGACUUUGCAACUUUCACCUUCCAUUAUUGAUUCAAUCUCAAGAACAAUUUUGAUUUCCAGAAAGUCUAAUUUUUUGUGAUUUUGCUCAUCCAAAUGGUAGACAUUUCUCAUGAAAAUAAUAGUUGUGUUUUAUGUUAAAUGUAGACUUUGCAACUUUCAUCUUCAAUUAUUAAUUCAAUCUUUAGAACAAUUUUGAUUUCCAGAAAGUCUACUUUUCUUUGAUUUCGCUUAUGUUAAUGGUAGACACUUCUAAUGAAAAUCGUAGAUGUGUGUUAUGUUAAAUGUAGACUUUCCAUCUUUCAUCUUGGGUAGAUUCAAUUUCAAGAACAAUUUUGAUUUCCAGAAAGUCUACUUUCUUUGAUUUCUCUUAUGUUAACAGUAGACAUUUCUAAUAAAAAAGUAGAUAUGUGUUAUGUUAAAUGUAGACAUUGCAUCUUUUACCUUGGGUUGAUACAGUCUCAAGAACAAUUUUGAUUUCCAGAAAAUCUAUGUUUCUUUGAUUUCUCUUAUGUUAAUGGUAGAUAUUUAUUAUGAAAAGAGUAGAUGUGUCUUAUGUUAAAUGUAGACUUUGCAAUUUUGCCUUCGGUUGAUUCAAUCUCAAGAAUAAUUUUGAUUUCUAGAAAAUCUACUUUUCUUUGAUUUCUCUUAUGUUAACGGUAGACAUUUCUUAUGAAAAUAGUAGACGUGUCUUAUGUUAAAUGUCGACUUUGCAUCUUUUACCUUGGGGUUGAUUCAAUUUUAAGAACAAUUUUGAUUUCUAAAAAGUCUACUUUGAUUUGAUUUGGCUUAUAUUAACGGUAGACAUUUCUAAUGAAAAUAGUAGACGUGUCUUAUGUUAAAUGUAGACUUUGCAUUUUUUACCUUGGGGUUGAUUCAAUCUUUAGAAUAAUUUUGAUUUUCAAAAAGUCUACUUUGCUUCGAUUUGGCUUAUGUUAAUGGUAGAUAUUUCUAAUGAAAAUAGUAGAUGUGUAUUAUGUUAAAUGUAGACUUUGCAACUUUUACCUUCGGUUGAUUCAAUCUCAAGAACAAUUUGAUUUUGCUUAUGUUAAUUGUUGAUAUUUCUAAUGAAAAUAGUAUAUAUGUCUUAUGUUAAAUGUAGACUUUGCAUCUUUUACCUUGGGUUGAUUCAGUCUCAAGAACAAUUUUGAUUUCCAGCUUAUCUCUACUUUUCUUUGAUUUCUCUUAUGUUACUAGUAGACAUUUCUUAUGAAAAAAGUAGUUGUGUCUUAUGUUAAAUGUAGACUUUGCAUCUUUUACCUUGGGUUGCUUCAAUCUCAAGAACAAUUUUGAUUUCCAGAAAGUCUAUUUUUCUUUCAUUUCGCUUAUGUUAAUGGUAAAGAUUCUAAUGAAAAUAGUAGAUGUGUCUUAUGUUAAAUGUUGACUUAGAAAUUUUAGCUUCGGUUUGUUCAACCUCAUUCACAAUUUUGAUUUCUAGAAAGUCUACUUUUCUUUGAUUUCGCUUAUGUUAAUGGUAGAGAUUUAUAAUGUCAGGACCCACCCCGAAUUUCACCUUGAAACCCAAGGUAAAUCCUGCGGGGUCUACCUUCAAGGAAAAUUUACCGAAAAUUCGGCAUAACCAUCCUUGAAAAUGGACAACCUUUUCCUGAAAAAUCCAACUUAACACUUCUAUAAUCAAACAUUCAUCCUCAUCUCCUGGAGCCUUCCUGCUCCCCAAGUUCAUCAAAACUCCCAAUAAUAAUUUCUCAUCUAAUAAAAUUCCACAACCAACAACAAAGACAUUUAAUAAGCUACUACUGGACUUUCAGAGCAUAUCUAAUGAUGAAUGAAAACAAUGAAAACGAAUAAGCGGAAGCAGCCUCUGACUAUGCCUCGACUCCAUGUACGCUCGUCCUCAAAUAACUUAGCCUGCAAACUGGGCAUUUAUAAACCAAAGGGCCCAGGGGAAAGUAAUUUAAAAACGUUAGAGUGAGUAGAAGAAAAUAAAUUCAAUAACUUAACAAUUAUAAAACUUAUAUACUUUCCCACUUUUCAACUUUUAAAACUUAACAGCAUGCAACUUAAACGUCCUUAAAACUUUAAAUCUAAAAUCACUUAAUAAAGGACAAACCAGCCCCGCUGGUUAAUCAAAUAUAUUAUUGAGAAGAAUAAAAUAGGGGAAGAGUUAUCACCAUGAAAAAGGAGCCUCCUAGGCUCAGGUUGAUGCCUCCCAGGCUAUAAUAGCGUCCUACGCUAAGCGCUCAACUCACAUAUGAUGAGGACCACUAUAUAAGGCUAUAAUAGCGUCCCACGCUAAGUGCUCAACUCACAUAUGAUGAGGACCGCAAAUAAGGGUAGCUAACUAAUAAAUAUAAAUACCGAUCGGUUGCCUCCCAGAUUAUAAUAGCGUCCCACGCUAAGCGCUCUACUCACAUAUGAAGAAGACCGCUAAUAAGGCUAUAAUAGCGACUCACAUAUGAUGAAGACCGCCAAUAAGGUUAGCUAGCAAUAAUCAAGAUAAACGACCCAAUAAUAUGGUGACUAAAACAUACGAAGUCACUUAAAUCCAUUAAACUUCCCCCAAGACCAAACGAAUGGUACGGUUCCCAACCGUACAUGAAAAUCAUCAGAAGAAAUCAGAACACAACUCAAUGACGUGUCUCACACGUCAAAAUAUUCUUCAAUUUAUAAAUAUAAGCGAGAUUUCAAUAACAAAUAUGAAUCAUAAAUAAUAGUAUCUUCGCUCGAAAAUACUCGCUAAAAUAUUCUCCAAGUCAAAAUCAUUAUGCCUCAAAUGAACAAUUAAAUUAUGAGAACAACUACCGACAAUCCCAUUUUCGGUAAUCAUUUAUAAAACUCAAAGUCAAGAUCGAUAUUCCACCAAUAAUUUCGAGAAUUAAAAAUAGGAAACUACCGAAAAUCCAAUUUUCGGAAAUCUUAUAUAAAUCUCAAAAUCCACCAUUAAAACCAUUUAAUGAAAUCCGGAAUUUAUAAAAAUAUCCAAACUCAAAUAUCAAAAUAAUAAUCCGCGCUCAACUCCAUAAAUCAUGACCAACACUUAAUAAAUGCACCAAACUCAAAUAAUUUUCAAGCUCAUCUCAUGAACUGAAAAAUUAUAUUAUAUGCUCGGAAAAUAAAAUGAUAGAUUAUAAAAUCUUGCAUGCAUAUUUAUUUUUAAAACCAAAAUGUCCACUCACAAAUUUAGGCAUGAGCCCGACGAUAACCGCAUCGCCACUCAAGCGAGGUUCCCUUCGCAUCUUGGCACAACAACCAUGCUUAUAACCAAACUUCAAUUCCAGAAAAUAAAUACGUGAAUUAAAAUAUUUAACUCUCCUCCGUUUAACCCUCUACUCUUAAUAGGGUUAAACUCGCCGGAUUCACACCAAACUCCACCACAACCUUAAUUCAUCAAUUCUAAUAUUCUAUAAUAAAUACCAAGGAAAUCCAACGGUCGGAUUUUCAUUCUAAUAACCGGCAUUUUCUCCAAUCUCUGAAAAAUUUCAAACCUAACCAAAAACUCAUCCAAAAAUUNNNNNNNNNNNNNNNNNNNNNNNNNNNNNNNNNNNNNNNNNNNNNNNNNNNNNNNNNNNNNNNNNNNNNNNNNNNNNNNNNNNNNNNNNNNNNNNNNNNNNNNNNNNNNNNNNNNNNNNNNNNNNNNNNNNNNNNNNNNNNNNNNNNNNNNNNNNNNNNNNNNNNNNNNNCUUGACCCGGUCCAAACUUAAAACACCCACAAAAUAAAGCCUACAAGAAUUUACCUUUUUUACCAAUAUAGUCAUUUUCGUUUUUAGACCAUAACUUCUUCAUACGAACUCCGUUUUAAGCGUGCCGCGUGUCCACAAACUCUGUUUAACGUCCUCUACAACUUUCAUGAAGAAAGUUUUCCCAAAUUCCAAACGGAAGAAAAAGUCAACUUUAGGAUCCUUAAGUAGUAAACGGUUACUCAACACGGAAAAAGACCAAAAUAACACCAAAGUAAAUAGCCGUAAAAUAACUUAAAAACCGGGGUGUGACAUAUAAUGAAAAUAGUAGAUGUGUCUUAUGUUAAAUGUAGAGUUACAAAUUUUACCUUGGGUUGAUUCAAUCUCAAGAACAAUUUUGAUUUCUAGAAAGUCUACUUUUCUAAUGAAAAUAGUAGAUGUGUCUUAUGUUAAAUGUGACUUUCGACUUGUAACAUUUUCUGUGAUAUUUUUCGUAACAGUAGUAGAUGUUUCUUAUGAUAGUUGUAGACAGUCUCAAGAAUCAUUUUGAUUUCCAGAAAGUCUACUUUUGUGUGAUUUUGCUCAUCUGAAUGGUAGAUAUUUCUAAUGAAAACUGUAGAUAUAGAGAGACUUAACGGAGAGUUAACGGUGUUAGUUUGCUUUAACCUGUUAUAACAAGUCAAAACUGGUUGGGUAUCCAUACCUUAAGGCACACAAGUGGCACCCAACAAACAAUUUGAAUUAUGUUCUAGGAUAUUCUGUAUCUUUCUAGAUAUUCUUUAUGUGUGCCUUGGCCUUAUGCCAAUAGGAUAUGUAGUUUGACUAGAUCUAUGUAUUCUUAUCCUUACCAUAUUGGUAUUGUGUAAUUCCUUAUAUAAAGCCUCUUAUCAAUGAAUAAUACACACAUCUUUCACGAUUCUCUAUUCUGAAAUAUCUCUCACUUCAUUAUGUUAUCAUGCACAUUGUUCUAACCCUAGAGCCAAUAGGCCACAAUUUGUUUUCUAAACCCUAAAAACAAUUUUUUUUUCUUUUCAAACCAAAAGUUCCCGGCCCUGCCUCGGUCCCUACACUGUCGUUGCUCCCAACCCGUCGCUUCCCAGCCGUCAGCUCCGCCUUCUUUUCUGGUUUCGCCGAUCAAGCUUUAGAUCAAGAAAUCCGAGUAGUUUGAAGAAAUUUUACGGUAUGUUUUAAAUCCUAAACUCUUCAAAGUUCAAUAAGGGGAGAUAAAGUGUUUUCUCCCUUUCUCCAUCUCCAUUCUAUGGUUGGGAUUUUGUGCGUGCAGGUACCAAAACCCCAGAAUUUUAUUCGCGGGUCAAGAGUAUGUUUGAUCACUCUUGCUUCCUUGUUCGGGUUCUAUAUGAUCAACCUCGACCUUUCUCCGGAUUGUGUUUGAUCAAUCCGAGCCCUUUGUCGAAUUGUGUUUGAUCAAUUAGCGGCUUUUCCGUAUUAUGUAUGAUCAAUCCGAAGGACAAACCAUUAAAAGCAUUGUUUGUGACCUCUAUCGAGUCUCAUAACAGCUUGGUUUUGUAUGCAAGAGCAACGUAACAUUCUGCUCCUUUAAGUUUUGACGUACUCGAUACCUAAGGCGAAUCUUUGCUUGGUAGCUGUGGAACCUUUCAUUGGAAAAGAUUAAACCACAUGUUUGACCCCCAGGCUAACAAGCCUAGAUGCCGAGAUUUCACAUCUCAUGCGCUCAAACUCUUUGACACGCCACAUCGACAAAAGCCUUCAAUGGCAAUCUGUACAAAAAGUAAUGACCACAAAGUACUGUGGAAUUGACACGACCCACCUCGAAUUUCACCCUGAAACCCGGAGUAAGUGGUGCGGGGACCACCUCCAAGAAAGAUAUUACCGAAAAAUCGGCAUAACCUCCCUUGAAAAUGGACAACCCUUCUUAAAGAAAACCUGCAAACACUUCCAAAAAUUUUAAUCCAACCUUAACUCCUGGAGCCUACGUGCUCCCCAAAUACAACUACCACCAACAACACAACAUUAUCCAAACAUCAAAUAUAAUUAUCCAAAAGAUAACAUAAAUCCUCCAACAAAUAUUCUAAGACGUCAACAAGUCUUCACCCACAACCGAAAUAAUACACAUUAAACCCAAGUAUUCAGAGCUACUAACACUAGCGGAAAAAGAAACCACAGGUAGGUUAAAUAGGUAACCUACUGAUGAAAAGUGGUGGAAAUGCGGGUGACUAUGCCUCGUCUCCUACUAGGUCCAACCCGAACUCUGCAGACUGGGCAUUUUAAAACGAAGGGCCUAGGGGAAACAUUUGAACACGUUAGAGUGAGUGGACAAAAAUAAAAUAAAUGAAAUAAUUCUUUAUGCUUUCCCAAUUUUAUUUUUCCAUAGAAAAAUAUGCUGCAUGCGACAGCUCAAAACACUCAACACGAAAACUGGAAAUUUCAUGACUAGCUCCGGCCAGUCUCUAACGCUCAAUAAAAUACAGCCUCUCAGGCUAAAAUAAAAUAUGUAUGUAUUACACUCGUCAUAUCCCUUGUAUGAAUUUUCUUGAAACAACAAAAACAAAUAGAAAAUUCACACAAGGCUACGACGCUUGCGUCUAACGCUCACGUCGCACCAUAAUGGCAUUUUACCUCAUUAUGGUGGAAAGACGGUGUAUAAAUAUACGCGCAUAUCCCCUAUAUAAAUUAUUAUUUUUAUAUAGGGCUACGAUGAUUGCGUCUAACGCUCACGUCGCACCAAAAUGGAAUUUUACCUCAGUAUGGUGGAAAAGCACGUAUAGCUAGCUAGCAUUCUCUCAUAUACAUAUUAUUCUCAUAAUCAUCCACAUAUGGAUAUAUAUAUAUAUAUAUACUCACCGAAAUUUUCAAUUUCGGUUAUUCUCCAACAACAUAAAUUAUUUCGCAUGCACAUUAUUUAAAACAAAAGUCCACUCACAAAUUAGGCCUAAGCCUGAUGUCGAUCUGGGGCCUCGUCAGCUCGAGCCUCCUCACGACCUGUUCCAAAUAUAAUAUUAAGUUCCCAAUUAACAAUCCAAUAAUUAAUCAAAAUAGGCAAAAUUACCCGAGAGCCAUAAACACGCUCAUCAUUACCUAACUUCGAUAUUCUUGAAUCGGAACGAUCCGAACUUAAAUAUCAUCCUCGACAGUCGUAAAUAUAACCUCCCAAAAAUACGACUUAAAUCUUACGGCCGGAUUCUACAUUAAUUAACCGCCAAAAAUACCAAACUUCGGAAAUUCACAAACCUAUCCAAAUCUCAUCCAAAAAUUCCAUAAAUCACCUCAAUAUAAUCCCCUUAAUAUUCCACAUUUAAAACCCUAAAAAUCUCCCAAACCGGCAGCGGCUCCGCAGGCAGCGGCGGUCGGAGGCUAAAAUCAGCGACCUCCAAUUCCUAUGAAAUUUUAACAGCAUCUUACUCUCAUCAUGCUCUACAACUUUCCUAACUAGCACAAACCCAAAAUCCAAGCCUAGCUAUGCCAAUCGAACAAAAACAUCAAAAACGCCCUAGAGCUUCCACCUCAAAUUUCUCCUUACCUGAAGCAAACCGGAGUGAGUCCUUUUAGGGCAAGGCAGCUGGGUUGGAGACCUACAAAACCAUACCAAGCUUGCCCGGAUUGGUGGCCCGAGGAGGGAAUUCCGGCGAAAAGCUUCCCGGCGUCUCCGGCGAGUUUUCUCUUCUUCCAGCGGGCUAACGGCUCGGGGGCUAGGUCGGGGAGGGAGAGGAGGAGAUCGGGGUCCGAACUGGGGUGGAGCGGCGGCCGGUGGCUGGCCGGACGGCGGCAGACGGCGGCUGGACGAUCCGGCGGGGAGGAAGACUCGGGGGGGGGGCGCUGAAGGGAAAAACGGGAGAGAAGGGAGGGAAAAGGGUUGGGCCUCUCCAACCGGUCCACUCCCCAUUAUACCCAACUCCCACAAAAAUAAAACACCCCGAAAAAUAAUACCCGAAUAAAAAUUACCUUUUACUAGCUAAAAUUUACUAUUUUUACCGUCGUCGUAUUUUCCUCAUACGAAUAAUCCUCCGCACAUAAUCGUCCCCGAAACCCCUCUAGGGACCAAUUAAACUAUUAACUAAAUGAUCGAGACGGUAAAAUUCUUAUUAUAAUCAUGCUAGUAAAUAAGGUAAAAAUAUAAGGGUCGGGAUGUGACAGGAAUGUACUCUACUUGUUGACACGACCCACCCCGAAUUUCACCCUGAAACCCGGAGUAAGUCGUGCGGGGACCACCUCUAAGGAAAAUUUACUGAAAAGAUUAAGAAAAUCUCCCUUGCAGAUGGACAACCCUAACUCGAAAAUUCCAAAUUACACUCUUAAUUCAACACGUCCAAACAUCACAUAAUUAUCCUUCAGAAAUUCUACGCAUAAUAUACAAUAAUCCCAAAGUAUUCAGAGCUACUAAACACUAGCGGAAGCAAGAAAACACGAGUAGGUUGAACAGGUAACCUACUGACGAAAACUGGCAGAAAUGCGGGUGACUAUGCCUCGCCUCCUACUAGAUCCAACCCGAACUCUGCAGACUGGGCAAUUUAAAACGAAGGGCCCAGGGGAAAACAUUUAAUAACGUUAGAGUGAGUGGACAAAAAUAAAAUAAUAAAUAAAAUAUUUAUGUUUCCCCAAAUUAAUUUCUAAGGAAAAAUCGAAUGCAUGCCGCAAGCGAUAAAACUUUUAUCUCAUAAAAUAUUGAGCCUCUCAGACUCUAUAAUAUAUGUAUGUAUUUACACUCGUCCAUACUCCCUAUAUAAAUUCAUGGGUCUAUAUAGGGCUACUACGCUCGCGUCCAACGCUCACGUCACGCCUUAAUGCGGUGCUACACUACGCCAUCAAGGUGGACAGACGGGUGUAUAAAUAUGUGUCCAUACCCCUAUAUGAAUUAAACACACAAAUAGGGCUACUACGCUCACGUCCAACGCUCACGUCACACCAUAAUGCGGCUAUAUGCUACGCCAUUAAGGUGGACAGACACAUAUGGCUAGCUAACAUUUAUAUACAUACUCUCUCAUAAAUACAUAUUUAUAUCCACCGAAAAUCCCAUUUUCGGUAACUCUCCAAGAGAAAUAAAAAUCGUCAAAUUAAAAUGACAUUAAAAUAUUCUGCAACAUUAAUUGUUCAACCAUGAACUAUAGCAUGCAUUUAUAUAAAAUAAAUGUCCACUCACAAAUUAGGCCUAAGCCUGAUGUCGAUCUGGGGCCUCGUCUGCUCGAGCCUCCUCACGUCCUGUUCCAAAUAUAAUAUUAAUUUCCCAACCAAUAAUCCAAUAUUUAAUCAAAAUAGGCAAAAUUACCCGAGAGCCAUAAAUACGCUCAUCAUUGCCUAACUUCAAUAUUCUUAAAUCGGAACGAUCCGAACUUAAAUAUCAUCCUCAACAGUCGUAAAUACAACCUCCCCAAAAUACGACUUAAAUCCUACGGCCGGAUUUUACAUUAAUUAACCGCCAAAAAUACUAAACUUCGGAAAUUCACAAACCUAUCCAAAUCUCCUCCAAAAAUUCCAUAAAUCACAUCAAUAUACUCCUCUUAAUAUUCCACACUUAAUACCCUAAAAAUCUCUUAACCGGCGGCGGCGCCGCCGGCGGCUCCGCCGGCAGCGGCGGCCGGAGUCCAAUUCCGGCCACCUCCAAAACCUAUGAAAUUUUGACAGAAUAAUCUCCUCAUCAUGCUCUACAACUUUCUUAACCAGUACAUUACCCAAUUCCAAGCCUAACUAGGCUAAUCGAACGAAAACAUCCUAAAAGCCCUAGAAAAUUCAACUCCACAUUUCUCCUUACCUAGCUCAAGAGGGAGUGAGCUGAUUGGAGGGGUUGCUGCACGGGAGGAGGGCUACAAAACGAGCCAGGGAUCGCCGGUUUUGGUGGCCAGAGGAGGGAGUUCCGACGGCCGGAAGUUCGGGGCAGCCUAGCCUUUCGGGCGGCACCGCUCUCUCACGGCGGCGCUAGGGGGGCUGUCACCGGUCCUGGAAGAUAGCUGGGUCGGAGGGCAACCGAACGGGACCGGAGCGGCGGCAGAUGGUGGCCGGACGGCGGCGUACGGACGGCGAGAAGUUUCCAGCGGGGGAGAGGCUCGGGAGGAAAACGGGAAGAAGAGAGGAAGAAAAAGAAAAAGUGAGGGUUGGGUUUGGGCCUGACCAACCAGGUCCAUCACCUAUAUAACAACCCAAUUCCAAAAAUAAAACACCCCGAAAAAUAACACCCGAAUAAAAAUUACCUUUUACUAGCUAAAAUUUACCAUUUUUACCGUCGUCGAAAUUUUCUUUUACGAAUAAUCCUCCGCACAUAAUCGUCCCCGAAACCCUUCUAGGGACCAAUUAAAUUAUUAACUCAAUGACGGAGACGGUAAAAUUCUUAUUAUAAUCAGGCUAGUAAAUAAGGUAAAAAUAUAAGGGUCGGGAUGUGACAAUUCUCCCCUCCUUAUAAAAAUUUCGUCCUCGAAAUUUACAUACCUGUCAUUCGAAGAGAUAGGGAUAUUGCUGCAUCAUUUGCUCCUCCGAUUCCAAAGUAGCUUCUUUUACUUGAUGACUUCUCCAAAGCACCUUGACAAGUGGGAUUGUCUUAUUCCUAAGCACUUGCUCCUUUCGGUCGAGAAUCUGAACCGGUUCCUCUUCAUAGGUCAAAUCUCUCAUCAAACUGAUCGGCUGCUCUUGCAGCACAUGAGAAGGAUCGGCAAUAUACUUGCAAAGCAUGGAUACAUGAAACACAUUAUGUAUCCUAGCUAACUCUGGAGGCAAAAGUAGCCGGUAAGCAAGUGAGCCAACUCGCUCAAUAAUCUCAUAAGGGCCAAUAUACCUCGGACUGAGCUUCCCACGCUUACCGAAACGCACAACCCCUUUCCAAGGAGAUAAUUUCAGGAACACCUAAUCACCCACUUGAAAUUCAAGAUCUCUCCUACGGACAUCCGCAUAACUCUUCUGCCUACUUUGAGCAGUCUUGAGUCUAUCUCUAACCACUUUAAUCUUCUCAUUCGUACAUNNNNNNNNNNNNNNNNNNNNNNNNNNNNNNNNNNNNNNNNNNNNNNNNNNNNNNNNNNNNNNNNNNNNNNNNNNNNNNNNNNNNNNNNNNNNNNNNNNNNNNNNNNNNNNNNNNNNNNNNNNNNNNNNNNNNNNNNNNNNNNNNNNNNNNNNNNNNNNNNNNNNNNNNNNNNNNNNNNNNNNNNNNNNNNNNNNNNNNNNNNNNNNNNNNNNNNNNNNNNNNNNNNNNNNNNNNNNNNNNNNNNNNNNNNNNNNNNNNNNNNNNNNNNNNNNNNNNNNNNNNNNNNNNNNNNNNNNNNNNNNNNNNNNNNNNNNNNNNNNNNNNNNNNNNNNNNNNNNNNNNNNNNNNNNNNNNNNNNNNNNNNNNNNNNNNNNNNNNNNNNNNNNNNNNNNNNNNNNNNNNNNNNNNNNNNNNNNNNNNNNNNNNNNNNNNNNNNNNNNNNNNNNNNNNNNNNNNNNNNNNNNNNNNNNNNNNNNNNNNNNNNNNNNNNNNNNNNNNNNNNNNNNNNNNNNNNNNNNNNNNNNNNNNNNNNNNNNNNNNNNNNNNNNNNNNNNNNNNNNNNNNNNNNNNNNNNNNNNNNNNNNNNNNNNNNNNNNNNNNNNNNNNNNNNNNNNNNNNNNNNNNNNNNNNNNNNNNNNNNNNNNNNNNNNNNNNNNNNNNNNNNNNNNNNNNNNNNNNNNNNNNNNNNNNNNNNNNNNNNNNNNUUUUAUCCCAACUCCCUCUGAACUGCAUGGCACAAGCCCUCAACAUAUCCUCCAAAGUCUGAAUAGUCCUCUCGGACUGCCCAUCAGUCUGAGGAUGAAAAGCAGUGCUGAAGAGUAAUUGGGUACCUAAAGCUGCCUGAAGAGCUCCCCAGAAUUUAGAAGCAAAUCGAGGAUCCCGAUCUGACACUAUUGAUUCAGGAACACCAUGAAGCCUCACAAUUUCAUUCACAUAAAGCUCCGCCAAUGUAUCCAAUUUAUACUUUUUCCCACUGGCAAGAAAUGUGCAGAUUUGGUGAGUCUAUCCACAAUCACCCAAAUACCGUCAUGCCCUUCACGGGUAUGAGGUAAACUAAAAACAAAAUCCAUGUUGAUGUGGUCCCACUUCCACACUGGAAUAGGCAACGGCUCAAGCAACCCAGAAGGCUUCUGCCUUUCAGCCUUGACUUGUUGAAAAAUCAGACAUCUACUCACAUAAGCUGCAAUUUCCCUCUUCAUGUUUGGCCACCAAUAAUAAUCCUUCAAAAUCCGAUACAUUUUUGUGCUACCCGGAUGAGCAGCAUAUGCAGAGCUAUGAGCUUCCUCCAUAAUCUCACUUCAACUCUUCAUUUCUUUUUGGAACACAUAGCCGGUUCUUAAACAAUAGAGUCCCAUCUCUUCUAACUGAAAAAAAGAUCGGCUGCGGCUCCAUUCGAAGCUCUUUCCAUCAAUCGAACUAUGGAAGGAUCAUUAUACUGUGCUUCCCGCACUCUAUCAACCAAAACUGGCCUCACAUGAAAACUGGCUAUCAAAGCACCUACCUCAUCCACUGAUAAAUCCACUCCUGUAGCUCGCAACUCACAAAGAAGCGGAACAUGAACCAUCUUUAUAUGAGAUAAAGAUAUGGAGGGAUUUCGAUUAAGAGCAUCAGCUACCACAUUAGUUUUUCCAAGAUGAUACUCAAUAGUGCAAUCAUAAUCAUUGAUUAACUCCAUCCACCUUCUUUGUCUCAUAUUAAGCUCUCUUUGAGUGAACACAUACCGAAGACUCUUGUGAUCGGUAAAUAUCUGACACUUGGCUCCAUAAAGAUAGUGUCUCCACAACUUGAGAGCAAAAACUACCGCUGCAAGCUCCAGAUCAUGAGUAGGAUAAUUCCCCUCAUGCGGCUUCAAUUGCCUAGAAGCGUAGGCAAUUACUCGAUCAUGCUGCAUCAAAACUCCACCUAGACCACGUCUAUAAGCAUCACAAAAAACCACAUACUCUCCACUAUCAUCCGGAAGUGCCAAAACAGGAGCACUUGUUAAGCAAUUCUUCAAUUCUUGGAAACUUUGCUCACAUUGAUCUGACCAUUCAAACUUAACCCCCUUCCUGGUCAAUCUUGUGAGAGGAGCAGCAAUAUAUGAAAAAUCUUUCACAAAGCGCCGAUAAUAACCUGCUAAUCCCAAAAAACUACGAAUCUCCGUCACAGUGGUGGGUCUUCUCCAAUUCGACACUGCUUCCACCUUUUGGGGAUCCACACUAACUCCUUCUGCGGAAAUCACAUGACCCAAGAAUCCCACUUUAUCUAGCCAAAACUCACACUUGCUAAACUUAGCAAAUAACUGCGACUUUUCCAAAGUCCGCAAUAUUAUUCUUAGAUGCUUGGCAUGCUCCUUCUCACUUCUUGAGUAAACCAAUAUGUCAUCUAUGAAUACGAUCACGAAACGAUUAAGGUAUGGACUAAACACCCUAUUCAUGAGAUCCGUGAACGCCGCGGGUGCAUUAAUAAGUCCAAAUGGCAUCACGACAAACUCAUAAUGACCAUAUCGUGACCGAAAAGCAGUCUUGGCUAUGUCCCCCUCUCGGAUCCGCAACUGAUGAUAACCCGAUCUCAAAUCAAUCUUAGAGAAAACAGAGGCACCCCUCAACUGAUCAAACAAAUCAUCGAUCCGAGGCAACGGAUAUAUAUUCUUCACUGUGACCUGAUUCAACUUCCUAUAAUCAAUGCAUAGUCUCAUGGUGCCCUCUUUCUUCUUAUCAAACAACACCGGAGCACCCCAUGGAGACAUGCUAGGCCGAAUAAAACCCUUAUCUACCAACUCCUGCAAUUGAGUCUUCAACUCUUUCAAUUCCGCUGGAGCCAUUCUGUAAGGCGCCUGAGAGAUAGGCAUAGUUCCGGGAAGUAAUUCUAUAGAGAAGUCUAUCUCCCUUGCAGGAGGCAAACCAGGCAACUCCUCAGGAAAAACAUUCGGAAACUCUCCUACUUCUGGAAUAUCUUCUAAUCCCACAACUCCCAUACUUGUAUCCACCACAUGAGCUAAAAAUGCCUGACAGCCUUUACUCAACAAUUUCCUUGCAGCAACAGCGGAAAUUAUGCAACUAGAAAUAACAUCUCUUUCCCCUUGGAAAGCAACCUCAAAACCAUCUCGACUUCGAAGCACCACUACUUUUUGAAAACAAUCUACCAUAGCUCUAUAUGCUUCCAAAAAGUCCAUUCCCAAGAUCACAUCAAACUCCACUAUAUCUAAAGGAAUUAAAUCAGCCUCGAAAUUAACUCCUUCCACUAAAACUUCACAGCCACUAAAUACCCAAUUUAUUCUCAUCACCUCACCGGAGGGUAGAGACACAUGCCACUCGCCUGGAAGAGACGAUGAUGGUACAUUGGCAUGGAGGGCAAAUCUACUAGACAUGAAUGAAUGCGUGGCUCCGGGAUCAAUUAAAGUAAAACCAGGCUGACCAAAAAUUAAUAACGUACCAAUGAUGACAUCUGGAGAAGUACGACCCUCCUGCUGGGUCAUAGCAUGCAGUCUAGCGUGAGUCAUGGGACGUCCACGCUGACCACUUCCCCGCUGAGAGCCACCUCUAACCGAAACACUGCCCUGGGCACCACUACUAGAGCCUCCAGCUGAAGACUGACCAACUGGCUGAGUAGGGGUGGGAGUGGUCCUCUGAGCCAACAAUGGGCAAUCUCUCCUGAAGUGGUCCUGACCACCACACUCAAAGCACCCAGAAAACUGCUGCUGCUACCCAUAUGAAAAAGUCUGGCUACCGGAUGACCCACCAUGGAAACUGCCACCCGAACCAUACUGCCCAGACUGCUGCCUACCCAACUUACUCCUAGUAGGUCUCCUGUGACGUCCUCUAACCCUGAACCGAGAAUUAGAACCUGAUCCCCCACUACUGCCACUACCAGCUGAUGAACCUGAAGCGGAUGAUGAAGCAGCUUUCUUGGAUGGACCCUGACUGGGGCCACCGAAAUCUCAUGGCCGAGCACUAUAAAUCCCCAUAGACUCAAUGGCCAUGGCUGCAUGAACAGCGUCAGAGAAAGUCGGGUAAUAAACACCCGUCAUUUUAUCUGCAAACACUCCACCAAGUGCCCCAAUGAACAUCUUCAUCCUGGUCCUCUCAUCAGGAACCAGAUAUGACACAUGAUAGCUCAGGGAAGUGAAUCUCUCCUGGAACUCUAUAACACCCUCAUCAUCCCUCUUCUUCAUAUUCAGGAAAUCCGACUGAAUUCUGCUGCGGUGGGCAGGACUGAAAUAUUGCCCCAAGAAAAGCGUCUUAAACUGCUCCCACGACAUAUUCAGAGCAUCCUCAACAUUCCUGCUAGCGAGCGACCACUAGUGAUGUCGCUGAAUCAUCCAGGAAAGUCACUGCCAUCUUCUUCAUAUUCAGGAAAUCCGACUGAAUUCUGCUGCGGUGGGCAGGACUGAAAUACUGUCCCAAGAAAAGCGUCUUAAACUGCUCCCACGACAUAUUCAGAGCAUCCUCAACAUUCCUGCUAGCGAGCGACCACUAGUGAUGUGCUGAAUCAUCCAGGAAAGUCACUGCCAUCUUCACCUUCCUUUCUUCUGGCAAAUCUGUGCUCGCAAAAGCCUUUUUCAUUUUGUCCACCCAAGUAUAAGCAUCAAGGGGUCCCAUGGCACCCUUGAACUCUCUUGCUCCAGCCUCAUAAACUUCUCUCCUCUUCACUGCAUGAGGGUGUGGAGCUCGAUCUAUGACAUCCCUCAGCAUAUUUCCAAUAUCAUCAACCAGUCCCCUGACCUCAUUGCCCUCAUCGGCAUUGGUCGAAGUAGCCACACGGGGUUGCCGUGGGCGCCUAGGAGGCAUAGUACCUGAGGAAGAAGAAAUUUAGUAGUCCAUAAACAAGACUAACACAACAAUCACAUAUACCCAAUAACACAUAGCAUCAAAAGCAUAAAAUGCCAAUGAAUCCGCCGCGGUCGGAUCAUCACUCUAUAGACACUACGUGCUACUUAGGCAAAUAUGAUAGUGACAAGGAAGCCGGAAAAGGAAACCUAUAGCUCUGAUACCAACUGACACGACCCACCCCGAAUUUCACCCUGAAACCCGGAGUAAGUCUUGCGGGGACCACCUCCAAGAAAAAUUUACUGAAAAGAUUAAGAAAAUCUCCCUUGUAGAUGGACAACCCUAACUCGAAAAUUCCAAAUUGCCUAACUUCGAUAUUCUUAAAUCGGAACGAUCCGAACUUAAAUAUCAUACUUAACAGUCGUAAAUACAACCUCCCCAAAAUACGACUUAAAUCCUACGGCCGGAUUCUACAUUAAUUAACCGCCAAAAAUACCAAACUUCGGAAAUUCACAAACCUAUCCAAAUCUCAUCCAAAAAUUCCAUAAAUCACAUCAAUAUACUCCUCUUAAUAUUCCACACUUAAUACCCUAAAAAUCUCUUAACCGGCGGCGGCGCCGCCAGCGGCUCCGCGGGCAACGGCGGCCGGAGGCCAAUUCCGGCGACCUCCAAAACCUAUGAAAUUUUGACAGAAUAAUCUCCUCAUCAUGCUCUACAACUUUCUUAACGAGCACAUUACCCAAUUCCAAGCCUAACUAGGCUAAUCGAACGAAGACAUCCUAAAAGCCCUAGAAAAUUCAACUCCACAUUUCUCCUUACUUAGCUCAAGAGGGAGUGAGCUGAUUGGAGGGGUUGCUGCACGGGAGGAGGGCUACAAAAACGAGCCAAGGAUCGCUGGUUUUGGUGGCCGGGGGAGGGAGUUCCGACGGCCGGAAGUUCGGGGCAGCCUUGCCUUUCGGGCGGCACCGCUCUCUCACGGCGGCGCUAGGGUGGCUGUCACCGGUCCUGGAAGAUAGCUGGGUCGAAGGGCAACCGAACGGGACCGGAGCGGCGGCAGAUGGUGGCCGGACGGCGGCGUACGGACGGCGAGAAGUUUCCGACGGAGGAGAGGCUCGGGAGGAAACCGGGAAGAAGAGAGGAAGAAAAAGAAACAGUGAGGGCUGGGUUUGGGCCUGACCAACCCGGUCCAUCACCUAUAUAACAACCCAAUUCCAAAAAUAAAACACCCCGAAAAAUAACACCCGAAUAAAAAUUACCUUUUACUAGCUAAAAUUUACCAUUUUUACCGUCGUCGAAAUUUUCUCUUACGAAUAAUCCUCCGCACAUAAACGUCCCCGAAACCCUUCUAGGGACCAAUUAAACUAUUAACUCAAUGACGGAGACGGUAAAAUUCUUAUUAUAAUCAGGCUAGUAAAUAAGGUAAAAAUAUAAGGGUCGGGAUGUGACACUUGUUGAGUUAUUAGUCAUGUGGAUUGCUUACCACCUUAAUUGACUACAUAUUGUCGAUGAACUUUUAUGGCAUCAUGAUCCAUAAUUUUUAGCGGAUUCGAUCAUCAUCAAGUUCUCUAGGUCCUCCAAGUUGGUUUGGAAUUACCAACGGGACUUGAUUUUUAUCAUACAAUUGCAAACAGGAAUUGUAUAUACGCUAAUGUGAUAAACAUAUUUGACAUUAUCCCCUAAUAUGGGGACAACAAUAUGGGUCAUGUCAACGGCAUAAAAUGCCAUGCCGAUGUCUAGAAAAGAGGGGGAGGUGUCGCCGGCCCUAAUGGCGACACUCCCGGUCUAGACAUCAAUCUGUCAAAACUACUCACGUCCGCUUAUGACAAUGCAACCAUUGUGGAUCUCCGGAUCGUUGGUUGAAGAGUUAUCGAGCUAUCCUUCAAAUUGUUAAUGCAUACAAAAGGGUACAGAAAAUCAAUAUGAGGAGAAGAACGUCAUCCUCAUGAUCGCGGAUUUCAAAGAUUCGGAUCCUGCUCUAGCUACCCAUGACUUUGACGUCAUUGGCUAGACAUUGAUUUUCUUUCCAAGCUAUAUGUAAUACAGCGUCGUAUCGACGUCCUUCGUCUAUUUGAGACCUCGAUGUACUCACAUUAGCAAUAAUGAAUGCCUUGAGAAUUUUUUUUUCGAAGUGAAACUAUUCUCCUCUUAUGGUUCGUAUUGAUUUACAAAAAAUAUAUACAUUCUUACAUCGUCCUUAGAAACAUGGCAUAUUGUGCCAUUUUGGUCCCUUCCUUUGAAGGUGACUCAUGGCACCGCAUCCUCAAGGAGGAUCGCCCACGUGUUUCCGGUUGAGUCUUCUACCCUAUAGCGGAUUUUCCAUCAUCAAUUGUUCAACUAGGCUCAUCUAAGUUCAGUGUGAUGUCUUAGAAUUGUCCGAAAUUAAGAAGAUAGUGGUUUAAGUGUGCCUCGCACUACCGACCCUCUACGGACAAGCCUGGUCAUACUGAUUUGGAGUUACCGAAAGCUUUUGAUUUUGGAUCCCCGUACGCUAUUAAACCAAUUGUCGUCUUGCAAAAGAUGUUGAAGACUUAUCAAAACCGGACAAUCAUCAUCAUGAUCGAAUCCUCUAGGUCUUCUGAGUUAGUUUAUGUUCAUGUCAAGGAGCUUUUGCUAACUAGUCAUGGAGUUUACGACCUUGGAACGACUGAAAGGACUUGAUUUUGAUCAUGCACACAUCACUUUUGGCUAAGGCAAAAGCCUACAUGCAACCUGCAAGCUUCACAGCUUCGCACAUGCCAAUUCUGCGAAAAACAGCAAUCUGUCUCUUCUAGACAGUCAACUUCGUUUGAGCUUUGUGAACAGCUCUGGACGAACUAGAUAGUGAGCUUUAUAUCAUUGGAAAGCUCUACGAGUCUAGUUUUCAGAACCUUUCGCGGUUCAUCCAUAUCUAUUUUAACAAAGAAGUUAUGGCUGUUUUAGUGCGCAAAAGUCAUUCCGCACGGAAAUUUUAAUGCACUCUCAGGAUUGCAGCUUUUUGUAGCUUCUUUCAAUCCUUCUAAAUGGUUCAAGUGGAACUAUUUACUCUCCUAUCUACUCCAUUUUGUACAUCUGUCUCAUAGAGACAUUAAGUGCUUCGCAAACAGUGGAACUAUUCACAACAUUCUAAGGAACCGGCAACUAUCUUUGGAUAUUAUGCCUUUGUAAAUCUUCUGUAUUGAGAGACACGGUUUAGCUUGAAUUUUGAUGCCUCAUGGCACCAUGAUCAACGUCACAGAUGCCCUCUAUGCAUUGAGAGGCAACCGAACCAUGUUGAGCUUUAAAGACAUUCUUGCUAAUAGUUUUUAUUUGAAAACACAUUAUGAGAAUGAACAAGAAUUCUUUUGUGUAUACAUUCUCAUGAAUGUGGACUGAAAUGCAUCUUGGAGAAGUUCAUGAGUCAAUUUAAUGGAUUGUAUGUCACUACGAUUCGAGUAUCGAAUCCCAUGUUGUCGCCAAACAUGAUAUUUGGGACACCGACUCAUAGAGGCUUUGGUUUGACCAAAUCGGUCAACCUCGAAGAGAUAUAAUGGUCCAAAUUUUGAGAAACAUCCAUUCUUCUGCUCAAAACGAAGACAUUCGGGAUCUAACAUCACCAUGAAGCAUGGUGGUGACCCAGGGGACAUUUGUAACACCCCGGACCAAAUUCUACCUAUUUACUAGGUAUUCUACGAGUUACUGAAGAAUUUAACUGUGUUCGGUAAUUUGGUAAUUUAACACUCGAGUUUAUUGUUGAGUUUUUCUUAAAAUGUUAAAUUCCUCUUUUAAGGCCUCGAUAUAGUAGUACGUGUCGACACAGGUUCAACAGUGGCAUUGGAUUAUUUGUUGGAGCUUCGAGUUAUUUUUUCUAUUAUUUAUUAGAGGUUUGGUUUUAGAAAUUUAUUUUCUCGGAAGAAAAUAACUUUUAUCCGGGCUUCCAUUAGGGUUUUGAUAUGAGUUGUAGAAUUUAAGCUUAAAAGGUAAAGAGGAGGUUGACCCAGUCAAAGAACCCAACUCGGGUUUGACCGAGCCCAACAGAGUCUCCUCCUUCUCUCUCACUUCUCUCUCGUCGUUCGCCUUCUCCGGCGCAAUGGCGACGAUUCCGAGCACCUCCCACAGCGUAACUACCACCAAAAUAUUCUUCUCUUCAAUCUCUACAAAACCCAUACCUCAGUUCACACAGGCAUCCACAUACGAGGGAGAUCGAUGUCGAAGAGGCACGGCUGUGUUUCUCGUUUUCCGGCGAGCUCCGACGGCGACGGCGAUAGUGAGGGGUAGGAUUCUUCUCCUUUUUCCUUCUUCUCCCUUCCUAUGUCUUUAAUCUUUUGAUUCGUGCCCUAAUCAGAGGAACCCUUUUCUCCUGUUUUUGGGUUUUCACGGCGUAUCUCCGGCGACCGAGUUCUUGCCGUUUCCGACCUCUUCUCCAUGUUCCGACAAGCAAGGCUACUUCUUGGCAGACCCAGUGGCCGAGUGGAGGAGGUGGUUGGAGUUUGGUAGCAGAUGGGGUUCUUCUGGUUGGGACAGUGAGAGGCAGAGGGCUGCAGGUCGGUCUCCGGCAAGGAGAAGUUUCUGGGUUGGGGUUUUGAGCGGACUGAAGGUAAAGGUUAAAAAUCUGAGCUGCUGUGUUGUUGCUAUGUUGUGCUUAUUGUGUUGUUUAGGUGUUGAUUCGGCUGUUUCCUUUGUGAUAUGUCGAGAACUUGGUGUUUUGAAGAACACGGGGAGGUUAUGGCCAUUUUCUGGUGAGUGGCCGGAAUCCGGUAGAAUAUUCCGGCAAGUCGCCGGAAUCCGACGAAGGCAGUAAUUUUGGAAGAAGGUGAUGAGGUAGUUAUCGACGUUUUUCCUUUCUGAUUUGUAUCGUUUCAGAAAUGGAAAGUUUGUCGGUUUGUAAUCGGAAAUCUUUCUAAGGGAGGAAAGUUUCUAUUUUAGGAAACUUUCCCUUUUUUGGAAGCUUCCUAUUUAUGGAAACCCAUUUGGGUGCCCUUAGUAAAUUUUGGAAGUAAAUUGGUUGUUGUAUUAAAGGCAUGGAAAUUGAUUAUGACUUCGAUUCCAAGUUAAGGUUUUGUUUAGAGGCAACGUUCGAGGAGUAUUCCAAGCAUUAUAUUGAGAAGUUUAAGCCUAACACUGUGAGUGGACAUUUUGGUUUUUCUUAAAUAUGCGUGCAUGACUUUAUAAAUUAUGAUUUUAUUUUCCGAGCAUAUAUUAUAACUUCGGCUUACUAAAUGAUCUUGGAAAUUAUUUUAAGUUUGAUGCAUGGAUUAAUUGUGCACCAUGAUUUAUGGAUUUGAGCUCGGAUCAUUAAUUUGGUACUUGAGUUUGGAUAUCAUUUAUGAUUUCCGGAUUUAAUUAUUAUCGGCUUUAUUGUUGACUUUGAGAUUUAUUAAAGACUACCGAAACUGGGAUUUUCAGUAAUUCUCUUUUUAUAACUUUCUCGGUUAUUUGUGGUUUAUCGACCUUGACAUUGAGAAUAUUUUGACGUGUGAGACACGUCAUUGAGUAUUGUUACAUUGCUUGGUUGAGUGGGCCGGGAUACUUAUCUCGUGAGCUUUAUCUAGUGGGCCGGGAUACCUUUCUCGUGAGCUCUAUCUAGUGGGCCGGGAUAUUUAUCUUGUGAGCUCUAUAUGAUCUUCUUAUUUCAUUAUAUAAGGGUUGUUGUAUAUUAUUAUUGCUAGCUAGCCUUUAGCGUGGGACGUUAUUAAUAGAGUCUGGGAGGCUCCGACCCUAGCCUGGGAGGCUCAUCUUUAUGGUGAAACCCCUUUCUAGUUUCUUGGAUUUAUUCGAACCAACGGGAUUGGUUCGUCAUUUGUACUCUUUUAGAAGUAUUAUGAGUGAGCAUCAAGUGUUGCAUGCAUAGUUGUAUUUUCGUUGAUCAAAUCGGGAAAACAUAAAUAUUUUUAUUGGUUUAUUUCCUUUAAAUUUAUUCUUGUCCACUCACUCUAACGUUUUCGAAUGUUUUCCCCUAGGCCCUUCGGUUUUAAAUGCCCAGUUUGCAAGUUAGUAUAAUUGAGGUCGGGCGUACUUGGAGUCGAGGCAUAGUCCAUCGUAUAGCUUAAGCUUAAAUAUAUAUUUAUCUCCCCUUCACUGUUAGAAUUGCUCUGAACCUAUUAAUUGUUGGUUAUGGGAUUUUUGUUAGAUUAGUAAAUAUAAAUUUUUUAGAUGUUGUGAUUUGUGGGGAGCACGGAGGCUUCAGGAGUUUAUAAGAUUGAAGUUGAAAUUUUUAGAAGUGUUUGCAGGUAUUUUUAUUUAGGAAGGGUUGCCUAUUUUCAAGGGAGGUUAUGCCGAGUUUUCGGUAAAUUUUCCUUGGAGGUGGACCCCGUAGGAUUUACUUCUGGUUUCAGAGUGAAAUUCGGGGUGGGUCCUGACAACAUUGACGUCACCCGAACACGGCUCCAACUUCCCGAAGGCCGUCCGGUCAAUUCCUCAAGCAAUUGAGGUGCACCGGCCUUCCCUCUAUGUCUCAUUGGCCCCUGUAAUGCUCAUUGCUCGUUUUGAAAGCCUAUUUUUAACUAAAUUAGGAGUGAGACUCUCCUAUGCUAAAUUACACAAAGUGAACAUUCCAUUCUUACAUCAACCUAUGUUGAUAGAUACAACCAACUUGCGAACACCUUUUUUUAUGCUUUAUGGUGUUGGUUGAAGUGUUAACACACUGGUCACGUGUUACACUAUUAUCUACUGCUUAUGCUGCUUAUACUUCUACGGGCUCACUACCCAUUCUUUAAAAAAGUUUAUCGGGAUGUCAGUUGAAGUGUCUUGUACCCCAUGUUCACACGCAAUACGGUCUCACCGAGGCUACGACCAAGCAACUUUAGCUUGUCGCUCGAACAUUAUUGAUGCACACCAAUCUUUUUAUUGCGUCUUGGGGCUAUGCAAUAUUUGCAUGCAGCUUUACUAUUCAUCUACGACCCACCAUCAUUGAAUAUUUUUGUACUACAGCUCGUGACUGUCACUACCAGGACAAGCACUUUAGCCGACGAAAAAGUUUCAUCGGCCAGUUAGCUUAAUUCGUCGGCUAAGAUCUUACCCGACGAGCCUUCGUCGGCUAUAGUUUCGUCGGGAAAGAGGCGUCGGUGAUGACUUUAGCCGACGAAAUUAGAAAACGUCGUCGGCUAUUGUCCCAGUAUUUAGCCGACGACAGAAGACGUCGUUGACCAUAGUCUGAGACUUUAGCGAACGAAACAUUUAAGAUAUUCGUCGGCUAAAGUAUGUAAUAAAAAAUUAAAAAAUAACUAUAGCCGACGAAAUAUAGUCUGUUUCGUCGGCUUUAGAAGUGUUUAGCCGACGAAACAUGCCAUAAUUUGUCGGCUAAACCUUAUAAAAAAAUUAAAAAAUACUAUAGCCGAAUAUAGUCGGCUAAAGUAUUUAAAUAUCGUCGGCUAAAGUAUUUAAAUAUCGUCGGCUAAAGUAUUUAAAUAUCGUCGGCUAAAGUUGCUGGUUUUUGAAAAAAAAAACUGUAGAAACUUUCGGCCACCUCCAAUCAUCACCAAAAUUUGACAAAAUCUUCCUCUCAACAUUUCGAACAACUUUCUAGAAGAAGUCAAACCCAAUUCUAAGCCUAAACAGGUCAAUUGAAUCAAAAUAUAAAAAUCCCUAAUUUUAAACCCUAAAAACUUUAAAUCUUCGAUUCUCUUCACACACACCGAAUCGAGCUACCAAAUUCUAGGGGAAUGUAGUACUAAUCAAACUCAACUUAUCCAUAUAUAGAACUCACCAAAUGGUGACCUAAGGAAGGAGAAAUUCGAUCGACACCGAAUCCAAACCGGCGGAGUUUUAGAGCUCGAUUUAUCCCUCACGGCGGCGCCACUCAAUGCACCACCUGUCCAGCAAUGAAGUAGAGAUGACGGCGAAGUUUUUAGGACAAGUGUGGCGGUCUCCGGUGGCUUGACGGCGGAGCUAGGCCGAGAAGAAAAUCCGGCAGGCGAAACAAUAACUUUUUCUGAUUUUCUGACUUCUUACCAUCCACCUCUGGUAAAACUCCUAUAUAAAGAACUUUACCCGACGAAAUUCUUUAUUUUCAUCGGCUAAACUCUUUUGAAAAUUUUGAUUGACCGCAAAAAUUUUUUUGACAAUAGCCGACGAAAUCAUAUAUUUUCGUCGGCUAGAGUCCUUUGAAAAUUUUCCUCCAAAUUUGGUUUACCACCAAAAAAAUUUUGACCUUAGCCGACGACUUUUUUAAGAUCUCGUCAGCUAAAGUCUAUAAAUUCACGAAAACGCUCAUAUCUCCCUCUAUAGUAAGUAGUUUGGUCAAACCUUCCACACGAAAAACUUUCACGUAGAUGAGACGCAACCGCCUAUAUAAAAAUUUGAGACAUUUACCUUCCGACGAUAGGGCUCCCCAUAGGGAAUAAUAACGGUAAAUAGGGUUGACCGCUACUAUCGGUACCGAGACGUUACCUGAUUUACAUGAUUUUUGAACCAUAGCCGUAUUUCACCAUUCUAAACACAUCUUAUUUCACGAGAUUUUUGAUAAUUUUGCUUCCUAUGUAGAGUUGGUUCACAAAGUUGUAUUACCUACUAAACAAGUUAUACAACAUUCGUAGACACGUUGUGAUUACGAUGAUUAAAAUUCACAAACCAAAAUUCGACCAUCAGAUAUGAUCAUUAUGAUAAAAGAUGUCUGGAAUUCAACUGGAUCCGACAACGUUAAGGGCUCGAUCGAAACGGUCAACCCUAAUCCAUCGUCACUUAUCACACAAAAACGCUCAUAUCUCCCUCUAUAUUACAUAGUUUGGUCAAACCUUCCACAUGAAAAACUCUCACGUAGAUGAGACGCAACUGACCAUAUAAAAAUUUUGAGACAUUUACCUUCCGACGAUAGGGCUCCCCAUAGGGAAUAAUAACGGUAAAUAGAGUUGAUCGCUACUAUCGGCACCGUGACGUUACCCGGUUUACGUGAUUUUUGAACCAUAGCCGUGUUUCACCAUUCCAAACAUGUCUUAUUUUUACAAAAUUUUUGAUAAUUUUGCUUCCUAUGUAGAGUUGGUUCACAAAAUAUAAAAAUUUUGAGACAUUUACCUUCCGACGAUAGGGCUCCCCAUAGGGAAUAAUAACGGUAAAUAGAGUUGACCGCUACUAUCGGCACCGAGACGUUACCCGGUUUACAUGAUUUUUGAACCAUAGCCGUAUUUCACCAUUCUAAACACGUCUUAUUUUCACAAGAUUUUUGAUAAUUUUGCUUCCUAUGUAGAGUUGGUUCACAAAGUUGUAUAACCUACUAAACAAGUUAUACAACAUUAGUAGACACGUUGUGAUUCUGAUGACUAAAAUUCACAAACCAAAACUCGACCGUCAGAUAUGAUCAUUAUGAUGAAAGAUGUCUAUGGUAAAAAAUUCAACUGGAUUCGACAACGUUAAGGGCUCGAUCGAAACGGUCAACUCUAAUCGGAAAUAAGAAAACUGCAUUUUGAAGCCCUAAAUAGACUUGGAUGGCCAAAAAGGCCCAUAUUUCAUGGCAUAGCAAUGAGUUUGACUCGUAGGGCCGUUACGCUUCCGGAAAGGUAUCAUAAUAGUCAAUCGGACACUGAACGCCAAAUCUGCAGCAUACCGGGUUUCGAUUGUUCUACAUCAGAGACGUUACCCGAUUUACGUGACUUUUGAACCAUAGUCGUGUUUCACCAUUCUGAACACAUCUUAUUUCAUGAGAUUUUUGUUAAUUUUGCUUCUAUGUAGAGUUGGUUCACAAAGUUGUGUAUUUGUUUAAAACCUACUAAGCAAGUUAUACAACAUUUUAUUGUUUUUCUUUUAGCAGACGGAUAAUAGCCAACGAGAUUUUUUUUCGCCUACUAAAAUACUUUAGCCGACGAGUAAAAACUUUGGCCGACGAAAAAAAAUUUUGUCGGCUAAAGUAUAGUAUAGCAGACGAAAUUUUUUUUCCGUCGCACUAGGAAGAAAACAAACUUAGCAUAACCUGAUCCAUUGAUCAGUGAUACUCAAAUCUGUCUCAUGAAGUCUGAAUUGUGAUUAUCGUUGGGGGACACCUCAAUGUCAAAUCCAAUCCAUAUAGAGAUCUAUACAAGUAUUACACUAGUGUACAUGAGGACGCGGGAUAAUGAGUCUACUAUCGAACCACCCUUCGUUGAUUGGCCAAAUGGAAAGAUGCGAUCCAGCAUUAACAAAGAGAUAGGUCCUUGGGCAGGUGAUGCCGACACCGCAAGUUAAACCCUAUCAACUAUGCCUUUGUUAGAUAGCGUAGUGAGAACAAGAGCUUAGACUCACCUUAUGGCGCAAGGUCUCUCACUAACAAGCACUGAGAUCGACUACGAUGAGAUAUGCUCUCGUAAUGGAUGUCAUUGCACUCCACUACUUUGUCAGUUUGGUAGUUUUCCGAAUAACUGAACAUGCAGCCUAUGAAUGUGGUCAUAAUAACAUCUCUACAGGAUCAGAGAUAUACAUGAAGAUCUUAAACAGACUUCAUUCAUCUUAAUCAAGUUGCUCCAGACCACAGGAGCACGCGUUCGCUAAAGGUUUUGAAACGCACAUUAAGUAACUAAUUUGCGUGUUCAUUCUGGAUUUACAUGGACUCUUGAUGGAUCAAGAGAUGCCAAUAUGUAUCAACAUUUUAAGAAAAAGAUCUUGAGAAGACACAGUCUCGACAAGGCACUCGAUGAUUGUAUUGAUGAUGAUUUUCCAUCAAUCGGCUUAGGCGCUCUAUAACUAGUGAGGCCUACAUAUACUCCCAUGAUUAGUCAAAGUCUUUGCUUUAAAGAGAGAUCCGUUUUUUUGUCUAAAGCAAGAUGACAAAUAUGUGUUAAGAGAUGGAGUUCCCAUCUAAGUACAAUAAGAUGCAUCAAUGUACUCAACACAAUACGAAACACUUGACAUCUCAUUCGUUAUGAAAAGUUGUAAAGCUAAGUGUAGCUAUGCGCCCACGUAACGCCAAUGUAAUGGCAGUAACUCUUUUUUUAAAUAGUUAAUGGUAUGAAAGGUUGAGGCUUAUUCUAUCCCUACAUAAGAAAGACACAUCAAUAGCGAAAUUAGAAUCUGCCAAGUUUCGUAGGUCAAUUUCUACGGGACCUACAGGAAAUUUCACUCACUGGAAAAUGGUGAAAUUGGUGCCACUGGAAAGCUCUAUGUGUCUACUUUCCAGGGACACCAACCAUUUAAUCAUAUCUAUCAUAUUGAGUGAGUUAUGGCUUUUUUCGUAAAGUAGGACGAAUCUGUCCGAGAAUCUGAUUUUGGCAAAACAGUUAAAUUUGACAGGACUUUGUGAAUAGCUCCUGACGAACCAGAACAUGUGUAAUAUACAGUUGGAAAGCUAAAUGAGUCUAGUUUCCAAAACCGUUUACGGUUCAUUCAUAUGUAUUUCCUAGAGGAAGUUACGGCUGUUCUAGUAACUGAAGGUCAUGCUGUGCGGAAAUCUGAUUUCCUGCACGAACUUAUGUUUUGAGUUCACAAGCGGUCUUCUCCUCAAGAUCUAAAUGUAAAAGAUCAUGUUUGAGGACAAUACGGCAUGAUCUAGUUAAUCAUUGCCCAAUGCCACAUUUGAAGACAUGUUAAAGAGCAUUGACAUGCGAAGUUAUUGAAGUUUCCGUGAUUAGUAAGAAUCAGGAAGAGCCCUAUGAUUGAUGUAAGGGAAAAUUUCAAAAACAGUACACCAAUUAUGGUCCACUCUAAAGACUAGUACAUUAUCUUUUGAGAAAAUCAAAACAGUACAUGAAGUUGUAAUUAUGACCCAAAAUCGAUACAUGCCGUUAUUUUUUCUGUUAUUUGGUGUCUCUACCAUUAAACUUCAAAGGAUAAAUUCGUCCUUCUCUUGCUUCCUCCUUCUAUCUCUGAAACUAGAAAAAGCUGCAGCAAUUUUGCAAACUCUUUUAAAUAUAAAACAGAUGAGCAUGAACCAAAAAAAACCCAAAAUCCCAAAACCCUGUAUGGUUCAUUGGUUCUUCUACCAAGGGUUUUAAUCUCCAAUUUAUUUAUGAAACCCAUUGCUUCCUAGUGAGCCCAACCGCUGUCCUCUCACCAGAAUCAUCGUCUUAAAUGAAAAAAGUUAAAAAAAAAAAAAAAAAAGUAGAUUCCUCCUGCAAUUAUGAAUGGGUAUUGCAUGUUCUUCUAUUUGUUCAUAUCUGGGUAAUAUUGUUGCUUUUUUUUGUUGUUGCUAUGGUAUGGUAGGAUUGUCAAACUUCAAGAAUUUGUGAAGAACAUUUCAAACCCGUCACCAUGCGAACUGAAUUUCCAACCCCAAAAUCAAUAGAAAAAACCCAAACUCAUCUAUUUUAUAUUUAAAAAAGUUUGCAAAGUUGCUGUAGUUUUUUCUUGUUACAAAGAUAUAUAGAAGGAGGAAGCAAGAGAAGGACGAAUUUAUCCUUUGAAGUUUAACGGUAGAGACACCAAAUAACAGAAAAAAUAACGGCAUGUAUCGAUUUUGGGUCAUAAUUACAAUUUCAUGUACUGUUUUGAUUUUCUUGAAAGAUAAUGUACUAAUCUUUAGAGUGGACCAUAAUUGGUGUACUGUUUUUGCAAUUUUCCCUUGAUGUAAAGAUCAGGGGGAGGUGCGAACUUCAGGGGGAGUCUAGCACAUACAUACAUGUCACUAUCAAAUGUGAAGGGUGCGUUGUACUCUUUUUCUCCUACGAUUAAGGUUCAGUUUUUCUCCCACAGGGUUUUUGUGACUUGACGAGGUUUUUGACGAGGCAAAAAAUCAGCACCAUCGGCAUAUCAGCGCGCGGCACAAGGGAGAGUGUUCUAGGAUAUUCUGUAUCUUUCUAGAUAUUCUUUAUGUGUGCCUUGGCCUUAUGCCAAUAGGAUAUGUAGUUUGACUAAAUCUAUGUAUUCCUAUCCUUACCAUAUUGGUAUUGUGUAAUUCCUUAUAUAAAGGGCUCCUAUCUUUGAAUAAUACACACAUCUUUCACAAUUCUCUAUUCUCAAAUAUCUCUCACUUCAUCAAAUUAGUAAUUAAUGGUUAUUUGAAUUAUGAGACUAGAGUUAGAAUAAAAAUUAUGAUACUCAUCCUAAUUUAAAGAUAUUGAGGAAAAAGAUGCAGGAAAUGGCCUCAACUUGAAAAGUUAAAACUUAGAAGUAUAUACCUAUCUUCUCAUCAGGAAUGGAGGUAGAAAAUCCCUUUAAGAUUGGUUUAUAUUAGUAAGGAUGUCUAACACAACAUCACACACUAAAUUCAUAAACAAGAGAACCCUGACAAGCAACGAAUUGACAAACACAAUAUAGUAUGCAGGUCUUCAAAUUACAAAGCAAACCAAACUAUCUAACUAGUUGUGCAACAAAACCCCUCAAUUAUAAUUGGUUUUUAGACAACCCAUUUGAUAACUAUUACUUUGAAAAAUUAAUUAUGAUUUGUUGGCAAGUUUGGAGAGCAAGGAACGAUACUAUCUUUAGGGGUAAGAAUCCCAACCCCAAAUCUAUUCCAGUUCUUGCUGCUUGCCAUCAAAGCAAUGCCCUACAAAUUGAUAUGCAAAGGUCUACAAUGCAUGAUCCUGUUGAAAUGAACAUGAUUAGGUGGUCACCACCCCCUUCAAAUUGGGUUAAAAUAAAUUUUAAUGGUUCUGUAAGAAGUAAAGCUGCUGCUGGAGGUUUUAUUUUAAGAACAGAAGAUGGUAAACCUCUUGUGGCAGCUGCCUUCAACUCUAGUGUUGCUAGUCUCUCUCUUGCCGAAACUCUUGCACUAAGAAAUAGUCUAGUAUGCGCUAAAGAGAAAGGCUUAUCAAAGAUUGAAGUAGAAGAUGAUUCCAAGCUCAUCAUUGACAUUGUGAAUGGAGUUUGUGAUCCCCUUUGGAGGCUUCUGAAGAUAUUCCAAGAUAUAAAUUUUUUUGAGAUGUAAUUUUGUAUCCAUCAGCUUCAAACAUGUAUUGAGGAAAGCUAAUUUCGUGGCCAAUGUUUUGGCUAACAUAGGGCAUAGGGUUGAGAAUUGUCACUUCUGGGAGGAGUGUCCCGAAGCAUUUCUUGCCCUUGCCUUCGACAAUGUAAACUCUGGGUGCCGGCGAGCACCUCUAUUUAAUAGAUUUUCUUCUCAUCAAAAAUAAAUAAAAAACAAAACCCCUCAAUUUCCAUAAACUCUAACUGCUCCAAUCAUCAGAAACAACAGUUUCGUACACAUUCGAUUGCAUACACAGAGAAUUAAACCUAUAUUUAUGAAUCUCAAAAGACUGGAUUAUGAAAUUACCUCGAGCUUUUCCUCGUUGUUCGCCAUAUUGAGUUCGGAGCUCUAACACGAUCUCACCUCUCUUUCUUCCUCUCUACCUCUCUCCUCUCUCUCUCUCUCUCAAUCUCACACUGGCACUCUCUCUAUGUGUGUUUCUCGUUCAAUUUUGUGUUUCACUAUAAACCCGUCUAGUGGCAGUAGGGUUUGUUCAGCUUGAGGGGGACAUGUGGCGGCAUCCUACUUGAUUGUAUACUGUCCAAGUUUUAUGAAACAUCGCCGUAUUAAACUGAAGAGCAGGCAUGACAUUGGACAAAGAGAGUCCACCCUAAUAGUUUUACCUAUAUAACUCCACUUUUCUUACUCAAAUUAUUUCCCCUUGACUGUCUUACCCUUGUGCAUAAAGAUAUUAGACCUGUGGCGCUCAAAAUGUCUCUCAUUGCUGUCACCCAAAGGGCCAAAACCUCGCUCUGCAACGCCGGCUCGACUACGAUUGCGGUCACCACCGACAACAACGUCGGCUCGACCUCGACUGCAUCUCCAAUUCUAUCGACGAUGACCUCCGACUCGACAUCGGCUGAAUCUUCGAUUUUGACCUCGAUUGGAUCUCCGAUUCUGUCGUCGACAACCUUGAUUGGAUCUCUUAUUCCGUCCUCGACCGGAUCACCAAUUUGGCCGACAAAAACCUCGAUUGGAUCUCUGAUUCUUUCAAUGACCACCUCAACUCGAUCUCUGAUUCCAUCGACUGAGUCUUGCUCGACCUUAGCUGCAUCUCUAAUUCGGUGACAUAAGUUUCUAAUCUCGUUGGCUUUGGUUUACACGAAUUUAAAACAAGCAACUAUGUGCUUUGCUUAUAUUUGUUGUGUGAUGGUGAUGGUUUUUAGGAUGAAAGAGAAGCACGGGAGCCUCAAUGUGAAGGCGAAGUAGAGAAAUAACCAAUUAGGAUCCGGAUCGAGGGAUAUCUAUUUUUACACAAAUUUUGACACUCGUUUUUAGCUUUUAGAUUUUAAAUUUUUUAACGGUGUAGAUUAAUUGUGGAUAUGAUGUGAACCACUACUAGAAAUAAGUUCUUAGGUGACGAAAUUUUUUCGUCACCUAAGAGCUUCUAUUGUCCUGUAUUGAUGUAUACACUAAUACGACGAAAAUUUCGUCACCUAAGGUUCGUCAUCUAAGGGCGGUGGUUAGAGCACUUAGGUGACGAAAAUAUGAAUUUCGUCAUCUUAGUAAUGACUAAGAUGACGAAAACCUUUUUGUCGCCAAGAUACUUAGCUGACGAAAUAAUUUUCGUCGCCAAACUACUUAGUUGACGAAAAUAAUUUUGUCGCAAAUCUGGUUACAUGACGUAGUAUGACCAGCUAAGGUGACGAAAUCAGUCAUUACGAAAACACUAACACUACGAAAACAGUCAGUUUGCUGACAAUUCUUUCAUCGGGCUAGGGCCACGAAAGUUGAAUUUUCAUCACCUUAGUGCUAUUUAUAUUUAUUAAAUUUGAUCAUUAAUAAUUAUUAAAAUCACAUUUAAUAUUAACAAAAAUAAAUUUAAAAAAAAAGUCUCAAUAUUUCAAAAACCCACUAUUGGCCAAAGCAGCACCUAGGCAGUAGCAAACAUAUAUAUAUAUAUAUAUAAUCAAGUUCAUAUACAAACUCAUCAAGAGUAGUACUUGAUCAAUAUAGACUUGUUCAUACAAAAUAUAUACUAGCUAGAAAAUGAACUAGUGACUAUGAAGGGCUAUCAAUUGAAUCAAUGCCUCCAUCAUCAUGAUCAUCAUCAUUGGGAUGCUCCUGGGGUGGGACUGCCGGCUGGCAUACGCCGAAUUUGGUGAAAAGAAACUGCUCACAUUGUUGAAGACGUGCCAUGAUUUGUAUGUUCUCUUCCUUGGCUUUUCGGGCUUCCUCAUUGGCUUUCCGGGCUUCCUCCUUAGCCUUUCAAGCUUCCUCCACAGCAAUAUCAACAAGUGCAGCUCGUUGGGAACGUGAAGUGCAGCUCCUAUCGGGCCCUUGACUCAAACCAUAACUGCCUACUAGUCCCAUGACCCAGAUCUCAUUCAUGUUUCUAUGUCUAAAUGCUUUUUCAAACACAAUCGCUUGAGUUUGUUGGUCAAAAUGAAGAUCAAUAUCUUCUUCCGGAAUGCCAGGGUAUUCCUUCCUCACAUUGUCACGGAUCUCAUCAAGCUUAUCCAUCAGUUUAGCCUAACAAAAGAAGUAUAUGUUUUACAAAAACAAUUACUAUGGAGAAUAGAGUUUUGAGGGCAGUAAUAUCUAUAUUGCUGAAAGUCAUUAAUCAUAGGCUCUCAUCUAGCAUUAUUAACCCAUCUAUAUAUAUUGAUUACCACCACAUAUUAAUCAACCUCCAUAUAUCAAGGUAUCAAGAAACUUAGUCUGAGAUGCACUAUGAAUGACAUUAACUGCCACAAUUCUUUUUUGAGAAGUCACUAGUAUAUGUUCCUUAUUGUGGUUUUUGCUUAUGACAUGCAUUAUUAUAUAUUACAAGUUACUCAUGCAUUUGGCAGGAAGUAAUGCAAGUUAACUAGUUAAUAUCGUGCAAAAAAAAACUAAUUCACAAUAUUGUUGCUUCCAGAGACCAAGAAGUAAUGCAAAGGCAGGAUGUAAACCACUUACUUCAUUUUCAGCUGCUUUCAAGUUGUGAGCUGAGUCAUACACCUGUGAGUAACUUUUAAUAAAAUAGAGGUGUUCACCCUUGUCCUUCAAUUCCUUCGCAUUGUAGAUGAAAGGCCUCGCCCCGGUGUAGUGGUACAAUGUCUUCUUGUCCCGGUUACUCUUGUUUGCAGCCGAUCUUCUCUGUAAUUUCAUCAUAUUAACAAUUUGGUUAUUAACAUCAAGCUUAAUCAUCAAAAACCAUAAACACAAAACUGACCAAAUGAACAGUAGUAAUGCAAAACCCAGAUAUAUACUUGUACCCAGAGAAACUGUUGUAGUAAUGCAAGUAAUAUAUAUAUACUUGUACCUAGAGAAACUACUGUAGUAAUCAGUGGAAUAUAUAUACUUGUACCUAGAGAAAAUGCAAGCAAUAUACUUGUACCUUAAUCUACCUUGUACAGCAAAGAAAAAACUAAAGCCUUAUUUAUUUUCUGCUGGAUACAAAGUUAACCAAUUGAACUAAUCAUUCGAAGGAGCCAGAGAAUGGGGAGUAACAAUUGCAGCUGAUCAAUGGAUUGCCUUGUCAUCAGUUAAAAAAAUCUACCAACUUUUUGUGUAACACAAAAUGUCUCAAACUUUAAAUAGAUCAAUACUUUUGGUAGUCCAAAAUCCAGUAUACUUCUUCUCUACUCACAAGUUUGUGUUUGCUAAUAGAAUGAUGGGGCUAUUUCCGCAUUGCUUAAAAAAACCAAAUUCUAAACCACUUUGGUAAUUCAACAUGGAAGGAUUCCAUAAGGGAUUCCAAGAUUUCAAGUCCAUGGGAUAGAGGCGAAAUGGAUGACGUUAAUAUGAAAUAACAAGCACAAUAUAUGGAUGCAAUAGAGGUUCAAUAUCCUACACAGAUUCAAAACAAGGGUAUCUGAGGACUAAUUAAUCAAGAACUCAAGAAAAAGACAUGCAAAAGCCAAGAAACUGGUUUUCCAAAAAUCAAAUGGUCAGAAACAAGGCAGAACAACAAAGGUAAAACAACCUUGGCACCAACUAGCAAUAGCCAGCUACACAUAACACUGAAUACAAUAAGGGAGAAACUAAUCCUUUUGAUUAAACCAACAAAGUUUUGAAUAAACCAACAAACUUUCAGUAGCAACAGUUAGUUAUAAAAUGAAAGUAAUAUACUAUGAAUCCAUCAGACUCGAAGGGUUUGAGGAGCCAGUUCCACUCAUCCAGCCUGUCACACCCCGGUUCUUAAGUUAUUUUACGGUUAUCUUUGGUAUUAUUUUGGUCUUUUACUGUUUACUAUUUUAAGACUCCAAAAGUUGACUUUUUCUUCCAUUUGGACUUUAGGAAAAAUUCCUUCAUGAAAGUCGUAGAGGACAUUAAUACGAGUUCGUAGCAUGCUAUGCGUUAAAUUCGAUGUUUGCAUGACAAAGUUAUCAAUUAAAAGGGUAAACAUUAGUUGGUAAGGGGUAAAUUUUUAUUGGGUUUUAUUUUGUGGGUGUUUUAAGUGUUGGACCGGGUGUGGAGAAGCCCAACACCCACAUUCUCUUUCUCUCUCUCUUCACUCUCUCUCCCGAGCCUUCCCCGAGCUCUCGCUCCCGCCGAAAACUUUCCCAGCGUCGUCCGCGGCCGUCCGGCCACCAUAGACCGCCGCACCGGUCCCAAACGGUCGGCCGUCGACCCAGCUCUCUUCUUGGACCGGUGGGAACCGCCCUAGCUCCGCCGUGAGAGAGGAAAAGCUCUCGGAAGCUCCGGUUGCGUGGUGGAGUCCCGACGCAGGAACUCGCUCCUCCGGCCACCAUCUCCAGUGAUUUCAGUCCCAUUUGGAAGUGCUCUCCGUGUGUAACAUUUCCAUAGAAGGUAAUGAUCCAAUUCGAAGUGUGUAGGAGGAUUUUCGGGCUAGGGUUUGAAUUGGGGGAUUUUUGGAUGUUUUGAUUUGAUUACCCUAGUUAAGCUUAGAAUUGGACUAAGUGCUAGUUAUGAAAGUUGUUAUGCUUGAUGAGAGGAUUAUUCUGUUAAAUUUUGGGAGGCAAUGGGCACCGCCGGAGGUUUUUUUUCAGGUUUUUGGGUUUGUUAUAAUGAGAGGAGUCUAAUGAAGUAUAGUUUGGAAUUUUUGGAGGAGUUUUGAUAAGGUUUGGGAUUUUUAAAAGAUUAAGGAUUUUGCCGGUUAUUAGAAUGAAAAUCCGGCCUUGGAUUUCCUUGAUAUUUAUUAUUGGAAAAUGGGAAAGUAAUUAAGUUUGGUUAGUUAUGUUGCGAUCAGUUACUUGAUUAUUUUUCGUCCACUCACUCUAACGUUUUUAAAUUACUUUCCCUUGGGCCCUUUGGUUUUAAAUUCCCAGUUUGUAGGCUAAGUCUAAGUGAGGUCGAGCGUACAUGGAGUCGAGGCAUAGUCAGAGGCUGCUUCCGCUUAUUCUUUAUUCUUUGUUUUUCUUUCAUUAUAGAUGUGCUCUGAUAACUAUUUGAGAUAGUUGUUAGUUGAUUAAGGUUUGUUGUAUUUUUGGGAGAUGUGUGGAACUUGAGGAGCAGGAAGGCUCCAGGUUGAGGCUGGUUUAUUUGUUUAUAGAAGUGUAAAUUGGAUUUUUCAGGUAAGGGUUGUCCAUUUUCAAGGUAGAUUAUGCCGAAUUUUUGGAAAAUUUUCCUUGGAAGUGAACCCCGCAAGAUUUACCUCGGGUUUCAGGGUAAAUUUUCCAAGGUAGAUUAUGCCGAAUUUUCGUUAAAAUGCUCAAUGAAAUAACCAAUCCAAAUAAUCAACAUAUUUCAAACCUCAAAUCCUUGAAUCAUUAUAAUUAAUAUAACUUAAAAUACCAAAUCUUUUACCCAAGCUCAAAUUCAUAACUUCCUCAAUGAAUUCAUAAUCAAUGGGUCAAUCACACAUAAAUCCCAUAACCAAUUCAAAAGCCGUAAUUAUAAUUUAAGCUUGGAAAAAUGUAUAAUGAACAACUUAAAAAUCAUGCAUGCAUAUUAGUUAAUAACCAAAAUGUCCACUCACAGAAAAACCCGCUACGUCGGUCCGCGGUCAAAACCCUUCUCACGUGGGGUCUCCUCUCAUCCUGUACAAAAUGAGAUUUAAGACCCGAGACAACAAUCACAAAAUUAAUCAAUUAUAAGGAAAAGCUAUCCUAGCACUAAUCUCACUCACCCAAACUUUCCAAAAUCUACUUAUAGCUCUACUUUAUCAACAACUUCCUACAAUACGACGAGGAAUGGACCAAACGAAUGAGCCUCCUCAAUUUCUCCCCUACCAAAACUAAUUCCAACACCAUAUCCCAAAUUUCAAGCAACCAUCUCCAAAAAUCCCCUACACUAAAUCAACAUUAGUCCCUUCUAAAAAUCAUCACCAUGUAAGGCAGCAGCCACCAGCAGUGGCGGUCAACCACCACCACCAUAUCAACUUCAACCAAAACUAGUAAAGCAUAUACCAAUCUCUUCUUCUCAACAAACACAACAACAAUCAAAACUAGCACGAACUCUAGAAAUCAAAGACUUGGCCGAAAAUUACCUCUAAAGCACAACAACACCAAAAAUUCCGAUUUGCCUUCUACUCCGAAUCAUUCUACCACUUUUGGGUGGUUGAAUGGCCAAUCAAUGAGCUAUAAAACCCCUCAAAGAUCACUUGAAUCGGUGGCCGAAAAAAUGGAGUUCUGGCUAGGGCAAGACUCACGACGGCAGCAGCGUCACCGCGCCUCAACACCGCCGAUUCUGGGCCGGUCACCACCCUAGGCUGGACGAGCGGCGUCUCAACUAUCAAACGUGACCCGCGAGGCAGCCAGGCGUGAUCGGACGACGGCGAUCGGUAGGGGAGAGGUUGGACUGGUCUGGGUCGGGGUCGGGGUCGGGGAGAGAGAAGGUGAGGUGCGGUUAUUUCUGUUUUCUAUCUUAACCCAAAAAAAUAACAAGUUUCCCCCCACUUAUACCCCAGCCCAAAAAUGGUAAUUAUCAUUAUUUUAGCUACCCUUCACUUACAAACUCCAGUUCGGGUAACUAAAAGUCUACACGUUUGUCUACACCACCUCUACCGAAAAUAAAAAUAAAUUCCUGAGUUGACAAGCUACAGUUAAAUCGAAAACCACAAUAUAAAAAUAAUUACUAGGUUCGGGGUGUAUCACCACUUGUACCACUACUGCAAACCCACCUCUCGACAUGCAAACCCGACUUCUCCUCUAGCUCAGCAAUUCUGUCACUCAGUUAGCUACACGAAUCGAAGGCGUUGAGAGUCGCGGGAGCCAGCGACCUCUAUUCUCGGGGUAUGGACAUCGCCCAAGUCCCUUCACGGCACGGGUGCAAAUGGAAAAGAGGCCACCCAAGGCCAAGCCUUUCAAAGUGGACAAAUAUAAGGGGACUGGGGACCCUCAUCUCCAUCUCGAAACAUUCCUUUCGUUGUGUAGUUCCACUCGAUACACAGAUGCCAUGGUUUGUCAUGCCUUCUAAGAAACCCUCUCAAAUGAAGCACUCAGUUGGUUCCUCAACCUGCCACACAACUCCAUUGAUAAUUUUAUGAAAAUCUACCGAAAUUUGUAUUCAUGCAUCACUGGUGUCUCCCUUCUUUCUAUUUUCAUAAUGUAUUACAUGCUAUUCAUAUAUUGUAAGUUUGCAUACAUCUAUAUAUAUAAGCGAAGAGUGUUUUUCACUGUUCACGUGAACAGUGACGUGACCCUUUUGUCUUUCCUUUUUAAAUCUUUUUACACCUCUGCCAUUCAGUUCUUAGGUUUUUUUUUUUUUUUUUUNNNNNNNNNNNNNNNNNNNNUUACAAUCCACCCCCCUUCGGGAGUCCGACGCCCUCGUCGGCACACUCGCACCACACGGCAGAGUGGCUCUGAUACCAUUUGUCACACCCCAGGACCCAUUCCGCCGUAACACGAUAUUGUCCGCUUUGGGCCCACCGGCCCUCACGGUUUUGUUUCCGGCAGCUCAGGAGCAGCUUCCUAGUAGGUCACCCAUCUUGGGAUUGCUCUAGCAUCAACAUGCUUAACCUCGGAGUACCCAUCCCCUCCGAAGCCGCUGAGCCACCAAAAGGCCUCGUGUUAGAUUGGAGGUGGGCAUGUAUAUAUACAGCACAUAACCCCUCUCCGUUUGGCCGAUGUGGGAUAUUACAAUAAAAAAUUUGGACCAUUUCUAGAUUUAUGCGUGUCAUCCUUGCGCAGGGGCCAUGCUAAUCUUCUCUAUAUCGUUCCAAUUUUAUCGGAUGUCCACGUAACACGAUAUUGUCCGCUUUGGGCCCACCGGCCCCCACGGUUUUGUUUCCGGCAGCUCAGGAGCAGCUUCCCAGUAGGUCACCCAUCCUGGGAUUGCUCUAGCAUCAUCAUGCUUAACCUCAGAGUACCCAUCCCCUCCGAAGCCGCUGAGCCACCAAAAGGCCUCGUGUUAGAUUGAAGUUGGGCAUGUACAUAUACAGCACAUAACCCCUCUCUGUUUGGCCGAUAUGGGAUAUUACAGUUUAAUUCAUAUAAGGGGUAUGGACACAUAUUUAUACACCCGUCUGUCCACCUUGAUGGCGUAGUGUAGCACCGCAUUAAGGCGUGACGUGAGCGUUGGACGCGAGCGUAGUAGCCCUAUAUAGACCCAUGAAUUUAUAUAGGGAGUAUGGACGAGUGUAAAUACAUACAUAUAUUAUAGAGUCUGAGAGGCUCGAUAUUUUAUGAGAUAAAAGUUUUAUCGCUUGCGGCAUGCAUUCGAUUUUUCCUUAGAAAUUAAUUUGGGGAAACAUAAAUAUUUUAUUUAUUAUUUUAUUUUUUGUCCACUCACUCUAACGUUAUUAAAUGUUUUCCCCUGGGCCCUUCGUUUUAAAUUGCCCAGUCUGCAGAGUUCGGGUUGGAUCUAGUAGGAGGGGAGGCAUAGUCACCCGCAUUUCUGCCAGUUUUCGUUAGUAGGUUACUUGUUCAACCUACUCGUGUUUUCUUGCUUCCGCUAGUGUUUAGUAGCUCUGAAUACUUUGGGAUUAUUGUAUAUUAUGUGUAGAAUUUCUGAAGGAUAAUUAUGUGAUGUUUGGAAGUGCUAAAUUAAGAGUGUAAUUUGGAAUUUUCGAGUUAGGGUUGUCUAUCUGCAAGGGAGAUUUUCUUAAUCUUUUCAGUAAAUUUUCCUUGGAGGUGGUCCUCGCACGACUUACUCCGGGUUUUAGGGUGAAAUUUGGGGUGGGUCGUGUCAUUGACUAUGCCUUUUCUCCAUGUACGCCCGACCUCAACUAUACUAACCUGCAUACUAGGCAUUUUUGAAACGAAGGGCCCAAGGGAAAACAUUUGAAAUUGUUAGAGUGAGUGGACAAAAAUGAAUUUAAUGAAAAAUGUCACGCCCCGGUUCUUAAGUUAUUUUACGGUUAUUUACUUUAGUAUUAUUUUGGUCUUUUACCGUGUUAAGUAACCGGUUACCCCUUAAGGACCCUAAAGUUGACUUUCUUUUCCGUUUGGAUUUUGGGGAAACUUUCUUCAUGAAAGUUGUAGAGGACGUUAAUACGAGUUCGUAGACAUGCUAUGUGUUAAAAUCGGAGUUAGCAUGAAAAAGUUAUUAUUAAAAGAGUAAAUUUUGAGUUAGAAAAGGGGCGUAAUUAUUAAUGGGUAUUAUUUUUUGGUCGGGUUUAUAGCUGGGCCGGCUGUGGAGAAGCCCAAAACCCUCACCCCUCAUUUCCUCUCUCUCCCUCUCUCCCUCACCCGUCACUUUCUCUCCCUCCCUCACCCGUGCAACUUGACCGCCGGAGAAGAGCCUCUGUCCGCUGCCGUCCGGCCGCCAGGGACCGCCGGACCACCUCUACCUGGACCCCCCGCCACCUCCUCUCCCUCCCCGGCCUAGCCCCCGAGCCGUUAGCCCGCUGGAAGAGGAGAAAACCCGCCGGAGACGCCGGGAAGCUUUUCGUCGGAAAUCCCACCUUCGGCCGCCAUAAGUCGAAAUCUUUAACUCAUCUUGUAGCCCUCAUCAAGGUGAGUAAUCCCUCAAAAGGAAUUAGUCUAUCUCGUUGUGGUUAUAGAGAAAUGUAUAAUUGAAGUUUUAGGGAUUUAUGGAUGUUUUGGUUCGAUUGCCCUAGUUAGCCUUAGAAAUGGACUAAGUGCUAGUUAUGAAUGUUGUUGAGCAUGAUGAGAGGAAUAUUCUGUGAAAAUUUGAGAAGUAUUGGAGGUCUCCGGAAAACGGCUGCCGGCCGCCGCCACCGGCAGGGCAGCUGCCGCCGCCGCCCCUUAAGGGCAGUUUUUCCUGUUUUUGAGAUGGUUUUAAUAAGAGGAGUUUAUUGAAAUAUAGUUUGGAAUUUUUGGAUGAGUUUUGGUUUGGUUUGGAAUUUUUCGGAGAUUGGAGAAAAGGCCGGUUAUUAGAAUGAAAAUCCGGCCGUUGGAUUUCCUUGGUAUUUAUUAUAGAAUGUUAGAAUUGAUGAAUUAAGGUUGUGGUGGAGUUUGGUGUGAAUCCGGCAAGUUUAACCCUAUUAAGAGUAGAGGGUUAAACGGAGGAGAGUUAGAUAUUUUAAUUCACGUAUUUAUUUUCUAGAAUUGAAGUUUGGUUCUAAGCAUGGUUGUUGUACCAGGAUGCGAAGGGAACCUCGCUUGAGUGGCGUUGCGGUUAUCGUCGGGCUUAUGCCCAAAUUUCUGAGUGGACAUUUUGGUUUUAAAAAUAAAUAUGCAUGCAAGAUUUUAUAAUCUAUCAUUUUAUUUUCCGAGCAUAUAAUAUAAUUUUUCAGUUCAUGAGAUGAGCUUGAAAAUUAUUUGAGUUUGGUGCAUUUAUUAAGUGUUGGUCAUGAUUUAUGGAGUUGAGCUCGGAUUAUUAUUUUGAUAUUUGAGUUUGGAUAUUUUUAUAAAUUCCGGAUUUCAUUAAAUGGUUUUAAUGGUGGAUUUUGAGAUUUAUAUAAGAUUUCCGAAAAUGGGAUUUUCGGUAGUUUCCUAUUUUUAAUUCUCGAAAUUAUUGGUGGAAUAUCGAUCUUGACUUUGAGUUUUAUAAAUGAUUACCGAAAAUGGGAUUGUCGGUAGUUCUCCUCAUAAUUUAAUUGUUCAUUUGAGGCAUAAUGAUUUUGACUUGGAGAAUAUUUUAGCGAGUAUUUCGGGCGUAGAUACUAUUAUUUAUGAUUCAUAUUUGUUAUUGAAAUCUCGCUUAUAUUUAUAAAUUGGAGAAUAUUUUGACGUGUGAGACACGUCAUUGAGUUGUGUUAUGAUUUCUUCUGAUGAUUUUCAUGUACGGUUGGGAACCGUACCAUUCGUUUGGUCUUGGGGGAAGUUUAAUGGAUUUAAGUGACUUCGUAUGUUUUAGUCACCAUAUUAUAGGGUCGUUUAUCUUAAUUAUUGCUAGCUAAUCUUAUUGGCGGUCCUCAUCAUAUGUGAGUCGCUAUUAUAGCCUUAUUAGCGGUCUUCUUCAUAUGUGAGUAGAGCGCUUAGCAUGGGACGCUAUUAUAGCUUGGGAGGCAACCGAUCGGUAUUUAUAUUUAUUAGUUAGCUAGCCUUAUUAGCGGUCCUCAUCAUAUGUGAGUUGAGCACUUAGCGUGGGACGCUAUUAUAGCCUUAUUUAGUGGUCCUCAUCAUAUGUGAGUUGAGCGUUUAGUGUGGGACGCUAUUAUAGCCUAGGAGGCAUCGACCUGAGCCUGGGAGGCUCCUUUUUCAUGGUGAUAACUCUUCCCCUAUUUUAUUCUUCUCAAUAAUAUAUUUGAUUAACCAGCGGGGCUGGUUUAUCUCCUCUUAUGAGAUUUAUGUUUUAACUAACCAGCGGGGCUGGUUUGUCCUUUAUUAAGUGAUUUUGGAUUUAAAGUUUUAAGGACGUUUAAGUUGCAUGUUGUUAAGUUUUAAAAGUUGAAAAGUGGGAAAGUAUAUAAGUUUUAUAAUUGUUAAGUUACUGAAUUUAUUUUCGUCCACUCACUCUAACAUUUUUAAAUUAUUUUCCCCUAGGCCAUUUGGUUUAUAAAUGCCCAGUUUGCAGGCUAAGUUAUUUGAGGACGAGCGUACAUGGAGUCGAGGCAUAGUCAGAGGCUGUUUCCGCUUAUUCAUUUUCAUUGUUUUCAUUCAUCAUUAGAUAUGCUCUGAAAGUCCAAUAAUAGCUUAUUAAAUGUCUUUGUUGUUGAUUGUGGAAUUAUUAUUAGAUGAGAAAUUGUUAUUGGGAGUUUUGAUGAACUUGGGGAGCAUGAAGGCUCCAGGAGACGAGGAUGGAUGUUUGUUUAUAGAAGUGUUAAGUUGGAUUUUUCAGGAAAGGGUUGUCCAUUUUCAAGGAAGGUUAUGCCGAAUUUUCGGUAAAUUUUCCUUGAAGGUGGACCCUGCAGGAUUUACCUCGGGUUUCAGGAUGAAAUUCGGGGUGGGUCCUGACAAAAAAUAUUUACGCUUUCCUAGUUUAAAUUUCCAUAGAAAAUAUACUGCAUGCGACAGCUCAAAAGCUCUCAACUCAUCAAUUGGCAAUUACAUGACUAGCUCCGGCUAGUCUCCAAACUUAAUAAAAUAAAGCCUCUCAGGCUAAAAUAAUAUAUAUAUAUAUAUAUAUAUGUAUUUACACUCGUCAUACUCUUUGUACGAAUUCCAUGAAGGAAUAAGAAAAAUAGAAAUUCAUACAAGGCUACUACGCUUGUGUCUAACAUUCACGUCACACCGUAAUUGGAUUUUACCUCAUUAUGGCGGAAAAGCACGAGUGUAUAUAUACGUGCAUAUUCCCUAUAUAAAUUACUAAAUUUAUAUAGGGCUAUGACGAUUGUGUCUAACGCUCACGUCACACCAUAAUAGAAUUUUACCUCAUUAUGGCGGAAAAGCACGUAUAGCUAGCUAGCAUUUAUUUAUAUGCAUACUAUCCUCAUAAUCAUCCAUAUACAUAUGCACCGAAAAUCUCAUUUUCAGUAACUCUCCAGAAAGAAUGAAAAUUGCCAAUUAUAAAAGACGCAAUAAAUAUAUGACUCCACCGAAAAUCUCAUUUUCGGUAACUUUCCAAAUAGCGAAGUUAACAAAUAAAAUAAGAGCAUUUACUUCCAAAAAUAACUUCGCGAAAAUAAACAAUUCCACAAAUUGAUAUUCAAUAAAAUCACCGCAUGCUUAUAAUUUAAAACGAACGUCCACUCACAACUUUAGGGAUAAGCCCGACGAUAUCCAAUUUGCUACUUAAGUGAGGUCUCCUCGAAUCUUGGCACAAUAACCAUGCUUAGGACCAAACUUCAAUUUCAGAAAAAAUAAUUCUUAAAUAUAUCACCCAAAACUCUUCCGCCUAGUCCACUACCCUUUCUAGGGUUAAGCUUAUUGGAUUGACGCCAAACUCCACCCAAAGCCUCAAUUCAUUCAUUUCAACAUUCUAAAACAAUAAUAAGGGAAAUCCAACGGUCAGAUUCUACCCCAUUAACCGCCAAAUUCACCAAUCUUUCAAAAAUCUCAAACCUAUCCAAAACUCCUCCAAAAAUUCCAAACUUCACAUCAUUAAACUCCCCUUAAUAUUACACAUUUAAAACCAUGAAAAUCCCCCUAGGGUCGUCUGCUCCGUCGGCAGCAGCGGCCGGCGACUGACUCUGGAGACCCCCAAUGCCUACUAAAUUUUAACAGCUUCAUCCUCUCAACACGCUCUACAACUUUCCUAACUAGCACCAAGACCAAUUUCAAGCUUAACUAGGCCAAUCGAACAAAAACUUACAAUAAAACCCUAGAACUUCAAACACUUGAAUCUCCUUACCUAGGCCAAGAGGGAGUGAAACCUUUGGAGGGAUGAAUGCACGGGAGAAGAGCUUCCUUUUGAGCUAAGUAGCUUCGGCUAUGGCAGCCGGAGGAGGAAGUUCCGGCGACGGAACACCACGGACAGCCCGAGCUUCCAAGCGCGAUUUCUCUUUCACAGCGGCGCUAGGGAGGCUGCCACCGGUCCAAGAAGGAAGAGGAGAUGAUGGCCGACCGUUUGUGACCGGUACGGUGACCUACGGUGGCCGAACGACAGCGGAUUGACGACGGGAAAAUCCGGUAGGAAAGAGGGAGGGCGUCGGGAGGAAAGAGAGAGAGAAGAGAGAAGAAAAGUGUUAGGCUUUUCCCAACCGGUUUCUACCGAAACCAAAUAUAAACCCAACUCCAAAAUAACACCACCAAAAUAAUACCCUAAUAAAAAUUACCUUUUUACUAGCUAAAAUUUACUAUUUUACCGUCAUCAAAUAUUUCUUCUACGAAUCAUUCCUCCGAAAAAAUCGCUCCUCAAAACCCCUCUAGGGACCUUUGAAACUAUAAACUCAUUUAUGAAGACGGUAAAACUCUUAUUAAUACCAAGCUAGUAAAUAAGGUAAAAAUUUAAGAGUCGGGAUGUGACAUGUCUUGUCCGGACCCGUCCCGGAUUUCACCUUGAAACUCGAAGUAAAUCCUGUGGAGUCCACCUCUGAGGAAAAUUUACCGAAAAUUCGGCAUAACCUCCCUUAAAAAUAGACAACCCUUCCUAAAUAAAAACACCUGCAAACACUUCUAAAAGUUCCAACUCCAACCUUAUAACUCCUGGAGCCUUCGUGCUCCCCAAAACACAACAUCUCCCAAUUUAUUUACUAACUUUAACACUUAAAAUCUCACAACCAACAAUCACAGUUCAGAGCAACUCUAUUAGAGGAGAAAAGAACUAGAAAUAUAGAAAUGAGCAGAAGCUAUACUAUUAACUAUGCCUCUUCUCCAUGUACGCUGGACCUCAAUUAUGCUAACCUGCAUACUGGGCAUUUUUAAAAUAAAGGCCCAGGGGAAAACAUUUGCAAACGUUACAGUGAGUGGACAAAAAUGAAUUCAAUAAAAAUUAUUUAUGCAUUCCCAAUUUAAUUUUCAUAGAAAAUAUGCUGCAUGCGACAGCUCAAAGCUUUCUACUCACAAACUGGCAAAUACAUGACUAGCUCCGGCCAGUCUCCAAAACUCAAUAAAAUGGAGCCUCUCAGGCUAAACUAUAUAUAAAUAUAUAUGUGUAUGUAUUUACACUCGUCAGACUCCUUGUACGAAUUCUAUGAAUAAAAUAGAAAAAUAGAAAUUCAUACAAGGCUACUACGCUUGGGUCUAACGAUCACGUCACACCAUAACGGAAUUUUACCUCAUUAUGGCGGAAAAGCACGAGUGUUUAUACGUGUAGACUCCCUAUAUGAAAACCUAUAUGAAUCGGAUAAGAAAGUAGUUUUCAUAUAGGGCUAUGAUGCUUGUGUCCAACACUCACGUCACGCCGUAAUAGAAUUUUACCUCAUUAUGAUGGACCAAGCACGUAUGGCUAGCUAGCAUUUAUAUACAUACUAUACUCAUAAACAUCCAAUAUACAUAUCCACCGAAAAUCUCAUUUUCGGUAACUCUCCAAAAGAUGAAAAUUGCCAAAUAUCAAAAAAAGCAAUAAAUUUCAGCAGAAGAAUAACUGAUCAACAAUAGAAUGCAUCGCAUGCUUUUAAUUAAAACAAAAGUUCACUCACAGUGAUUCUGUUGCAUUUGCUGUCAAGACAAGACAACGAAGACGAGCUCGGAAAAUCCUCCUAUUCUUUUUCGAUUUAACCCCCUUCUUUCACUUCUAAGAAUGCACAGUAAAGUCCCUAAUAAAAACUAAAGGGUAAGAGAACAAUAUAACCAACUCCCCUUCAUAACCAUUGAAACCAAUUCUCUUAUAUCCUUUUAAUUAAACAAACACACACAUGACUCCCAAAACAAUAAUACCCUUAACUACCAUUUAACUUAGGAGAUUCACCUCUCGGUCAAAAUGGCAAAUGCACCCAAAAUACUCUUUGCAUUCAGAAGUUUUCAUUGUGCACCCAAACCUUUCCUCUAGUCCAAGCCUACAUGCAACCCCACAAUUCCAUAAUUAUAUUCAAAACUCACAACACAAUUCCGAAUUCAAUAGCCGAGAAUUAAAACCUUCUCACCUUGCGGUUUCAAAAGAUUAACACACGGUGCUCCUCCAAUUACUCUUUGCACCCAAAGUGGAAAUUAGCAUCCAACACCAAUCUUCAUUUGCUACACUGCCCUCCACCAAAACUAAACCCAAUAAUAACAUUAACUCCAUCUCCCUAUCCAACACCAAUCUUUCUAACUGUUAAUUUGCUGCCACCUAUUAAUGUAAAAACACUUGAAGUUUAUCUUCCAGUGCCAGUAGUUGUUUUUAAACUUGAUGCCCAAGUUUAAGCUGCUCACUCGGCAGCUAUUUGCAACCCACAAGUCUGAUUGAGGUUUUCAGACUUUCACUUGUGAUUGGCUGCAUGUAGUCAUGUGUUAGGCAUAAGCUAGCAAGUAGGUGAACCAGCAUUUCAAAUAAGACAAAGCAGCAAUCCAAAUUAUUGUUAUUAUUAUUAUUAUUAUUUUUUUUUUAAGUUUGGGGUUUCACAGAACGUCACGGGGUUAAGACUUAACAUGGAUCUCCUGGAAGAGCGCCGCGACAGGGUACACCUCAGGAAUGUCAACUACAAACAAAAGAUUGCUCAACACUACACCAAGAAAGUUGUUCCCCGCCCCCUAAAGGUAGGCGAUUGGGUUAUGAAGGAAGUCAUUCCCCACCCCACUGGACUCAAAUCAAAGUGGGAAGGCCCUCUCGAGAUAGUCAAUGCCUCAGGACCAGCUACAUUCUAUCUCCGGGACACUGAUGGCUGAGUACUACCCCGCACCUGGAACGCUCUCCACCUCCACCUCUACCCCAUUUAAAUUAACAGACCCGGCAUAGUAGCUAGUACUUCAUUAUUGUGUACUUCAACCCGUUAGUGGCUCACAUUAAGUGUACACCUUGCCCAUUAGCGGCCUACCCUAAAUGAAGAUGUUAUGUUUUUUAUCAUUUUUAUAACAUACCGUAUCAAGAACACGAAACAACAAAGCAAACAGUAGUCCACAAACAAAAGCAUUCAUUAAAACAAAUAAGAAUCAACAUGGACUCCUAAGCAAUGCAUAAAAAACAAAUUGUUCAGAUGGCUAACAUUGUUUUACAAGCAAACAAAAGAAAGCAAAUAAACCUAACAAUAACAGCAAAUUACAAAGCAUCAUCAUUUCUCCCCAGAGGACGCGCCACUUGACUUAUUCACGCUUCUGCCACUCCUUGAACCGCUACCACACCCACGACUGUGGCUGAUAUUCACCGACACCCUCUGUCCAUAAGCAUGCUUAGAGCGGUCACGUGACGUUGGUGGAGGCCUCACUGAAACAUUAGGGCGCACCAGGGAACUCACUUGUUGCACCUCAGUGAUAGGGGACUUGCUCGCUGAGGUCUUUUGCACUUCAGAACGCGGUGGCGCCACAAGUCUAGGUGCUUGAGGGAUAGUUGGUUCAAUAACAGAGGAUGUGACCUGAGAUACCACCACUUGAGCAGAAGGGGAUCCCUCAGGACGCGAAGCCCUUAGUGGAGAAGCAACGAUCACCGCAAGUGGCUGAGGCGUACCCACAGUAGGAACUUCUUUUGGCACGGCAGAGGAUGUAGCGCGCUAGGCCUCAUGCUGCUUAGCCAGAGAUCAAGAGAUCUCAGCUUGCUUCCUUUGCUCUGAGGUCAUCUGUUCCCAAGCCUUCUUCGCCACAUCCCUCUCGGCAUACCACUUGCGGAUGGCCGCUUCAUUUAUCCAGCCAAUUUGGCACCAGUCUUGCUUAGCUCAUCUUGUCCCCGGUUAUAAGCGCUCCUCAGUUGCUGCUUACACACUUCACUCUCCCGAAACACCCUCUCCCCAGCCCCAGCAGCCCUUGCACACUUCAGCUUCCACACUCUCUCUUACUUCGCCAGGGCUUGCGUUAACCUCGCCACCUCAGCUUCCAGAGACACCGCCUUGGCAAUGGCCACCUCCCCAGCCUCCACCUGCUUGUUUUUCUCCUGCACAGCUUCCUUCAACUCAGCCACCUCCUUCCCAGAUGCAGCAGCCUGAUCUCGGAAGAUAGCAACAUCUUGCUCCAGACGCUGCGAGAGGGCUCGGUUAUUCUCUUCCGCCUCCCUCAACUGCUGGCAUUUAGCCUCGGCAUCCCCCUGCAAGUGAGCAACAACCCUCUCACUUGCAGCAUACAUCAGCAGCGUCGCCUGCAGACAGCACCAAAAUGUAAGCAAAAAGGCAGGGAACUAAAGGACAAAAUGACCAUUGUGCACACUUACCCGAGUUAGUUUCUCCUUGGCAAGAGCUACACAAGCUAGAGGAUCAAUCUCCUCCAUGCAUGGAUGUCACGAGAGCGGUGACACAUGUCAUAUGCCAUCUGAGCUAGGGAAGGCUGCACCUCCCCGGUCCCCUCUAGAGCUUGGGUGAUCUCGGCCAGGCUCCCCAAGCUCUUGGAACGCCCCUCCUUACGGGACUUCUUUGGUUGGCCUUCACGUGACGACUCGACCCUUUCUUUCCUCUUUCGGGUCCUUGUCAUGACAACCUCUUCUUACCCUUGCCCAAUGGGUUCCACCUCCUUCACCACAACAUCCUCGCCACCAGUUUGGGGCUCACCCACAUUACCCAAAGACGUAUCUUCCACUCCUACUGGCUCCGCAUAAGCUCUUCCUCCACCGGAACCUGCUCAUGAUAGUCCCCGUGGUCGCCACCCUCAGUGUCCGUUUCCUCGUCAUUCACCUCUUGAUCACCCAAGCCCAUAUAUUGCUUCUGCCACCAAGGGAGGCAAAUAAGCAUAAUCCUCGUCCGCCAGCUUCAACCUCAAAAAAUCAUCCUCACCCUCAUCCAGCUCCACCUCUUUCCUCUCGCUAGUCUCCAAGUCGAUAUCGUACCGCUUGACAUGAUCAACCUUGGCACGUAACCCAUCCAGUACGUCCUCAUCCGACACCUUGUCAUAAGGACCUUCCUUCUUCCGCGACCCACCGUCCCGAGGCAUUGUCACUACACCAAACAAAAGAUGAGGAUCAAGUAGAGACCAGAAAGCAUAACCGAAAUGACUAUAUAUGCCAAGGCAGCAUAUCCGAUACGAGCUCCUAGACUCGAAUGCCCACAGCACCCGGCGUAUUCGACGCUCCAUCAGCUCGGUUAAUUUAUACUCUUGGGGCAUGACUUGUAUACAAUUCAUGCAAGCGAACGUAUCGUUGUCAAGAUAGGGAAGUAUUUGUGCCCAAGUUAUCGUACCAUGGGGAUUAGUGGCUAACCCACAAUCCUAAGCUAAUCGGAACAAAAGUCACUAAGCAAACAAAGAAAAAGAAAAAAAAUACUACUCUAAAGCACCAAGCCUUAGCAAUGCUCGGCCUCAGUUAUCACCAAAGCCUAAUCAAUACUAAAUGCCUAGUGAUGGGUAAUUACAAUGAGUCGAUAUAUAAAAUGGAGAUUGAAUGGGGAAUUAACUAAAUUGACGAAAAACUAAAUAAAAAUAAACUACUAACUAAUGAACUAGAGAAUGAUGAGAACAUGGGAGUGUCGGGUGAUUCACACUAACUCAUAUGCAAACAUCGAUACCAAUUUCACAAAUGCAUAUCCUAUUGUAUCAAAUCCCGUAUCUAAUACCGGUUAAGGCUACUAGACCAAUUAUCCUUUCGGUGUAUCGAUUAUGCCGGUUAAGGCCACAAUCAACUCUCUAACAUGGGCAUUACAUCGGUUAAGGCCGUAACAUCCAAAUUAGAGGCCUAGAGUGCAAGAUAAUAGAGACCCAAGCAAGCUUAGCUACAAUCAAGCUAGCUAAUGGUUACCACACUUCAAAUCCUAGAUGCACAAGACUAAUAAGUUGUCAAUUUAUCAAUCUAUCCAUCAAAUUGUCCACAACAUAAUCUCAAAGGGUGACAAAACCUAGAAACAUAUUUCUAAGGACCAACACAUUCAGAUUCAAAGCAUACACAAUGUAAAUUGCAUUUAUAUCAAUCAAAGUACCAACAUUAUACAAAAUGAGUUUAGGGCUUCAAUACCCUAACUCCCAAAAUUAAAUCACUCACAACCCAUAGUCAAAUAGAUCAUCAAUAGCAUAUAAGUUAAAUAGCUAUCAUUCUAGCAUUGGUAUGGCGCCCUUUGAGGCUCUUUAUGGGAGGCAGUGUCGUACGCCUUUGUGUUGGAAUGAAGUAGGGGAAAAAGAGCUUUGUGGCCCAGAGUUAAUCCAUGUUACGAAUGAGAAGAUUAAAGUGGUUAGAGAUAGACUCAAGACUGCUCAGAGUAGGCAGAAGAGUUAUGCGGAUGUCCGUAGGAGAGAUCUUGAAUUUCAAGUGGGUGAUUGGGUGUUCCUGAAAUUAUCUCCUUGGAAAGGGGUUGUGCGUUUCGGUAAGCGUGGGAAGCUUAGUCCGAGGUAUAUUGGCCCUUAUGAGAUUAUAGAGCGAGUUGGCUCACUUGCUUAUCGAUUAGCUUUGCCUCCAGAGUUAUCCCGGAUACAUAAUGUGUUUCAUGUAUCCAUGCUUCGCAAAUAUAUUGCCGAUCCUUCUCAUGUGCUGCAAGAGCAGCCGAUCAGUUUAACGAGAGAUUUGACCUAUGAAGAGGAACCGGUUCAGAUUCUCGACCGAAAGGAGCAAGUGCUUAGGAAUAAGACAAUCCCGCUUGUCAAGGUUCUGUGGAGAAGUCAUCAAGUAGAAGAAGCUACUUGGGAAUCAGAGGAGCAAAUGAUGCAGCAGUAUCCGUAUCUCUUCGGAUGACAUGUAUGUUAAUUUCGAGGACGAAAUUUUUAUAAGGAGGGGAGAAUUGUCACAUCCCGACCCUUAUAUUUUUACCUUAUUUACUAGCGUGAUUAUUAUAAGAAUUUUACCGUCCCAGUCAUGGAGUAAAUAGUUUAAUUGGUCCCUAGAGGGGUUUCGGGGACGAUUAUGUGCGGAGGAUAAUUCGUAUGGGGAAAAUACGACGACGGUAAAAAUAGUAAAUUUUAGCUAGUAAAAGGUAAUUUUUAUUCGGGUAUUAUUUUUCGGGGUGUUUUUAUUUUUGGAAGUUUGGGUUAAGUGUUGUGGACUGGGUUGGGGUGAGGCCCAAAACCCUUUUUCUCUUCUCCCUCUCUCCCGAUUUUCUCUCCUCCCACCCGGUUUUCCCCUCUCUACACCCAGAAGAAUUUCCGGCCGUCCUUCCGCCGCCGUCCGACCUCCGUUCGCCGCCGGACCGGUCCCGUUCGGUCGGUCUCCCUCCCAGCAACAUUUCUAGACCGGUGAGAGGAGCCCUAGCUCCGCCGUGAGAGAGCGGUGCCACCCGAAAGCUCCGACUGCCGAAUCGGUUUUCUCGCCGGAACUUCCUCCUCCGGCCACCAAUCCGGGCAAGCUUGGUACGGUUUUGUAGCCCUCCUCCCGUGCAACAACCCCUCCAAACAGCUCCCUCCCUCUUGAGCUAGGUAAGGAGAAAUUUGAGGUGGAAGUUUUAUGGUGUUUAAGUUGUUUUCGUUCGAUUAGCCUAGUUAGGCUUGGAAUUGGGUGAUGUGUUAGUCAUGAAAGUUGUAGAGGAGAUUGAGAGGAAGAUUCUGUUAAAAUUUGGUAGCAUUUGCAGGUUGCCGGAAAACGGCUGCCGGCCGCCGCUGCCGGCGCCGGCGCCGGUUAGGAGAUUUUUAGGGUUUUAAAUGUGGAAUAUUAAGAGGAGUAUAUUGGUGUGAUUUAUGGAAUUUUUGGAUGAGAUUUGGUUAGGUUUGUGAAUUUCCGAAGUUUGGUAUUUUUGGCGGUUAAUUAAUGUAGAAUCCGGCCGUAGGAUUUAAGUCGUAUUUUGGAGAGGUUGUAUUUACGACUGUUGAGUAUGAUAUUUAAGUUCGGAUCGUUCCGAUGUAAGAAUAUCGAAGUUAGGCAAUGAUGAGCGUAAUUAUGGCUCUCGGGUAAUUUUGCCUAUUUUGAUUAAAUAUUGGAUUUUUUUGGUUGGGAAUUAAUAUUAUAUUUGGAACAGGACGUGAGGAGGCUCGAGCAGACGAGACCCCAGAUCGGCAUCAGGCUUAGGCCUAAUUUGUGAGUGGACGUUUAUUUUAAAUAAAUGCGUGCUAAAGUUCACGAUUGAAUAAUUAAUGUCGUGGAGUAUUUUGACGUCAUUUUAAUUUUUGACGAUUUUUAUUUCUCGCGGAGAGAUACCGAAAAUGGGAUUUUCGGUGGAUAUAAAUAUGUAUUUAUGAGAGAGUAUGUAUAUAAAAUGCUAGCUAGCCAUAUGUGUCUGUCCACCUUAAUGGCGUAGCAUGUAGCCGCAUUAUGGUGUGACGUGAGCGUUGGACGUAAGCGUAGUAGCCAUAUUUGAGUGUUUAAUUCAUAUAGGGGGUAUGGACACAUAUUUAUACACCCGUCUGUCCACCUUGAUGGCGUAGUGUAGCACCGCAUUAAGGCGUGACGUGAGCGUUGGACGCGAGCGUAGUAGCCCUAUAUAGACCCAUGAAUUUAUAUAGGGAGUAUGGACGAGUGUAAAUACAUACAUAUAUUAUAGAGUCUAAGAGGCUCGAUAUUUUAUGGGAUAAAAGUUUUAUCGCUUGCGGCAUGCAUUCGAUUUUUCCUUAGAAAUUAAUUUGGGGAAACAUAAAUAUUUUAUUUAUUAUUUUAUUUUUGUCCACUCACUCUAACGUUAUUAAAUGUUUUCCCCUGGGCCCUUCGUUUUAAAUUGCCCAGUCUGCAGAGUUCGGGUUGGAUCUAGUAGGAGACGAGGCAUAGUCACCCGCAUUUCUGCCAGUUUUCGCCAGUAGGUUACCUGUUCAACCUACUCGUGUUUUCUUGCUUCCGCUUGUGUUUAGUAGCUCUGAAUACUUUAGAAUUUUUGUAUAGUAUGCGAUGUUCAGAAGUGAUAAAUUAAGAGUGUAAUUUGAAAUUUUCGAGUUAGGGUUGUCCAUCUGCAAGGGAGAUUUUCUUAAUCUUUUCAGUAAAUUUUCCUUGGAGGUGGUCCCCGCACGACUUACUCUGGGUUUCAGGGUGAAAUUCGGGGUGGGUCGUGUCAUCGGAGCUAUUUUUAAUAAUAUUUGGAAGUUGGUAUUAUCCAGAAAUUUAUUAAAAAUAAUAUUCUAAGUCGGUUUAAUCUCAGCCGUUAGAUUGGGAAUACAUAUACGUUUGGGUUAGAUUGUAAAACAGAAGAACCGAGCUUGGACCGACUCGGUCUCGAGUUGCGAUUCCUCCUCCGUCGAGCGGCUGUCUCUCGACAUCCAACCGGUGGCCAGAGCUCCAUAUCGUCGUCCCCAACAUGACUGUGUUGUUAGAUUUCCAAAACAAGCUCGGAGAAGGGAGAAUCGAGUAGAAGAAGGAUUUCUGGGUUCGCCGGUGAUCUUCGGAUUCCGGCCACGGCGGUGAGCAUGAACGGUGCUGGUAGCUUUGCCUCAACUCCCUGAACAUCGUUGUGCUAUUGGUUUUUGAAUAGAAGCCUUGAGGAGGGAGAAUCGAACCUCAAAAGUUUUUAGGGUUUUCCGGUCGUGUUCUUCAUUUUCCGGCGAGCUUCAAGUAUCAAUUCAGGUAUCAAAGUUGGUCCAUUUGUCGAACUCUACCUGUUUAUAUGCUUGAAUUCGAGUUUGAUUAAGUUUUGGAGAAGUUGGUGUUUGGGCAGACGUCAGCCGCCGUGAGUACUGCUGUGUACGGCGAUGACAGGUGGUGGUUCUUGUAGUUUCUGGUUUUUCAUAGUAUACUGAUUGUGGAGGGAUGCUUUGAUAUGUAUUUGAAUGGCAGGAGAUUGAAAAUUGGAUGAAGUGGGUUUUGGGGCAGUGUUGUUCGGUGGCGAAAAUGAUGGUUGAUAGUUCUGGGUUUGGUUUAUGUUUUGGAUGAAAUUGCAGGACAUGAUGUUGGUGUUGUAUAUGCUUGAAGUCUAGAAAUGGAAGAGUUGGGAAGUAGAGGAUUCAAGUCGAAUUGUGUUGUUGGAAUGAAGAACAGUAGUGUUCUUCUAUUCAUUGAAGUGCUUGAAUUCAAGAGUUUGAAAGUUGAUAUCGGCAAAAUAGAACAUGGGUGUCCAUAGUAGAUUUGGAGUCAAGUUGGUACUUGGAGCGCAAUUUGGAUAUGAUGACGGCAUUGAGCGUAAAGGCGAAUAAGAAUGUGGAAAUAAAUUGAAAUGAGUACAUUUGAUUCGGAAAUCAUUGGAAAAGAAAAAGGAUUCGGUACGAGGAUCGAAUGCGAGUAGCUGGAUUGCAGAAGGAUAAGGAUUUCUGAAUGUGUGUUGCAAAGUUACUAAUUUUAGCUAGUGUCAGAAGUAGCACUUGGAUUCCAGGUAGGGUCUCUCUCGGGGAACUUUUCUUUAAAUCGGUAAUUAGAUUUUAAUUGAAAUGGGUGAUUUGUGUGUCAUUGAGUGAUUAACUCUUGGUUGUUACCAUUUUCGAUAAAAGUAUGUGAUAUCGUUGAAAUAUAUGAACGAUGUUUUCGCUUAUCAGAAAAGAAUGUAUUGAAUGUUAUGAUAUGAGUAUUGAUAUUUGUUGCAUACAUUUUGCAUUGUGAGAAAUUGUGAGAUUAGUGAGAAUGGUGAUUAUGGAGAUGUGAAUGAGAUUUGAUAGAAUGGAUACAUUUUGUGUAGUUGAGUUUCCUGAUGGGUUGUCCAAGAUCCAAGGUAGCCCACACGUGCACAAAUUCAGGGAAUGUAUGCCUUUCGAUGGCAGACAUCGACAAAACGAUCUUAUCGGGUUUCGGGUUUGGAGGCCAUGAGUAUAACAAGAUGACUAACAAAAGAGGUACAAGCGGUGAGAUAUUACUGAUUGUUAGAUCAUAUAUUCGAGACAUCUGAGUCACCCCCGGUUGGUAAAAUACACGGUAUGGGACGUGUAGGCUCACAUGUCUUUGAUGUAUGGACUGAAUGCCAGUAAUCGAGGAAGUCAUUCAUUAGCAUAAAUGCAUCAAAUUUUCGUUAUAUAUUUAAAGUAUUGUUUGAUUGUUUGAUAACUUGUUUGUGCGAAGUAGUUAAGAAUAACUUAAGAAGGUUAGGCCCUACUGAGCGUAAGCUCACCCCUAUAGAGUUUUUGUUCAGGUUUGUACGAGGACACAUGUUUCUAGAAGACUAACUGUGACGUUAGCUUAAGUGUACAAGAGACGAGAAGUACUGAAGAUUAGAAGCCUCAAGACCUAUUUUGUUUUUGUAAUUGGUUUUGUUAUUUGUAAACGUUUUAUUUUCUUUUAUUUCUGGAAAAGUAGUUGAAAUUUGUAUUAUUUUUUUUACUUUUCCCGCUCACGCCUCGGGUUCGGCGUCAGGUGCUUGGAAACCACUGACACCGGGUUCGGGGUGUGACACCACACGUAUAUACACCCAUCCUCUUCGGUCAUAAUGAGGAAAAAUUUGAUUAUGGCGUGACGUGAGCGUUAGAUGCAAGACUCGUAGCCUUGUAUGAAUUUCUAUUCUUCUACUUUGUUCAUAGAAUUCAUACAAGGAGUCUGACGAGUAUAAAUACAUACAUAUAUAUAUAUAUAUAUAUAUUUAUGUAUAGUUUAGCCUGAGAGGCUCCAUUUUAUUGAGUUUUGGAGACUGGCCGGAGGUAGUCAUGUAUUUGCCAGUUUGUAAGUAAAAAGCUUUGAGCUGUUGCAUGCAGCAUAAUUUCUAUGAAAAUUAAAUUGGGAAUGCAUAAAUAUUUUUAUUGAAUUCAUUUUUGUCUACUCACUUUAACGUUUGCAAAUGUUUUCCCCUGGGCCUUUAUUUUAAAAUGCCCAGUAUGCAGGUUAGCAUAGUUGAGGUCGAGCGUACAUGGAGAAGAGGCAUAAUCAAUAGUAUAGCUUUCGCUUAUUUUUAUAUUUCUAGUUCCUUUCCUCUCAAUUAGAGUUGCUCUGAACUGUGAUUGUUGGUUGUGGGAUUAUUCUUAUUAAAGUUAGUAAAUAAAUUGGGAGAUGUUGUGUCACACCCCGGUUCUUAAGUUAUUUUACGGUUAUUUACUUUGGUAUUAUUUUAGUCUUUUACCGUGUUGAAUAACCGUUUAUUACCUAAGGACCCUAAAGUUGACUUUCUUUUCCGUUUAGAAUUUGGAGAAACUUUCUUCAUGAAAGUUGUAGAGGACGUUAAUAUGAGUUCGUAGACAUGCUAAGUGUUAAAAUCGGAGUUAGCAUGAAAAAGUUAUUAUCUAAAAGAGUAAAUUUUUGAGGUGGUAAAAGAAGGUAUUUUUUUAGUGGGUAAAAUUUAUUGGGUUUAAGGGUUAUGGAUUGGCUGUGAGCAGCCCAUAUCCUCCUUCACUCUCUCUCUUUCUCCCUUCCCUCUUUUCCCCGAGCUCCCCGAGCCCCUCUCCGCCGGAAGCUCCCAGCCACCAGCUGCCAUCGUCCGGCCAGCGUUCGGCUGCUGCUCCAGCCCAGUUCGGACCCCCAUCUCCUCCUCUCCCUCCCCGGCCUAGCCCCCGAGCCUCUAACCCGCCGGAAGAGGAGAAAACCCGCCGGAGACGCCGGGAAGCAUUUCGCCGAAAAUCCCAUUUCCGGCCACCAAAACUUGCAAUUCUUAGCUCAUUUUGUAGCUCUCAUCAAGGUGAGUAUCCCCUCAAAAGGAAUAAAUCUUUCUCGUUGUGGUUACGGAGAAAUGUAUAAUUGAAGUUUUAGGGAUUUUUGAUGUUUUUAGUCGAUUACCCUAGUUAGCCUGAGAAUUGGACUAAGUGCUAGUUAGGAAAGUUGUUGUGCUUGAUAAGAGGAUUAUUCUGUUAAACUUUGGUAGAAAUUGGAGGUCGCCGGAAUCGGCCUCCGGCCGUCGCUGCCGGCCGAGCCGGCGCCGGCGCAGGAGCUGUUUGGGAGAUUUUAAUGUUUUUAGAUUUGGAAUAUUAAGGGGAGUUUAUUGAAGUGAGUUAUGGAAGUUUUGGAUAGGUUUGUGAAUUUCCGAAGUUUGGUAAUUUUGGCAGUUAAUUAAUAUAGAAUCCGGCCGUAGGAUUUAAGUCGUAUUUUGUGGGAAGUUGUUUUUACGGCUGCCGGUAUGUUCGGUGAAGUUUGAACCGUAUUGAGUUAAGAAUGGCGAAUUUGGGCAAUGAUGAGUGUGUGGGAGGCUCACGUUUAAUUUUGCCCAUUUUGUUCAAUUAUUGGAUUUUUGGUGGGAAAUUAAUUAUAUAUUUGGAACAGGACGAGAGGAGGCCCGAGCAGAGGAAGCCUCGGAGCGUCAUCAGGCUUAGGCCUAAGUUGUGAGUGGACCUUUAUUUUAAUUGAAAAGCAUGCGAUGAAUUAUCUGUUGAUCAUUUAUGUCUUUUCCUGAGAUUUAUUUAUUUCUCGGAUAUUUGGCAAUUUUCCUCCUUUGGAGAGAUCCCGAAAAUGAGAUUUUCGGUGGAUAUGUUUAUUGGAUGUUUAUGAUGAUAGUAUGUAUAUAUAAAUGCUAGCUAGCCAUACGUGUUUGAUCCGCCAUAAUGAGGUAAAAUACCAUUAUGGUGUGACGUGAGUGUUAGACACAAGCGUAGUAGCCCUAUAUGAAAAAUAUUUUCUUAUUUGGUUUAUUUAAGUUUUCAUAUAGGGAGUCCACACGUAUAUACACUCGUGCUUUUUCCGCCACACUGAGGUACAAUUCUAUUAUGGUGUGACGUGAGCCUUAGACGCAAGCGUAGUAGCCUUGUAUGAAUUUCUAUUUUUCUAAUUUGUUCUUAGAAUUCAUACAAGGAGUCUGACGAGUGUAAAUACAUACACUUAUAUAUGUUUAUAUAUACUUUAGCCUGAGAGGCUGUAUUUUAUUAAGUUUUGGAGACUAGCCGGUGCUGGUCGUGAAGUUGUCAGUUUUUGAGUUGAGCGCUUUUGAGUGAUUGCAUGCAGUAUUAUUUUAUUUGGAAAUUAAAUUGGGGAAGCAUAAAGAAAUACUUUUAUUUUAAUUUAUUUUUGUCUACUCACUCUAACUGUUCCACAUGUUUUCCCCUGGGCUCUUCGUUUUAAAUUGCCCAGUCUGCAGAGUUCGGGUUGGAUCUAGUAGGAGGCGAGGCAUAGUCACCCGCAUUUCCGCCCGUUUUCAUCAGUAGGUUACAUGUUUAACCUACUCGUGUUUUCUUGCUUCUGCUAGUGUCUAGUAGCUCUGAAUACUUUGGGAUUAUUGUAUUUUAUGUUUAGAAUUUCUGAAGGUUAAUUAUGUGAUGUUUGGACGUGUUGUAUUAAUAGUGUAUUUUGGAAUUUUCGAGUUAGGGUUGUCCAUUUUCAAGGGAGAUUUUAUCAAUCUUUUCAGUAAAUUUUCCUUGGAGGUGGUCCCCGCACGACUUACUCCGGGUUUCAGGGUGAAAUUCGGGGUGGGUCGUGUCAUGUUGUGAUGUGGGCAGCACGAAGGCUCUAGGAGUAGAAGGUUGUAGAUGGAUUUUUUUGAAGUGUAUGCAUGUAUUAUUAGGAAGGGUUGUCUAUUUUCAAGGGAGGUUAUACCGAAUUUUUUCGGUAAUAUUUUUUUUGGAGGUGGUCCCCGCAGGAUUUACUUCAGGUUUCAGGGUGAAAUUCAGGGUGGGUCUUGACACAGAAGCUGAAGAUACUAGGAGCUGAAAAUACUUACCUGUCUUCCGUACCGUCUCUCCCAAACAGGGCCAAACAAACUAGAUGGCAAAUCCACAACCCAACCUCUGCCGCUCAGAUUGGGCCUGACACGAAGUACGUUCUCGCCCAUCCAACGACACCGCCUCAAGGAUGUGUCGUCGAACUGGGCAUGCACUAUGAACAAGGGGCUGCUAGAUAGGGUUUUGAAGAGAAAAGUCUCUUUGUUUUAUCAAUUCUUGUUAAAAUUUGUAGCCCUGAUUUGAUGUCAACAGGUGAAAUCAAUCCUAAAAAUUAAUCAAAUAGUAAUUAAUCAGAGAUCUCCAAUGACCUAAUGUAUGGAUUUGUUACUAAGACAAUUGCGGUAACAAAAUUUGGGUACAAGGUUGGUUGUAACAGCUUGGAAACAGUCCCGCAUUGAUCAAAAAGAACAAAUUGUUUUUUUUAUGGAAGGGCCCUUACGACCAAUUUCAUUGAUCAAAAGCCAAAAUGGCGCGGAUACAUGCUUUCCCUUGCCAAACGUUUGGGAAAGUUAAUGACUUGACAUGGCAUGCUAGUACCAUUCAUUACAAAUUCCACUCACUUAAUUCGAUACAGAAAAGAAAAAAGUGAACCUAAUUAGACCAUGAAACAAAUCACAACAAUUAGGCACACACACAAAAUGCUUAGACUCCUAAAAAAGGAAUUAUUGUAAAUAGACAAGCUACAUACUUAGAAAAUGAGCUAAGGCAUGAACCCUAGCCCAAAUCUAGGCCCAAGCAACUCCAAAAUGGCCCAACCCAAAGCUCGAACAAGGGAGACCCAUGCCUGCAUCCACCACACCCUUUGCCGUCACUACUUCCCAAAGCAUCUUUGAAUCCUUCGUCCACGCCAUCGCCAUCCGAAACGAGUCAGAUCCACCAUGACCCUUACCACACAUGACAACAGCCAUGAUACCAUCAAUUUGCACCGAUCCAACAAGCUUCGCUGUCGACAAUAGAUAGCAAAAAAAUUCUGACGAAAACACGCCGUCGCAAUGCUCAGAUGAAAACAUGCCGCCGCAGGACUCAAAGCCAACAAGCCCCGAUCCCUUCGCUCAAAACUUCAAGCCAAAAAAACCAUGAAGAAACUACUUGGCAACUUGUAGAUCCCGUCCGACGGUCUCUACUCGGAGUCAUCAAAGCCCAAAGGCCAGCCUCUAACCGAGUUCGGCCACCGGAUGAGAUGGAGAUUUGGGUGUGGGAGUCGAGUGUCUUUCGGUUAUGUGUCUUGACCUAAUCGUUUCUUUAUUAUAAUAGAUUACAACAAAAUAACAAAAUGACAUGACAUGGACAAAGAAAAACGUGGUGUUAUAAGAAGUACAACACGAACAAUCAUAGAAAGUGCCAUAUAAGUUGAAGAAGCGGAGACACCAAUGCAAAGAGGAGUUAGCUACACUUCACUAGACUACAGAUUACAGAAUAAAUACAUAGAGCGAGGGAGUGUGUGAGGAAGAAAAGGGAUCAUGUUCCAUUGCCAGCCAAUCGUUCAUAAAUAUACGUCCCCCAUCUUUGUAAUUACCCAAAAAGCCCACUUCAAAGCUGGCACACCCAAACCUCAAAAACUUAAAUAAAAAAUAAUAAUAAUAAAAAGAAAAUAGAAACGGGAUGUUGUGGACUGUAGGAGCACUCUGCACUCCUAUUGAAGAAGCACCGCCCAAUUACUAAACUAGCAGCAUUUUUUCAGUCUUAGACCUAUUUUUGAAAGAUAAUAGUAAUUAAAAAUAAAUAGAAUAAUAGUUUUGGGAUUUGAGUAGUGCCCCCAGAUUAUGUAUUACAGAAAACAACCAAAUGGAGUGGCGCCCAUGUUCUAGUCAAUAUCAAAAUUCCCCACUUGGUCAAUCACCAAACCCCCGCUCUCUCUCCACUGCCCUACUCCCCUCGUCCCCUCACUAUCUUUAAGAUCAUAGCAAUCCCACAUCACAUAUCAACAUGCUUAACUGAUUUCUGAAAUUCUAGGGUUAUAAAAAAGUAACCCAACAUUUUUCUAUUUAACCCUUUCCCAAAAAAAUCAACUCUAAACUUUGAUUGAUCGUAACUUUAUCGUACGACAUCCGUUUUACGCGUGCCACAUGUCUACGAACUCGUAUCGCCGUGCUCUACAAAUUCCGUGAAAGAAGUUUCUUGAGAAACCCAAUGAAUAAAAAGUCAACUAAAAAGUCAACCAAAUAAAAUAAAUAAAUAAUAAUAGAAACUAGUAUCUAAAUUCCGGGGUAUUACAUGUACUCUUGGUUUACCUUAUGUGAUGUUGGGUUGAGUCCGUUAAUGUAGAUUUACUCAUACGACCUGUUAAAGCUUACCGGGUUUGUUGUUUAUAACCCGGUGCACUAAUUCAUGAUGUAGGGGUUAUACCUGCAAGUGAUGAUCAGCAGGGUUGAGGCGGAGGCAUAGUAGCUGGGUUCUAGAGGCUGUACAUUUUAUUUUUAAUAUUAUGGCUGUUUGUUUUUACGCUCUUGCAAGCGACUGUAUUUUACUAGACUUUUUGAAGUUGAUGUAAUUAAGGAGAGAUAAUGUUUAACUCAGUUAAUGAGUUUUGUUGACAUUUACAUUUCUAGCAUUUGAUUUUAGUUGGAAGUUGUUAAGCAGGUUUUGGAAUAUUAAGAUUUUGAGUUAUAUCAUGCCCAAAUUUUUGAAAAUUAUCCUUAAAAAAAUUGGGGUGUGACAAAUGACAUCCAUUACGAGAGCAUAUCUCAUCCCAGUGCGUGUUAGUGAGAGACCUAGCGCUAUAAGGUGAGUAUAAGCUUUUGUUCUUACUACGCUAUCUAACAAACACUACAAGAAUUCGGGGCAUUUACCGAGCAAAAUUUAUGGUGUGCACCAAUGCACACCGUAUUAUGUGCUCUUUUAUGGCGUGCUUUUAAUGCGUGUCGUAAAAAACCUCUGACAUGUAUUCUUUUACUGCGUGCUUUUAAUGCAUGCCAUAAAUGACCAAUCACAUUAAGUCUUUCGUUGCACGCAUGUAUAACGUGCCGUAAUCGUGAUAUGUUUUUACUGCACACAUAUCAAAUGUUUUCCUCUUCUAAGAAGUCCCGCACCUUUGCAAAGCCUCAAACGUCAACCCCCAAACCUCAAUAAUCUCGAUAGAGUUAGAAAGAAGCUCUAAUCCUCCAUCGAAUUCUACAAUGAGUUGCAAACCGGAAAGCCUGCAAAUCGGUUUCUAGGGAUUUCUGGCUGUGGUGGUGCAAGGUAGGUUUGUUUCUUCUUCUUCUUCUCUCUUAUCUUAAUCGAUUUUUGUAUUCUACUUUCUCUUUGAAGCGAUUAGAAUCGCUGAAACCCUUAAUCCUUUUAUUUCUCCGGUUAUGAAUGUCGUUGUUUCAACCCCAGCCGUCAGCCUUCCUCAUCAAUCGCAGCCCCAAACUAUCGUCGGCCACAAACUCUUGGGCUAUCAGACUUCGUGACAUUCGUUGUUGUGUACGGCUGAGAUUGUGAUUCUUAAUCAUAAAAUUCAGGUAUGGCUAAUAGUAAUCCCUAUUAUAGUGUGGGAUUGUAAAUUUCACAGUAAUGUCAAAAGUAAUUUUCUUUUAUAACCUAAGUAAGCUGUGAGUAGGUUGUUAAGUGUUUCAUUGUUAUGUCGAUUGCAAUAUGCUUAUAUGCAGAAGUGUAAAUGUAUUUUUUUGCUAGUAUCAAUUUUGGGAGUGUAAUGAUCUCAAUUUUAUUUAGGUUUAUUUAUCGAAUUGCUUUUGUGUGUUUUUUUUUUCUCUGACUAGGAUUUUGAUUUUGAUUAUAUUUUGGACUACCAAUUAUAUUUCCAAAUUAGAUUUUCUUUUCUACGUGUAUAGUUGUUCUUUAUUUAAUUUUGGGUGAAAAUAUUUAUUUGGGUCUAGAACUAUCCAGUCAUCAUCAGAAGCAGAACACGUUGCCCAUUCUUUUUCGUUCACGUGUCCCUAACUGAUUUCUCCAGAAUUUACUCGUCAGUCUCUCUUCCUCUUCUCCCUUCUCUUCUUGUUCUUCUUCCCCUUUUCUCUACUCUUCACUUCUGUCUCUACUCUGAUCAUCACUCUCUUCUCUAAAUCAACAACACCGAUUUCACUAGCUCACAAGGAAGAGGGGAGGAAUCGCCAUGAAAUUCGUUGCCAAAGAAUCUGAAAUUCUUUGUCUAUUCGCAGCUAACUCCUAUAAGUUUCAAUCUCUUGUAAGUUUCAGUCUUCUCUCUCUCAAACUAGUUAUCCAAUCUCAGUUGUUUCUGUCAAGACCCACCCUGAAUUUCACACUGAAACAUGAAGUAAAUUCUACGGGGACCACCUCUAAGGAAAGUUUACCGAAAAUUCGGCAUAACCUCUCUUGAAAAUGAACAACCCUUCCUAAUAAAACCUGCAUACACUUAUGAUAAACCAAAUCCAACCUUAAACUCCUGGAGCCUUCAUGCUCCCCCAAAUCACAACAUCUCCCAAUUAUUUACUAACUUUAAUAAGAAUAAUCCCACAACCAACAAUCACAGUUUAGAGCAAUUCUAAUUGAGAGGAAAUGAACUAGAAAUUUAGAAAUGAGCGGAAGCUAUACUAUUAACUAUGCCUCUUCUCCAUGUACGCCCGACCUCAACUAUGCUAACCUGCAAACUGGGCAUUUUUAAAACGAAGAGCCCAGGGGAAAACAUUUGAAACCGUUAAAGUGAGUGGACAAAGAUAAAUUAAUAAAUAAAAUAUUUAUGUUUCCCCAAAUCAAUUUCCAAGGAAAAAUCAAAUGUAUGCUGCAAGCGAUAAAACUUUAAUCUCGUAAAAUAUCGAGCCUCUCAGGCUCUAAAAUAUAUGUAUGUAUUUACACACGUCCAUACUCCCUAUAUAAAUUCAUGGGUCUAUAUAGGGCUACUACGCUCGCGUCCAAUGCUCACGUGACGUCUUAAUGCGGUGCUACACUACGCCAUUAAGGUGGACAGACGGGUGUAUAAAUAUGUGUCCAUACCCCCUAUAUGAAUUAAACACUCAUAUAGGGCUACUACGCUCACGUCCAACGCUCACGUCACACCAUAAUGCGGCUAUAUGCUACGCCAUUACGGUGGACAGACACAUAUGGCUAGCUAGCAUUUAUAUACAUACUCUCCUCAAUAUACAUAUUUAUACUCAACGAAAAAUCUCAUUUUUCGGUAACUCUCCAAAAGAAAUAAAAACGUCAAAAAUUAAAUGACGUCAAAACUCCAACAAUUUAAAUGUUCAACCAUGACCAUAGCAUGCAUAUUAUUUAAAACAAAAGUCCCCCCACAACUUUAGGCCUAAGUCUGACGUCGAUCCGAGGUCUCUUCUGCUUGAGCCUCCUCACGUCCUGUUUCCAAAUGUAAAAAUAAUUUCGCAACUAAAAAUCCAAAUAUUUAUACAAAAUAGGCAAAAUAAACAUGAGCUACUAUAUGAACUCCCUAUAUGAAAGCCUAAAUAAACCAAAUAAGAAAAUAGUUUUCAUAUAGGGCUACUACGCUUGUGUCUAACACUCACGUCACACCAUAAUGGUAUUUUACCUCAUUAUGGCGGAUCAAACACGUAUGGCUAGCUACCAUUUACAUAUACAUACUAUCAUCAUAAACAUCCAAUAAACAUAUCCACCGAAAAUCUCAUUUUCGGGAUCUCUCCAAAGGAGGAAAAUUGCCAAAUAUCCGAGAAAUAAAUAAAUUUCAGGAAAAGAAAUAAAUAAUCAACAGAUAAUUCAUCGCAUGCUUUUCAAUUAAAAUAAAGGUCCACUCACAAAUUAGGCCUAAGCCUGAUGACGCUCCGAGGUUUCCUCUGCUCGGGCCUCCUCUCGUCCUGUUCCAAAUAUAUAAUUAAUUUCCCACCAAAAAUCCAAUAAUUAAACAAAAUGGGCAAAAUUAAACGUGAGGCUCCUACACACUCAUCAUUGCCCAAAUUCGCCAUUCUUAACUCAAUACCGCUCAAACUUCGCAGAACAUACCGGCAGCCGUAAAAACAACUUCCCACAGAAUACGACUUAAAUCCUACGGCCGGAUUCUACAUUAAUUAACCGCCAAAAAUACCAAACUUCGGAAAUUCACAAACCUAUCCAAAACUCAUCCAAAAAUACCAUAACUCACUUCAAUAAACUCCCCUUAAUAUUCCAAAUCUAAAAAAACAUUAAAAUCUCCCAAACAACUCCGGUAGCGGCGGCCGGAGGCCGAUUCCGGCGACCUCCAAUUCUUAUGAAAUUUUAACAGCAUCUUCCUCUCAUCAUGCUCUACAACUUUCCUAACUAGCACAAACCCAAAAUCCAAGCCUAGCUAUGCCAAUCGAACAAAAACAUCAAAAACGCCCUAGAGCUUCCACCUCAAAUUUCUCCUUACCUGAAGCAAACCGGGGUGACUCCAUUUAGGGCAAGGCAGCUGGGUUAGAGACCUACAAAACCGUACCAAGCUUGCCCGGAUUGGUGGUCGGAGGAGGGAGAGGAGGUGAUGGGGGUCCGAACUGGGGUGGAGUGGUGGCUGGUGGCUAGUCGGACGGCGGCAGCUGGCAGCUGGAAAUUUCCGGCGAAGGGAGAGAGAGCACGGGAGGGAGAAGGAAGAGAAAAGAGAGAAGAAGAGAAAGAGAGGAAAUGGGUUGGGCCUCUCCAACCGGUCCAACUCCACUAAUAUACCUAACUCCCACAAAUAAAACACCCCGAAAAAUAAUACCCGAAAAAAAUUACCUUUUACUAGCUAAAAUUUACCCCUUUUACCGUCGCCAUAUUUUCGUCCUACGAGUAAUCCUCCGCACAUAAUCGUCCCCGUAACCCCUCUAGGGACCAAUUAAACUAUUAACUCAGUGACGGAGACGGUAAAAUUCUUAUUAAAAACAAGGUAGUAAAUAAGGUAAAAAUAUAAGAGUCGGGAUAUGAUAAUUCUCCCCUCCUUAUAAAAAUUUCGUCCUCGAAAUUUGCAUACCUGUCAUCCGAAGAGAUAGGGAUACUGCUGCAUCAUUUGCUGCUCUGAUUCCCAAGUAGCUUCUUCUACUUGAUGACUUCUCCAAAGCACCUUGACAAGUGAGAUUGUCUUAUUCCUAAGCACUUGCUCCUUUCGGUCGAGAAUCUGAACCGGUUCCUCUUCAUAUGUCAAAUCUCUCGUCAAACUGAUCGGCUGCUCUUGCAGCACAUGAGAAGGAUCGGCAAUAUACUUGCAAAGCAUGGAUACAUGAAACACAUUAUGUAUCCUAGCUAACUCUGGAGGCAAAAGUAGCCGAUAAGCAAGUGAGCCAACUCGCUCUAUGAUCACAUAAGGGCCAAUAUACCUCAGACUAAGCUUCCCACGCUUACCGAAACGCACAACCCCUUUCCAAGGAGAUAAUUUCAGGAACACCCAAUCACCCACUUGAAAUUCAAGAUCUCUCCUACGGACAUCUGCAUAACUCUUCUGCCUACUUUGAGCGGUCUUGAGUCUAUCUCUAACCACUUUAAUCUUCUCAUUCGUAACAUGGAUUAAUUCUGGGCCACAGAGCUCUUUUUCCCCCACUUCAUUUCAACACAAAGGCGUGCGACACAGCCUCCCAUAAAGACCCUCAAAGGGAGCCAUACCAAUGCUAGAAUGAAAGAUAUUAUUAUAGGCAAAUUCCAUCAAAGAUAGGUUUUUAUCCCAACUUCCUCUGAACUGCAAGACACAAGCCCUCAACAUAUCCUCCAACGUCAGAAUUGUCCUCUCGGACUGCCCAUCAGUCUGAGGAUGAAAAGCAGUGCUGAAGAGUAAUUGGGUACCUAAAGCUGCCUGAAGAGCUCCCCAGAAUUUAGAAGCAAAUCGAGGAUCCCGAUCUGACACUAUUGAUUCAGGAACACCAUGAAGCCUCACAAUUUCAUUCACAUAAAGCUCCGCCAAUUUAUCCAAUUUAUACUUCUUUCCCACUGGCAAGAAAUGUGCAGACUUGGUGAGUCGAUCCACAAUCACCCAAAUACCGUCAUGCCCUUUACGGGUACGAGGUAAACUGAAAACGAAAUCCAUGGUGAUGUGGUCCCACUUCCACACUGGAAUAGGCAACGGCUCAAGCAAUCCAGAAGGCUUCUGCCUUUCAGCUUUUACUUGCUGACAAACCAGACAUCUACUCACAUAAGCUGCAAUUUCCCUCUUCAUGUUUGGCCACCAAUAAUAAUUCUUCAAAAUCCGAUACAUUUUUGUGCUACCCGGAUGAGCAGCAUAUGCAGAGCUAUGAGCUUCCUCCAUAAUCUCAUUCUUCAACUCUUCAUUUCUUUUUGGAACUACAUUAGCCGAUUCUUAAACAUAGAGUCCCAUCUCUUCUAACUGAAAAAUGAUCGGCAGCGGCUCCAUUCGAAGCUCUUUCCAUUCAAUCAAACUAUGGAAGGAUCAUUAUACUGUGCUUCCCGCACUCUAUCAACCAAAACUGGCCUCACAUGAAAACUGGCUAUCAAAGCACCAACCUCAUCUACUGAUAAAUCCACUCCUGUAGCUUGCAACUCACAAAGAAGCGGAACACGAACCAUCUUUAUAUGAGAUAAAGAUAUAGAGGGAUUUCGACUAAGAGCAUCCGCUACCACAUUAGCUUUUCCAGGGUGAUACUCAAUAGUGCAAUCAUAAUCAUUGAUUAACUCCAUCCACCUUCUCUGUCCCAUAUUUAGCUCUCUUUGAGUGAAUACAUACCGAAGACUCUUGUGAUCGGUAAAUAUCUGACACUUGCCUCCAUAAAGAUAGUGUUUCCACAACUUGAGAGCAAAAACUACCGCUGCAAGCUCCAGAUCAUGAGUAGGAUAAUUCCCCUCAUGCGGCUUUAAUUGCCUAGAAGCGUAGGCAAUAACUCGUCCAUGCUGCAUCAAUACUCCACCUAGACCAUGUCUAGAAGCAUCACAAUAGAUCACAUACUCUCCACUAUCAUCCGGAAGUGCCAAAACAGGAGCACUUGUUAAGCAAUUCUUCAAUUCUUGGAAACUUUGCUCACAUUGAUCUGACCAUUCAAACUUAACCCUCUUCCUGGUCAAUCUUGUGAGAGGAGCAACAAUCUUUGAAAAAUCUUUCACAAAGCGCCGAUAAUAACCUACUAAUCCCAAGAAACUACGAAUCUCCAUCACAGUGGUGGGUCUUCUCCAAUUCGACACUGCUUUCACCUUUUGGGGAUCCCCACUAACUCCUUCUACCGAAAUCACAUGACCCAAAAACCCCUCUUUAUCUAGCCAAAACUCACACUUGCUAAACUUAGCAAAUAACUGCGACUUUUCCAAAGUCCGUAAUAUUAUUCUUAGAUGCUUGGCAUGCUCCUUCUCACUUCUUGAGUAAACCAAUAUGUCAUCUAUGAAUACGAUCACGAAACGAUCAAGAUAUGGACUAAACACCCUAUUCAUGAGAUCCAUGAACGCCACGGGUGCAUUAGUAAGUCCAAAUAGCAUCACCAUAAACUCAUAAUGACCAUAUCGUGACCGAAAAGCAGUCUUGGCUAUGUCCCCCUCUCGGAUCCGCAACUGAUGAUAACCCGAUCUCAAAUCAAUNNNNNNNNNNNNNNNNNNNNUUAGAGAAAACAGAGGCACCCGUCAACUGAUCAAAUAAAUCAUCGAUCCGAGGCAACGGAUAUUUAUUCUUCACUGUGACCUGAUUCAACUUCCUAUAAUCAAUGCAUAGUCUCAUGGUGCCGUCUUUCUUCUUAACAAACAACACCGGAGCACCCCAUGGAGACAUGCUAGGCCGAAUAAAACCCUUAUGUACCAACUUCUGCAAUUGAGUCUUCAACUCUUUCAAUUCCGCUGGAGCCAUUUUGUAAGGUGCCUGAGAGAUAGAUAUAGUUCCAGGAAGUAAUUCUAUAGAGAAGUCUAUCUCCCUUGCAGGAGGCAAACCAGGCAACUCCUCAGGAAAAACAUCCGGAAACUCCCUUACUACCGGAAUAUCUUCUAAUCCCACAACUCCCAUAAUUGUAUCCACGACAUGAGCUAAAUAUGCCUGACAGCCUUUACUCAACAAUUUCCUUGUAGCAACAGCGGAAAUUAUGCAACUAGAAAUAACAUCUCUUUCCCCUUGGAAAGCAACCUCAAAACCAUCUGGACUUCGAAGCACCACUACUUUUUGAAAACAAUCUACCAUAGCUCUAUAUGCUUCCAAAAAGUCCAUUCCCAAGAUCACAUCAAACUCCACUAUAUCUAAAGGAAUUAAAUCAGCCUCAAAAUUAACUCCUUCCACUAAAACUUCACAACCACUAAAUACCCAAUUUAUUCUCAUCACCUCACCGGAGGGUAGAGACACAUGCCACUCGCCUGGAAGAGACGAUGAUAGCACAUUGGCAUGGAGAGCGAAUCUACUAGACAUGAAUGAAUGCGUGGCUCCUGGAUCAAUUAAAGUAAAAGCAGGCUGACCGAAAAUUAAUAACGUACCAAUGAUGACAUCUGGAGAAGUACGACCCUCCUGCUGGGUCAUAGUAUGUAGUCUAGCGCGAGUCAUGGGACGUCUAUGCUGACCACCACCCCGCUGAGAGCCACCUCUGACCGAUGCACUGCCCUGGGCACCACUACUGGAGCCUCCAGCUGAAGACUGACCAACUGGCUGAGUAGGGGUGGGGGUGGUCCUCUGAGCCAACAAUGGGCAAUCUCUCCUGAAGUUGUCUUGACCACCACACUCAAAGCACCCAGAAAACUGCUGCUACCCAUAAGAAAAAGUCUAGCUACCGGAUGACCCACCAUGGAAAUUACCACCAGAACCAUACUGCCCAGACUGCUGCCUACCCAAAUGACUCCGAGAAGGUCUCCUGAAACAUCCUCUAGUCCUGUUUCGAGCACCAGAGCUCGAUCCCCCACUACUGCCACUACCAGCAGAAGACCCAGAAGCGGAUGAUGUAGCAGCCUUCUUAGAUGGACCUUGACUAGGGCCACCGUAAUCACGAGGCCGAACACCAUAUGUCCCCCUAAACUCAAUGGCCAUGGCUGCACCAACUGCAUCCUCAAAAGUCGGGUAAAUUACCCAUGUCAUCUUGUCCGCAUACACUCCACCAAGUACCCCAAUGAACAUCUCAAUCCUGGUCCUCUCAUCAGAAACCAGAUAUGACACAUGGUAGCUCAGGGAAGUGAAUCUUUCCUGAAACUCUAAGAUACCCUCAUCGUCCCUCUUUGACAUAUGCAGGAAAUCCGACUGAAUUCUGCUGCGGUGGGCAUGAUUGAAAUACUGCCCCAAGAAGAGAGUCUUAAACUACUCCCACGACAUAUUCAGCGCAUCCUCAACAUUCCUGUUGGCAAGUGACCACCAGUGAUGUGCUGAAUCAUCCAGAAAAGUCACUGCUAUCUUCACCUUUCUUUCUUCUGGCAGCUCAGUGCUCGCAAAAGCCUUUUCCAUCUUAUCCACCUAAUUGUGAGCAUCAAGAGGUCCCUUGGCACCCUUGAACUCUCUGGCUCCAGCAUAAAAAACUUCUCUCCUUUUCACAGUAGGAGGGCGUGGAGCUCGAUCCAUGACAUCCCUUAGCAUAUUUCCAAUAUCAUCAACCAGUCCCCUGACCUCAUUGCCCUCAUCGGCAUUGGUUGAAGUGGCCACACGGGGUUGCCGUGGGCGCCUAGGAGGCAUAGUACCUGAGAAAGAAGAAAUUUAGUAGUCCAUAAACAAGACUAACACAACAAUCACACAUACCCAAUAACACAUAGCAUCAAAAGCAUAAAAUGCCAAUGAAUCCGCCGCGGUCUGAUCAUCACUCUAUAGACACUACGUGCUACUUAGGCAAAUAUGAUAGUGACAAGGAAGCAGGAAAAGGAAACCUAAAGCUCUGAUACCAACUGACACGACCCACCCCAAAUUUCACCCUGAAACCCGAAGUCGUGCGGGGACCACCUCCAAGAAAAAUUUACUGAAAAGAUUGAUAAAAUCUCCCUUGAAAAUGGACAACCCUAACUCGAAAAUUCCAAAUUACACUCUUAAUACAACACGUCCAAACAUCACAUAAUUAACCUUCAGAAAUUCUAAACAUAAUAUACAAUAAUCUCAAAGUAUUCAGAGCUACUAGACACUAGCGGAAGCAAGAAAACACGAGUAGGUUAAACAUGUAAUCUACUGAUGAAAACUGGCGGAAAUCCGGGUGACUAUGCCUCGCCUCCUACUAGAUCCAACUCGAACUCUGCAGACUGGGCAAUUUAAAACGAAGAGCCCAAGGGAAAACAUGUGGAACAGUUAGAGUGAGUGGACAAAAACUAAAUUAAAUAAAAAUAUUUCUUUAUGCUUUCCCAAUUUAAUUUCCAAAUAAAAUAAUACUGCAUGCAAUCGCUCAAAAGCGCUCAACUCAAAAACUGACAACUUCACGACUAGCACCGGCUAGUCUCCAAAACUUAAUAAAAUACAGCCUCUCAGGCUAAAUUAUAUAUAAACAUAUAUAAGUGUAUGUAUUUACACUCGUCAGACUCCUUGUAUGAAUUCUAAGAACAAAUUAGAAAAAUAGAAAUUCAUACAAGGCUACUACGCUUGCGUCUAACGCUCACGUCACACCAUAAUGGAAUUGUACCUCAGUAUGGCGGAAAAAGCACGAGUGUAUAUACGUGUGGACUCCCUAUAUGAAAACCUAAAUAAACCAAAUAAGAAAAUAGUUUUCAUAUAGGGCUACUACGCUUGUGUCUAACACUCACGUCACACCAUAAUGGUAUUUUACCUCAUUAUGGCAGAUCAAACACGUAUGGCUAGCUAGCAUUUACAUAUACAUACUAUCAUCAUAAACAUCCAAUAAACAUAUCCACCGAAAAUCUCAUUUUCGGGAUCUUUCCAAAGGAGGAAAAUUGCCAAAUAUCCGAGAAAUAAAUAAAUCUCAUGAAAAGAAAUAAAUAAUCAACAUAUAAUUCAUCGCAUGCUUUUCAAUUAAAAUAGAGGUCCACUCACAAAUUAGGCCUAAGCCUGAUGACGCUCCGACGCUUCCUCUGCUCGGGCCUCCUCUCGUCCUGUUCCAAAUAUAUAAUUAAUUUCCCACCAAAAAUCCAAUAAUUAAACAAAAUGGGCAAAAUUAAACGUGAGCCUCCAACACACUCAUCAUUGCCCAAACCAAAUUCGUCAUUCUUAACUCAAUACAGCUCAAACUUCGGCGAACAUACCGGCAGCUGUAAAAACAACUUCCCACAGAAUACGACUUAAAUCCUACGGCCGGAUUCUACAUUAAUUAACCGCCAAAAAUACCAAACUUCGAAAAUUCAUAAACCUAUCCAAAACUCAUCCAAAAAUUCCAUAACUCACUUCAAUAAACUCCCCUUAAUAUUCCUAAUCUAAAAACAUUAAAAUCUCCCAAACAGCUCCGGUAGCGGCGGCCGGAGGCCGAUUCCGGCGACCUCCAAUUCCUAUGAAAUUUUAACAGCAUCUUCCUCUCAUCAUGCUCUACAACUUUCCUAACUAGCACAAACCCAAAAUCCAAGCCUAGCUAUGUCAAUCGAACAAAAACAUCAAAAACGCCCUAGAGCUUCCACCUCAAAUUGCUCCUUACCUGAAGCAAACCGGAGUGAGUCCUUUUAGGGCAAGGCAGCUGGGUUAGAGACCUACAAAACCGUACCAAGCUUGCCCGGAUUGGUGGCCGGAGGAGGGAUUUCCGACGAAAAGCUUCCCGGCGUUUCCGGUGCGUUUUCUCUUCUUCCGGCGGGCUAACGGCUCGGGGGCUAGGCCGGGGAGGGAGAGGAGGUGAUGGGGGUCCGAACUGGGGUGGAGUGGUGGCUGGUGGCUGGCCGAACGGCGGCAGCUGGCAGCUGGAAGUUUCCGGCGAAGGGAGAGAGAGCACGGGAGGGAGAAGGAAGAGAAAAGAGAGAAGAAGAGAAAGAGAGGAAAUGGGUUGGGCCUCUCCAACCGGUCCAACUCCACUAAUAUACCUAACUCCCACAAAUAAAACACCCCGAAAAAAAAUUACCUUUUACUAACUAAAAUUUACCAUUUUUACCGUCGCCAUAUUUUCCUCCUACGAAUAAUCCUCCGCCCAUAAUCGUCCCCGAAACCCCUCUAAGGACCAAUUAAACUAUUAACUCAAUGACGGAGAUGGUAAAAUUCUUAUUAUAAACAAGCUAGUAAAUAAGGUAAAAAUAUAAGAGUCGGGAUGUGACAGGAGCAGUCGGCGUUUCCGGUGGUUUUCUUCUCUCCGGCGGCGCUACCAGCUCGGACACUAGGCCGGGAAGAGAGAAGAGGUGGCAGGGCUCCAAACUGGGCUGGAGCGGCGGCCGGUUGCUGGCCGGAUGGCGGCAGGCGAUGGUCGGAAGUCGGACGGAGAGAUAAGCUCUGGGGGAGAGGGAGAGAGAAGAGAAAGAGGAGGAAAAAGAAGGAAGAAAAAAAAUGGGCCACUCCUCUAACCCAGUCCAACACCUUAAACAAAACCCCAACUCCCAAAAAUUAACACCUCAGAAUAAUACCCAAAUAAAAAUUACCUUUUACCAGCUAAAAUUUACUAUUUUUACCGUCGUCAAAUUUUUCUCUUACGAAUAGUUCCUCCGAAAUAAUCGUCCAUCAAAACCCCUCUAGGGACUAUUUAAACUAUAAACUCAUUGACAAAGACGGUAAAACUCUUAUUAUUACCAAGCUAGUAAAUAAGUUAAGAAUUUAAGGGUCGGGAUGUGACAGUUUUCCUAAUAAAAUUGGACUCUGAAUUGUAUCAUGAAUCUCAAAUUAGGGAACUUGAAUUGCUUGGGUGCAAGCUGGGACUUUGCUUUCGGAAUCAAACUGCUAUUGUUUGAUUUGGGUGCUUAUGUGUUUGGAGUUGCUUGCUUAUGCCGGUUGCUAUGACAUGAGGUAGGGAAAACAAACUUUUCUUUAUAGCUUUGAUUCUAGUUUCAUGUGUAUUUGGUGUGAUUGUGUUGGAAUGUCUUCUCUGCUAUUUUUCCUUGAUUGAAACUGUCAAGCAUACAUAGCUUGUCGAAUAGAAAUCUUGUUGAGUGUCAUUGUUACUCUGAUUCAAGGUAAUAUGUACCCUUGUCUUAUAUUUAAUAUUGAAAUGAUAGCCUUGAGUAUUUUGGCUGGUAUUCUUUGAAGAAGUUCACAUUGGACAAGGUCCUUCUCGUUCCCAACUCUCUUCUUAUUAUGUUAGUUGCAGCCGUGGCUUGUAUCUUGUUAUACCAUCUAAAGUGGUUUUAUCUGUGUCUACUUUGUCUUAUGUUACUGCUUUCUUGGCUUCUCCUUUGAGUCUAUUACUUAGUUUAGUCCUGCUCUCUGUUAAUGCUCAUGAACUCACUGUACAAAGCUGCUCAAGUUAGUGUCUUUACCCAUUGAUAUUUAUAUUCUUGAGGCCGAUACAAAUCUGAUUCUUGCCCUGUUCUUUAUAAUUUAAAAGGAAGUUUUUAUACAUGGUUUUACUUGAACCAAAAAUUCAAGGCUUUGCUUAUUUUCACUGAUAUGACCUCUGUAAGGGAAUAGAUAAAUGAGAUAACUAGAUUUCUUGCUCUUAGCUAUUCUACUUGUUUGUUUUAUUCUUGGUGCCCGCUACCCUAUAAUUUCUGAAAUUAAUCAAGUACGACUUUUGAAACUGAAGUAUGUCUUCUCACAAUUAUCUGAUUUGUAGCAAAAAGACGUCGUACAUGUGUUAUAUACUUACCUAUACAUACGUUCUUGGUCUUUUGACCUCAAAGUGAAAUUAGCUUUUGGCCUAUUUCAUGUCCAGGCUUACCUAUCAAAUGUUGGUGUUUAAAAUAUACCACUUUUACCUGGUUUUCGACCUAUGAUGCGGCUCCUUAUUUAACGUAUUUUGAAAUAGUCUCAUACUCAUUACCUGGACUUCAUAACCAUAAGUACUGUACAGUUUCUAUGUUAUAUAUCUUAAGAUGCAGCAAAGUGAUUUAUGCAUCCUUUCAAAACCAAAGGUAUAUCUUGUGUACUUCUGGCCAUAUGAAACCAUGAAUUCCAAGUCAAUUUGUACAUGGUUGUACUUGAGUUUAUUCCUACCACUUGAUUGCAAUUUGAAAGUGAUCGUACCUCAUUGUCAUUAUUCUUAGAAAGCUACUUUUGUUCAUAGAAUGAUCCAAUGCUUUGUAUUAUGAGUUGGAGUAUGCGCUUAUUACUAGCUCAUUGUUCGUUGAGGUCUUCUCCAUCAGUCAUGGUCUUUGUUGUUGAUUACUCCAACAGUUUGAAAACCCAAGUCUUUGCUGCUGGCUUUGAAAUCCAUGUAUUGAUGCUUAUCUCAUAACCAGUUUGCUAUUGAAAGUUGAUUCCUCUGUUAUGCCUGUUCAAAUUUACUUGGAAAUAAGCUCCCAUUCUUUGAUAAUUUCCUCUUGUCAUCUGUGAGUUUAUGAACUCAAGUUCUCUACCUCAUUGUCAUUAGUUCUAAACUCGUGUACCUAUUGCUUUGAUCUUCACCUAAAGAUCUGCUCUGUUCAGAUUCCUUUCUAUUGAAAGAACAGAGGUCCAUGUUACAGUACUAUUUCUGGGCAGUGUCAUAUGAUAUUCUGAAAAGGGAUUUCAAGUUUGUUUCUGAAAUCCUUGUUUGAUCAGUUGGUUUGGAAAAUGAAACUUCCUGGAAAGAAAUGAUUGUAUUUCAAAUUUUCUGUUCGGUUAGGCCCGGUGAAUUAUGUGAGUGGGGAUUGUGCCUCCCUUGGGUUGUUUAACCCUAAACCUGAUCAGGGUACCGCAUGUGCGGGGUUUGCUCGGUGGUAUAGCUGGGCGAUGGGCUCUAACCGGCAUCUUAAGGAUUUGUUGAAAUUCGAGUGAAAGAAAGUUCUAUGAGCUUCAUGAGUUUUUCUCAUCAACACCUUUGUUGGUUCAUGAUUAUUCUUAUUUGUUGACCUGGUUGUCAGGUUAUCCUUAUGAUUAGCUUUCUUCUACCUCGUAUGUGUAUAUUGACUGCUGAUGCUUGUUAUACUUGGUAAAGUGUGAUAUCUGAAAUUCCAAUGUUAUGUUUGAGUCGAGUUCAUUUAUUCUACUUCCAGACUUCUGAUUUUCUCUCUCUCACUAGUGUAGCAGCAAUUAUUGGGGUUAAUCUCAUUUCAUUGGUUAUAUCUCUUAAGCUUCAUGUAUGUUCCUACCUUUCAUUUCCAAGUGCAUAUUGAAUUAGAGUCUUUGUUAUAAAGAUUAUUUUGGUCGUACCUACUGAGCUUGUGAAGCUCAUUUCUUAUAUUCUUAUUGUUUUCAGGGAGUCUAUUAGUGGACAAGAUAAUGAUAUUCUGGAGUUUCUUAAGCUUAAGUAUGUUUGUUUCUUACUUUGGGUUGGUGUUGCUGCUAUGGUGUUGUUGGAUGUGUUAUGUUUAAAGGAUUGGAAUAGUUGUCAAGCUCUUAAGCAAUAACCUGGUAUGGUUAUGAUACAAAAUGUGAUGUUUCUUCUAAAAAGUAUCUUCCAUGUUUGUACAAAAUGUAAAGUUGUAUUCAGCCUUCCUCUUAUCAGAUUUAAUUAUUGCUGUGUACUUUUAAAAGGAUUCUACAUUUAUCCAUUGCUUCUGUACAGUUUUACAAUCUUUGGAAAAGAGUGUAGUUUUAUUUCAUGGGAUGUUUAUUGCUCAAGUUCAUGCUUAAUGUUGUUAUUAGAGUGAUUCUUCAGGCAAAUAUUUUGAAUCAGUUGGUUUUAACAAAAUGGUUAUUCCUUCAAAGUUUUAGUGACUAUUUUCGGGUUUUUAUAAAAGUUCCUCAUUCCAAAAGUUUGUUUUAAAAAGAAAUAAUAAUAAUUUCACCGAUCUUUCUUUCGAUUUAUUCCAUCACAUUAGUCAUACCUUGAGGUCAGGGUGUGGCAGGGAGUGUGAUGUUUAGUGGUAGUAGACAGUCAACCUUUUCGCUGGGCUUUUGAUUUGAAUAAAGUUUUGAACUUGGUUGUAAAGGAGGGUUUUAGUUAAUGAUUCUAAUUGCUUGAGAUGCAGGGAUGCACUUGAUGCAUUGGGGUUGGUUCGUUACUGCUACAGGCGCAUGCUUAUGACUCAUGUUAAUCUCAUUGAGAAGCUUCUCAACUACAACAGUAAGUUUUAACUCUUUUUCUAGCUGUCUUUCUCCUGCACAUACACGCAUAGAGUUCCCACAGGUGUAAUCUGUCCUGAGUGUGGCUGAUUUGUUUAUUGGAACUGAGAUUGAAUCUUUGUUACAGCUUUGGAGAAGUCAGAUUUAGUGUCCUGAGUAAUACUUAUGGGAUACUCAUCAGAAUUGGGAGUUGGCUUGAGUUUUUAUCGAAAUGUGACGUUUCUUGUUAGAUUGGAUGAUUCUCUUACUCAUGUGUUGUUUUGUUGAAUGCAAAUAUGGCUUUAUUUUGUUGGAUUUUUAUUUCUUUUUAUCAAUUGGGAUAUAAAUUUUAGCUUUUUAAAACUUCAAUUGAGUUUCAUAUUAGCUUCUACUUGUUGAAAUGUAGAAGGAACAAAGUGAAAAUCUAGAAGCAAUAACAAGGUCUAUUGUAUGGGUACAUGCUUAUGAAACAAAGAAGAAGAAGGGCUCAGAUGAAGUAGUUGAGGAUCAUGAAAUAGUGGUUAGUAUACUCUUCUUGUCGUGUUUGCAGAUAUCAUGUCAAUUUAUCAAAGUUGCAUGAGAUUAACAUUAGUCUUUUUUAGAAACAAGUGAAAUAAUAUCAUGCAGAGGAACAACCUUCACAACCUUGUUCUUUAAAACACAAUGUUGUAGCAAAAGUUCUAGGUCCGGAUCCACGAGGAAGGGUAAGAGGGUUAGGAUUUGGAGAAGUUCCUUCAAGGGUAGAAUAUCAAACUACUGUUGGAAACAAAGUUGCUAAAUUAGAGAAUGCUUUGUCCGCUCAAGCACAAGAGAUGCUUUCUCAAUCGCAAGAGAUUGAACGAUUAAAAGAAGUGUUUAACACUCUUUUAGCUCGAUCAGAGAAAGAAGGGGAUAACUAUGUAAGUUAGUUAGAAUUAUUAACUUUUGGCAGAUAACUCAACUAGGUUACUGAUUUCCUGAACUUUAAAAUGACAGGGUAGUACCAGUGUUCAGCAUUCUGCUAAUAAGGUUGCACAAUAGAAAGAGAAUGCGAAUCAAAGUGUAACCCAAAGCAAGCAAAACAGUCCAAGUGUUCAGAGAUCUGAAAUUCGAAGUCCAAAGAGAAAGCAGAGUAACCAAAGAAAAACUUCACGUCUUCAACACUCUACUGAUCAUGGGAUGCAAAGUAAAGACAAGGAAGGUACAAGGGCCAAAAGUACAAAGGAUGAUCAAAAUAGAAUUGAAUUGUUAAGUUGGUUUGAGAUGAGCAAAGGUGUUGUUGCAAUUGCAAAACUUGAUUCCAAAGAUCCAAAUGCUAUGGUUCAUCAUAUGCCCUUUGGUCCUGAAUGCUGGAAAGUUUGGGUGCUUGAUGUUUUUGAUGAUAUAGCUUUAUAUCGACCAACCAGGGAGUUUGGAACACUGAGCGAGGCUACAGGAAGUACAAUUGCCUAGCCUAUCCAAUACAUCAGACAAAUUUAAUCUAUUAACAAGAUAUAGCAGGUAACAUACUCUUAACAUAUACUUCUUGCAAUAUUUGUUUUCAGUAUUGUACUCUAUUCAUUCAUUAAAUUAAACUCAGUAUAUAUUCAUCGAGAUUCUAUGUUUUGGUUUGUUCUUGUAGAUAGUGCAACCACUCAAUUUGCUUAUAAAUUAAUUACUUUGGCGUAGUUGUAGAUUUGAUAGGUUAUAUGAGGACUGCCACAUUCUUGUCAGCUGGAUACCUAAACUCAAUUUUACAUGUGCUAGGAGACCAUAACUCAUCAUAUUUGGAGAUCUAAACUGAACUCAUAUUUUCUUUUUUCUUGAGUAUUGCCUUAUAUAUGUACGCAAUUAUUUGGAUUCUUAUGAUUCUUAGAUCAACCAAUGUGUAAUAUGUAUAUUUUCAAACUUGUUUCUAGCAGGUAAUGUGAAGUUUUGAGGUGAAUGAAGAUUAAUGCUUAUGUUGCUACUGGUGGGACAUUUUGCAGUUGGAUAAUGGAGUUUGAAAGCUUCCAAGUACUAUGAAUUGUAAUGUUAUUUUUUGAUGGAAUUUUUAGGGGCAUAUAUGCAGUUGUUAUGUGUUGAGAUACAUAAUGAAUAUCCAAAUUGUUCAGAUAUGAAUGUGUAUAUAUAUAUAUAUGAUGUUAGUUCACCUUUGCUAGCUUUAAAUUAGAUUGUUGUUCUUGUAUAAGGUUUUGAAGUUAGUUAUUGUUAACUCUGAUUUGAGUAGCCAAUGGAAUGUAGUACCAUGAAUUUGGAAUAUGAUCAGUAAAUCAUAUAUAAUUGUGGAAACAAUAAAUGCAAAAAGCAACAUGCAGAGCAAAUAGGUUAUUACGGCAUACUUGUGCGCCGUAAAUGUCUUUAAACUAAUACUCUUUUACGGCACGCUAGAGCGCCGUGAAAACAUUCUAAUCCAAGUCUUUGACAGCAUUCUUUUGGAUCAUAUACGGCGCACAAAUAUGCUCAUUUGGAUGUUAUAACGUUGGAGGGAACAUGUCACACCCCGGUCCCGGCGUCAGUGGGUUUUAAGCACCGGACGCCGAUCCUGAAGCGUGAACGAGUGUUACAAAGCGGAAUAAAACAAAAACACUGUCUUCUAGGCUCGUCGGCUACCCUUUCCCGGCUCGAUCAAAUCUAAGUACUUCUCUGCAAAAAAUAUUAGAGAUGGGUGGGUGAGCAUAACCACGCGCUCAGUGAGUAGACCAAUGUAAUAUGCCCGCAAAGCCAUGUCAUUUUACAUACGCUACAAAAUACGUAUAUCGUAUACACAUCACUUCAAGCAAUUCAUCACAUCGCACAAUCCCUUUUUAUUGGAUAUCCUUCAAUUUAGUGAUCCCCAUGGGAACUUAAUGACCUUCAAGUCCAAUACCUCCAUGUGUCACAUCCUUACUUCGGCAUAACCAAUCAAGAAGUUCACAUGUUUUAUGACCAGUCAAACAAUGGAUCCAACACAAAAUAAUAUAUAAAACUCCAUAUAUUUCGCAAAUCGACAUGCUUCACUAUAAAAAUAGAGAGAUAUUUUGUAAAUAGAUCAAAAUCAUGCUUUUUGAAUAUUUGAUAACAAACAAGAAUAUUUAAAACAUAUUACACAAAUCCACUCACCUCGUCAAUACGAAUCCCUACCAAAAACGUCGAGUAAACUGAGCCUCCUAAAACAAGCCAUCUAGAAUCACCGUUGGAUCUAGCUCAAACCUCUAGGGAAGAAAGAGGACAUCGAGACGAACUCGUAGCACUUCACGGAUUCGAAAUCAGAGUUACAGAUCAAAAGUUAUGAUCCGCUAAAGUUUAGUCACAAAAUUCUAGAGAGAGAAAAUUUAGGAGAGAGAGAGAGAAUCUCUCGAAAAAACUACAGAAUGAGAGAAGAAAUGGUGCUGCUCCUCUCUAUAUAUAGCUUCACAAUUGACACGUGUCAACAAAUGAUUGGUCUAUUUGUUGUCACGUGUCAAACCCACACAAUACCUCUCCACUUGAUGACACAUGGGAGGUGACUAAUUGCAGAUGAUGACAUCAUCAGCCCACAUGGGUGACGUCAUCGUCAGCUGUUAUCUUUUUAAAAUGCCACGUGUCAGCUUCUUGGCCAAUUCGAGUUCAACACGUCAUCGUCUCUAUCUUCUUCCGAGAAACUUCGAAAAAUCGUUAAAAAUAGCUCGGAAGUCUGAAAAAUUCACCGAAAAAUACGACGAACUCGUGGCAACAUCUAGUUUCUAAUUCUAAGAAGAAAAAUGAAUUUUGAGAAAUUUCAAAAAUUCGGAAUGUUACAAUCUACCCUCCUAACAAGAAUUUCGUCCCCGAAAUUCAACACACCUCCAAAAACUCCAAAAACACUUAUGGUUCUACGCUAAGAUGCUAGAAUCCUAAUCUACCACAGAUCCUGGGGUUCUAAUCCCUAGUUUGCUCUGAUACCAUUCUCACACCCCAGUCCCGGCGUCGGUGGGUUUUAAGCACCGAACGCCGACUCGAGGCGUGAACGAGUGUUACAAAGCGGAAUAAAACAAAAAACACUAUCUUCUAGGCUCGUCGGCUACCCUUUCCCGGCUCGAUCAAAUCUAAGUACUUCUCUGCAAAAAAUAUUAGAGAUGGGUGGGUGAGCAUAACCACGCGCUCAGUGAGUAGACCAAUGUAAUAUGCCCGCAAAGCCAUGUCAUUUUACACACGCUACAAAAUACGUAUAUCGUAUACACAUCACUUCAAGCAAUUCAUCACAUCGCACAAUCCUUUCUUAUUGGAUAUCCUUCAAUUUAGUGAUCCCCAUGGGAACCUAAUGACCUUCAAGUCCUAUACCUCCAUGUGUCACAUCGUUACUUCGGCAUAACCAAUCAAGAAGUUCACAUGUUUCAUGACUAGUCAAACAAUGGAUCCAACACAAAAUAAUAUAUAAAAAUGGAGAGAUAUUUCGUAAAUAGAUCAAAAUCAUGCUUUUCGAAUAUUUUGAUAACAAAUAAGAAUAUUUAAAACAUAUUACACAAAUCCACUCACCUCGUCAAUACAAAUCCCCACCAAGAACGUCGAUUGUAAACCGAGCCUCCUAAAACGAGCCAUCUAGAAUCACUAUUGGAUCUAGCUCAAACCUCUAGGAUAGAAAGAGGACAUCGAGACGAACCCGUAGCACUUCACAGAUUCGAAAUCGGAGUUACAGAUCAAUAGUUAUGAUCCGCCGAAGUUUAGUCGCAAAAUUCUAGAGAGAAAAUUUAGGGGAGAGAGAGAGAGAGAAUCUCUACGGAAAAACUACAGAAUGAGAGAAGAAAUAGUGCUGCUCCUCUCUAUAUAUAGCUUCACAAUUGACACUUGUCAACAAAUGAUUGGUCCAUUUGUUGUCACGUGUCAAACCCACACAAUACCUUUCCACUUGACGACAUAUGGGAGGUGACUAAUUGCAAAUGAUGACAUCAUCAGCCCACAUGGGUGACGUUAUCGUCAGCUGUUUUCUUUUCAAAAUGCCACGUGUUAGCUUAUUGGCCAAUCCGAGUUCGACACGUCAUCGUCUCUAUCUUCUUCCGAGAAACUUUGAAAAAUUCACCGAAAAAUACGGCGAACUCGUGGCGACAUCUAGUUUCUAAUUCUAAGAAGAAAAAUGAAUUUUGAGAAAUUUCAAAAAUUCGGAAUGUUACAGAUCAGUUUUACAGCGUGUAUUUAUCUAUUUUUAUGGCUCGCAUUGGCGCGCCGUUAAUGUAAUGCGUCUUUUACGGCGUGCAUUGCUGGCCGUAAAAGCCUGUUUUUGGCGUAGUGGAAGACAUAGUUGAUAGGUUUUAGCUUACGGUGUCGGCAUCACUUGUCCAAGGACCUAUCUCUUUGUUAAUGCUGGAUUGCAUCUUUCCAUUGUUCUUACUACGCUAUCUAACAAAGACAUAGUUGAUAGGUUUUAGCUUGCGGUGUCGGCAUCACUUGCCCAAUGACUUAUCUCUUUGUUAAUGCUGGAUCGCAUCUUUCCAUUUGGCUAAUCAACUAAGUUGAUAUCCAUCAAUAAAGGGUGGUUCGAUAGUAGACUCAUUAUCCCACGUUCUCAUGUACACUAGUGUAAUACUUGUAGAGAUCUCUAUAUAGAUUGGAUUUGACAUUGAGGCGUCCCCCAACGAUAAUCACAAUUCAGACUUCAUGAGACCGAUUUGAGUAUCACUGAUCAAUGGAUCACGUUGUGCCAAGCUCGCUUUCUUCCUAGUGCGAGAAAGUAUCGAACCUAAGGGCCUCCUUCCUUUUUAGGGAGCCACACGGCCUUCUGACACCAAUUUUGCCACCAUAUGGUGUCAGCCUAUCACCAUCUAUGGUGAUGGCAUCAAGACCAACUCCUUUUGGUCGUGCUUGAUAGGACAUCAAUCCUUGCAGACAUAUUUGUAGCAUGUGAUCUCAUCACUUUAAAACUUUAAGCAUUUGGGAUUAAGAUGAGAUUUAGUGGGAACAAACCACGACAAUUCAUGACGUUCCACUUGAACACUUGUGUUCUUAUCUCCCCCUAACGGUGGGAAUAUUGUCUCACCAAAAUGAAUCCUACGGAGCUCAAGGAUUGCAAUUUCGUGUCAAUCCUCGUACACAGUCACGAGUUGUCACACCCUGACCUUAGAGUAUGACUAAAGUGGUGGAUUUUUGAAAAUAGAAAAUCUGUGGAAUUUUUUUUUUUUUUUUCUGGAAUUUAGAAAAUAUGAAUCUGCAUCCUUUUGUUUUAAAAGCAUUUGAAUUUGAACAAAAUAAUAACUAGUAUGUAAUGCAUAUGGUGAGCCAAAGAAUUUGGUUUAACAAUAAAACUGAAAGCUUGUAAUAUGUUCUGAGUGAAACAAAACCUAUACAAGGUUCAACAAAAGAAAAGGCUAACUGUACAAGGAUAUUUUCCUAUUGUAAAAGAGAGUACAUUUAACACCAAAGUGGACAUUUAGGAAUUUGAGUUUAACUUUAAAGAUCAAGUAGUUCAAGUCUAAAACAUAAACAGUUGCUGGAACUUAGUAAGAUAAAAUACUUCAUUUUUAUACAUGUGCGAAAUAUACAUUUUACUUACAAAAUAUCUCACCACUUAGCAUCAAAAUUUACAUCAAAUUUACCCAGAUCAGUGUGGACUUUCUACUUCAUACAACUAUCUUAACAAAAACCUCCAUUCCGAACAAAAUGCAUACUGAGCACAAACUAAUGAAAACCAUAGCACAUACUCAAUAAAGCCAAAAUAGAGGCACUUAAUCUACAAGUAAGCAAAACUUGAUCAUGAACUCUGAUUUAAGACAACUCUGGAAUGUCAGAAAUAUCACCAAACUUUUUUCCUGAAAACACAUGAAACAUAGGGAAAUGAGCUUCACAAGCUCAAUAGGUACAACAUAAUAAUCGUUAUAACUAAGAUUCUAAACCAGCAACUACAUCUGAAAUGUGAAGGAUGGUAGAGAUGCUUCAAAUGUACUUUUAAAUGAGAAUAAGAAUAUGGCUGCAAACAAAUUUGGAAUUAAGCUUGAGGAACAAAUGCCAACCGUUAACUGAAUCAAGCACAGAUGAUAACAUGAUAACAUAGAAUUAUUAGGCUGCAACUCACCAAGCAACUCAUAUCAAAUGAGCAGACAACUGAACAUGAAGGAAUCAAGGACAGAUAAUAACAAUCUAAAAUACUUUACUGCAAAUAGACCAAUCAAUUCUGAUCCAAAUCAAUAGAUAACUGAACAAAUGAAGGAUCAAGAGAUAGAUUACGACAUAUAAUCAAUUAUUUCAGAUCAACUAAGUAGACUAAUAAUGAACAGGAAAGGAAAAGUGAGCAAACUGAAAUUCGAGAUUUUCUCACUGGAUACUCAAACACAAGGGAAAGAUUUUCUUUAACUUCCUUUUCUCUUUUUCAAAGUCUAAAAUCUUUCCUUUCCUUUCCAAAACAUUUGUAAAACUCUUUUCCAUAAACCAAACUUCAGCGAAAUCCUUGGAAACCGGUUAGAGCCCACUGCCCAGCUAUACCACUGAGCAAACCCCGCACAUGCGGUACCCUAAUCAGGUUUAGGGUUAAACAACCCAAGGGAGGCACAAUCCCUACUCACACAAUUCACCGGGUCUAACUAAAUAAAACAAAUAAAACCAAAUCUGAUCUUUCCAUGAAACACUUUGCUUUUCCAAACCUAGUCAAUCUGUGACAACCCGGAAUUUUAUUAUGUAUAUAUUAUGUAUAUACCUAUUUACAAACUUGCUUAUAUAUAUAUAUAUAUAGGUAUGAUUGUUUUAAGUGUGUGUGUAUAUAUUUAGUGUUAUAUAUGCUGAAAAUUAAUAUAGUUAUUUAGUUUUUUUUUUAUUAAAAUUUAAUGAGUAGGGUUUUUAUCCAAGCCCAAUACCCAAAUACAAAGCCCAAGCCCAAACUUGAUAGCAAGGAAAAGAGAAGUGUUUGUCGUUCAGGCAAAACGAUGUCGUCCUCUUCUUCUUCAUCUCCUUCACCGCCUUCUGCUUCUUCUCCUCCGCCUUCCUUCCGACCUCUAAACUCGAAGUUUUAUCCUCUCUUCUUCACCGACUUCUUCUUUCUUCCGACCAGAUGUUUCCUAAUCCGAAACAUUGCCGCCAUAAAACCCAGAAACCGUCCUUGAAACGCCUAGCAGCCGACUUCAUUAAGCAGGAGAUGUCAAGAUUCUUGGAGACUAAGUUUCCAGAUGGAUAAGAAUUGGGUUGAAGUGCUCAAUUUGACUUCCUUGAGUCUUUCUUGGACUCCACGUUCUUCCCUCUUUCUAGACCCUAUAAAUAGAGGUUAGUAUUCAGAGUUUUCCAUAUGGUUUCCUUGAAUUCACUGAUAGAGAGAGAGAGAGAGAAGAGAAGAGAAAUUGGUGUUGUAGGAAAUUGGUAGAACUCAGGUUAGAUUCUCUUUAUGUUCAGACCAAUUAAUUGUGUUUAUAUGCUCUUAGUUUGUGAAUUUAGAAUUUGACAUCACUUUGGAAUCUUUGUAUGAUUGUUUAUUUGAUUGGAAUAGUUCCUAUUAAGAAUUGGUUUUGGUUUUGUUGCUGUUGAAUUCUGUGGCAAGUAGGAUUACUAAAUCCUUUGGUUUUGGUUAUCUUUGAUUUGAUUUCUUUGUUAGCCAAAUCAGUUCUUAUAUGUUAUUAAUAGCUAGAGAAUCAAGUAUAUGAUGUUGUUGUUAUUGUUGUUGUUGCUGUUGUUUGAAUUAGCUUAAAAUUUUGUUCAUGUAGUAGAUUUAUUCUUUUGUAAACAGAAUAGAAACUGAUGAAGAUGAUUAUCUUUAGUUCUGCAAGUUUGGGUGUCCUGAGUAAUUACAAUGUUGUUGUUCGAAUUAGAGAUUCUUGUUUUCUCUUACACAACAAGGGCUUAGAGUGACUAAGAAACCUAUAUGAGUAUUUAGACAUCGAUAGAAUUGAUUAGGAACCUUAGACUUUGCAUGAACUGAAGUGACAUUUGAAUGGAAAAGUUUUUGUAACUUGUUCAUUUAGUUAACUUUGAGCAACCAUAUCUUUGAAUUAAUCAUGCUUUUUAGAAAUCAUUUGCAUGUAUUGAAAGUUCAUAUUCUUAGCUUGAUAUCUGGGUAGUUUCAUGCAAGUUCAUUUAGAAUUCGUUAGUCAAGUUUGGAGCCGAAAACAUAGCUGAACAUUCUGCAAAUCAGCUUUCUUGUAUUUUGGAGUCAGUCACCUUGAUUUCUAAAAACCGUACAUUUAGGUUGGUUAUUUGAAGUUUGUUUCUUCAUAAAAGGUGUAGUAGACAUCUUAAAUAUUAUUUUAGAAUUUGAAUCACUUCAAAAGGAUUUCUUUAGGUUAAGAUAUGAUUUUUCAAAGUUCAGGGUCUGCAGUAAGAAAUUCUGCAGAUCAAUUUUCUGUGUUUUUGACCCAGCUGUAUUUUUACUAAACCCUGUGCAUUUCAGUUGAGUAUUUGAAGUUAUUAUCUUCAUAAAAGUUAUAGUACACAUGUUAAAUAUCAUUCCUGAAUUUGAAUCUCUUCAAAAGGAGUUUUGUAGAUUAAGUUAUGAUUUUUCAAAGUUAAGGUUCUGCAUCAGGAAAUUUCUGCAAAUCCGUUUUCCAAGUUUUGGACCAAGUGACCUUUCUAUUAAAACCUGUACAUUUUGGUUCAGUAUUUGCAGUUUGUGUUUUCUCAAAAGUUUUGGUAGACAUCUUAGUUAUCAUUUACUGAAAUCUCCUGAAAAUGAUUUAUGUACAUUAAGUUAUGAAUUUUCAAAGUUGAAGGUUAGCUUUAAAUGGUUUAUGUAUUUGUUACUAUUUUACUGUUUGUUCAUUUUGAUUUCAAUGGUUUCUUUCAUUCAAACUUGUUUAGAUUCACCACCAACUGAACACACACAUUCUCAACUUUCAAACAAAGCUUGUGACAUUAUUUUCCAAAUUUAUUUGAGAUACUUAUGCCAUUUUGAAAUUAGCUAUGUGUAACAGUUUUUCUUCAAAAUAAAUCUACAUCACAUUUUGCUUAGUUUUUUUAACACGUCAAAUGUUAUCUUAAUGGCCUGAGAUUUUAGGUAGUAUGUUUUUGAGACGUAUGCUUUAAAGUAAAGCAUGUUCUUAAAACAUAUGAGGUCACACCCAAUUUUCGAAGGAUAAUUUUCAAAAAUUUGGGCAGGAUAAAUCUAAAAAAUUUGGGCAUGAUAAAUCUAAAAAAAAAACACUCCCAAAACCUAUUCAACAACUUCCAACUAAAUUCAAAUGCUGGAAAUGUAAUGUCAACAAAACUCUUUAACUGAGGUAAACAUUAUCUCUCCUUAAUUACACCAACUUCAAAAAGUCCAGUAAAAUACAGUCGCUCGCAUGAGUUUAAUACUGUCUACCAGAAAUAAUAAAAUAAAGUGUACAACAUCUAAAAUCCUGUCACUAUGCCUCCACCUCAACCCUACUGAUCACCACCUGCAGGUCUAACCCCUACACCAUGAAUUGGUGCACCGGGUUGUAAAACAACAAAACCGGUAAGCUUAAAAGCUCGUAUGAGUAAAUCCCAAAAUAAUAACUCAACAAUUCCAACAUCACAUAAGAUAAAACUGGUAAUUCCUGCAUUAGCAACUUAGUUUAGAAAUCGCCUAAAAGCAAGAGAAUUCAAAAGAAAUAAUUAAGAAAACACGACAAUUCAAAAUGAUAAAUGAAUCCUGCAAAAAGCGUAGUUUAGGAAUUCUAUUAAAAUCACAUAAUUAAGAUUAAAAAAUCUCCUGUGAAUAAGCAUAGUUCAAGAGAUACUCAAACCAAGAAAUUUAAAUGAUAACACAUAAGAACAUCACACAAUCGUUUCUCUACUCUUAUUUAUGAGUUCGUCAACACUUAGUCAUCCCCCAUAAAUAACCAAAAAACGCAUACUCAUGGGUUUGUCAACACUUAGUCAUCCCCCAUGAAGUCCCGACAUACAAACUGGAGCUCUAUACUGACCGUAACCAAUCACCCGGUCAAGACUUGGUUCCUGGUCCACCACGAAGGCUCAUAAUCUAAUGCACACAAUCACCACUAAGGCACAAAUCCACAACUAAUUGAUAGGAGCAUAAAAUGCGACAUUCUUAAUGUGUUAUUAUCUCCAUUUGUACUUUGAUUAUCUCUUAUUGUUGUAGAAUAGAGUCAUAAUGUAAAGUCGAAAGUUUUUGGUAGAGUUGUGCGUAAAAUGUGUUAAACAUAGAGGAAUGAUGUAGAAAAUUGUCAAAAGCCGAUUUGUGGAGCCUUAGAGAUGUUCUUAUGAUUAUGUAAAGCUUUUACAUUGUCACAAAUUGAUUUAACUUCUCUGAUACUUAGGUGAUAUGAGAAGAGUUAUGGGAGAAAGAAUCAGGAGAAUUGAAGUUAUGCUUGAAUCAUUGCCGAGAGAAGUCUUCCUGAUGGACCUAGGGAAGCAAAGCAGCUGAUCCACGAAGCCUAGUCCAUGAAGGAGAGGUCCAAACCAAGUCCAAUAUGGAGAAGAAGAUCUAAAUUCGGCAGAAUAUCAAGGAAUAUCCAAGUCUUGAAAAUCCGGAUUAAAUCGGGAGAAUCCCUGUGCACGUCUGUCAAUUUCAACGGACUCUCCAGGACAGAUCACAAUGAAUCAGAAAACGUGCUAGAUAUGGAUAGAGAGCUACGGGAGUCUAGUUUCCAAAUCAAUUGGAAUCACCUCAAUAUCUAUUUUCUAGAGGGAGUUAUGAUGUAAUCAUCAGACGGAGGUCAUUCUGCCGAAAUUGAGAAGAACUAGGAAUCCUAAACCAACUUGGUUUAGGCUUUGUGGCCGACUUCUCUAGGGUUUUUCCUCUAUAUAAAGCAUGACUUCAAGAGCAGAAAAACAUCAUCUCUACUCUUGCAAUUACAUAGCCGAAACUCUACCAAACCCUAUACAGAAAAUUACUUAGCCGAUUCAUCCACCACAAACCAUAAGAAUCAUUCCAUCCUUCCACCGAUUUUCCCCACACUUGCCGAAUCUUUCAAGGUUGUAAAAGUGUGAUUUUCUCAUGGCUUCUUGUAUUAUUUUCUGUAUGGUUUCGAACUCUAUUGUAAUAUACUUUUCGAUUUUGGUUUUAUUUAUCAAACAUGGUUUUCGGAUUUCUUUGUGAUCUUUGAUUGUUCUUUGUUUUGAUUUGUAACUUCUUGAAUAUAUGAUGAUUUCGUGAUUUAGGUUUUGGGGCAGUAGCAUGUUCUUAUGUGUUUUUGAUUUCUAAUUGAUUAAUUGUCAUGAAUUCGUGCAUCUAAAUCAAUCCUUGAGGCUGCCUCGGCCAUGGUUGUCCUUAAGGUGCGGUUUCAUCUACCAUAAUAAUUUUGGAUCGAUUCAUAUGCAAAGUUGUCUUGGUCUCUGUUAUUAACUUAGGGCCGAUAUAAUUCUGAUAAUUUGCAUGCUAAUAGGAUGAGUGACGCCAUGCCUUAGAUCAUGUUUCCGAUUGACUCGUGUGCUAAAGUGUUUUCUUGUUUAAUCUCUACGCAACGUGUCUUUAAAUGAGUUAGCAUUCAUGUUUAAGAUCAAGCGCAAAGAUGGUUCUAAAUACUUGAGGAGUCUUAACAAUUAGAUAACCGCAAAGGCUCUAAUUAAAUCGGAAUUGGUUAGAGUCUAGGAUAAUUUGAACGUUGUUGCCCGGCCUUGCAUGAAGUUGUUAUGUGUUCUUGAUGGUUUUUCGUGUUAUGUGUUGCAUGAGUAUGUUGAUCACUUGUAUAUAAUAAUCUUAGGUUAAAUUUUCAAAAGGUUAUUUGUUAGAAUUAAUCAAUCUUAAACCCCCAAUAUUUCGAUGUAUAUAUGUGAAUACUUGUUUAUAAAUUGUUUGGUUUCUCUUCUUUCGAUCGCCCUUUGGUUUCCCCGGCUAGAACGAUCCCUACUUGUCCAUAUUACUACGAUUGCAGGGUAAUUAAAUUGAAGUUGUUUGACCCCGGUUACGCGACACGUCACUAAUGCACACAAUCACCACUAAAGCACACAUUCACAACUAAGACACACAAUCACCACCAAGGCAUCAUUCCACAACGAAUGUACACAAUCACCACUAAUGUCACAUCCCGACUCUUAAAUUUUUACCUUAUUUACUAGCUUGGUAAUAAUAAGAGUUUUACUGUAACAUCCCGGACCCAAAUUUUACCUAUUUACUCGGUAUUUCACGAGUUACUGGAGAAUUUAACAGUGCUCGGUAACUUAGUAAGUUAACACUCGAGUUUAUUUGUGAGUUUUUCUGGAAAUGUCAAACUCUUCUUUUUAGGUCCCGAUGUCGUAGUUCAAGUCGAUUCGAGUUCUUCGGUGUCUUCAGAAUUGUUUUGCGGAGCUCCGGAUUAUUUUUCUAUGUUUUAUCGAAGGUUUGGUACUAGGAUUAUUCUUACUGAGAUUAGGGUAUAAAUUUUUUUCGAGUUUUAAAGGAAAAGAAGUGGUGGACUUCGGUCAAAAGCCCAAAGUGGGUGUUGACCAGCUCUUCCACUCCUCUCCCCGACUCCCUCUCUCUCUCGUCUCUCAGUCUUGCCGUGCCGGAGUGGCGCCGUCCGGCCACCUAUGACGACAAGACCCCCACCAAUUCUCUUCCUCUCCCUCUUCUUUACAACGUCUAGCUUUCAAUUCACCAGUGUCCGAACUUUGGAAGGAGAUCGACGGGAAGAAGCACAGCAGCCCUCCGGCGAUUCUUGUUGAUGUCGGCCAUGACUUGGCACCCGAACGGUAGGGUUCGUCUCCUCUAUCCUUCUUCCUUCUUUCUCUGCCUUUGACUCUUCAAAACGAGUUCAAAUUCGGGAGCCCCUUUUUGUGUUUUUAGGUUUUCGUCGGGGUUUUCCGGCGAGUUCGUUCUUGGAGCUCCGGCGGGACUACCGUGCUCUAGUGAGUCUAGAAUCAGUUGAAUGGAGCCCAGACACGUCUUGGGAAGGGUUGGAGGAAGCAAUGGUGGUAUUGAACCGAGGUAGAGGUUUUCUGCCAAAGGGAGGUCCCCUAUUCUUCUAUUGGUUCUUUAUUUUUGUCAAGACGAAGGCUUGGUGAGUUUGGCUUGUGAGGAACCGAAGUAAUCUGGAACUGUUUCGGUGAAGGUGGCAGCUAAGGCAGCCGUUGGGAAUGUUUGGAGGUCUUUCAUGUGGAGUCUGGCAAGGAGGAGCUCUGGUUUGCGAAAUAGAGCAAAUUGAAGGUAAGUUGGUGUUUUCGGCUAUUGUAUUGAGUUGUAUUGAGGUUUGGGUGCUAGUUAGGUGAUUUGGAAUUAUGCUCGGUGUUUUUCGGAAAUGGUUAAUGACUGUUCUUGUUGUUGUGGUUGUUGCAUGUCGAGAACUUGGAGUUCUGAAGAAUACGGGGAGGCUAUGGCGAAAUUCCGGCAAGUCACCAGAAUCCGACGAGUAUUUCUGGCAGAACCCAUGAAGGUAGCUUGUCGACUUUUCUUUUCGUGUAAGUGGUAGUUUACGGUUUAGGAAAACCUGCCAUAUUUAGAAAGUCUCUUUUUAGGGAACUUUCCCCUUUAUGGAAACUUCCAUUCUUGGAAACCCUUUUGGGUGCCCUUAGUAAUUGUUGGUGUGAAGUUGGGUAGAAAAGAAAUGUUGGAAUUGUUGGUUCUGGUUGGCUUAAGCUAGGGGACCAUAAAAUAAUUUUUGUUAAUAUGAUUACUAUCCAUAGUAACCCUAAAAUCUAGACCAUUGGCUUCAUGGUGAUUUUGGAAGUGAAUUGCUUAGUGUGUUAAAGGCAUAGAGAUAGUGUGUGACUUCGAUUUCAGGUUAAGGUUUGGUUUGAAACCGAAUAAGUUUUGGAUGCGAAGUUAGUAGUAGAAAAUGAUUCUUUUAUCUAUUGGUCAACCUAGGAAAUCUUAGUCAAACCAGGAAGAAGUCGAUUCGUUAAUGUUGAUGGAGUCCGGUCUGACCAAUUUAUUCUUCUGUUUAUCGUCAGACGUGGGAUUGGCUAGAGUGUGUAAUUAGUUGGAGGCAGCGCUCGAGGAGUAUUCCGAGCAUUGGAAGGCUUAGGCCUAAUACUGUGAGUGGACUUUUAUUUUAAAUAAUAUGCAUGCUAUGGUUUUGGUUGAGCAUUUAAAAUUGUUGGAGUUUUAACGUCAUUUAAUUUUGACGCUUUUAUUUCUUUUGGAGAGUUACCGAAAAAUAGGAUUUUUCGGUGAGUAUAAAUAUGUAUAUUGAGGAGAGUAUGUAUAUAAAUGCUAGCUAGCCAUAUGUGUUUGUCCACCUUAAUGGCGUAGCAUAUAACCGUAUUAUGGUGUGACGUGAGCGUUGGAUGCGAGCGUAGUAGCCCUAUAUGAGUGUUUAAUUCAUAUAGGGGGUAUGGGCACAUAUUUAUACACCCGUCUGUCCACCUUAAUGGCGUAGUGUAACACCGCAUUAAGACGUGACGUGAGCGUUGGACGCGAGCGUAGUAGCUCUAUAUAGACCCAUGAAUUUAUAUAGGGAGUAUGGACGUGUGUAAAUACAUACAUAUAUUUUUUUAGAGUCUGAGAGACUCGAUAUGUAUGGGAUAAAAGUUCUAUCGCUUGCAGCAUGCAUUCAACUUUCCUUGGAAAUUGAUUUGGGGAAACAUAAAUAUUUUAUUCGUUAAUUUAUUUUUGUCUACUCACUCUAACGUUUAGUUUUCAAAUGUUUUUCCCCUGGGCUCUUCGUUUUAAAAAUGCCCAGUUUGCAAGAUUGCAUAGUUGUGGUCGGACGUAUUUGGAGAAGAGGCAUAGUCAAUAGUGUUGCUUCCGCUCAUUUUUAUAUUUCUAGUUCAUUUCCUUUCAAAUAGAGUUGCUCUGAACUAUGGCUGUUGGCUAUGAGAUUUUCUUGUUUAAGUUAGUAAUUAAAUUUGGAGAUGUUGUGAUUUGGGGAGCACGAAGGCUCCAGGAGUUUAAGGUUGGAUUUGGAUUUUUCAGAAGUGUUUGCAGGUAUUUAUUAGAAAGGGUUGUCCAUUUUCAAGGGAGGUUGUGCCGAUUUUUCGGUAAACUUUCCUUGGAGGUGGUCCCCGCAGGAUUUACUUCGGGUUUCAGGGUGAAAUUCGGGGUGGGUCUUGAUAGUUGGUAUCAGAGCACUAGGUUAUUCGUUUCCUUUCUCAUUUUAGUACUACCUCAUAUUCUUGGUCAUGCUUAGUGUCUAUAGAGUGAUGGUCCGACCGCGGCGGAUCUAUUAGCAUUAUAUGCUUUAGACACUAUGUGUUGAUUAGGUUUGUGAUGUAGUUGUUCUUGUUUUAUUUAUGGUCAGUAUUAUGCCAUAAAUAUCUAUAUCUUCAAGACUAUGCCUCCGUACGCUGACCUUUUAGGUAAUCUUUAUGUUUCGUGUAAUAUAAAGGUAUAUUGAUUACGCCUUUUCCAAGGAUAUUCGAGUUGAUAUCAUAAAUUAUUAGAGUUUAAUUGCGAGUUGGGAACUCCAGUUGGGAACUCAUAAGAGUGGUAGCAUUCGUUUCAUUUGAUCAAUGAUUGUUUGGGUAAUGAUUAAGAUGCUGAGGGGAACAUCUUGUGCGAAUCUGUAGUACGUGAAACGUUUGAUUCGACGGAUGUCUUGAGAGUUUUCUAUUUUUGGUGGGCAAGUAAAGAGCUGUGGUAAUCCGAUAGAAAAUCUUGGCAUCUAGUUACGUGACUUCUGAAAGAAAAGAGUUGGAAAGAAAGUUUGGAGUAGUGGUGUACUCUAUAGAUUUAAAGGUUGGUGGAAGUGAUGUGGUGAGGUACCCAUAGUAAUUCGAAGAGGUACCUAUACGAGUCGAUGAGGACUCUAAUUUUGGGCUGAUUAGUCACGAGGGAUUGUGUGGCUAAUAAAAAGGCUAUCAAUUUAGAGAAGUCUUGAUUCUUGACCAAAUUCCCAACUGCUUUAUCCGCAGCGAAAGUUAGUUGGGAUUGUUUUGGUUAAUGCUUGUUAUGGUCGCGCAUGUUCUGGCCGUACAACUCUAAUUAAGGAUAUGUUUUUAUCCUUGGAAUCAUCAUAUUAAACAGUAAAAUCGGAGAAUUUAGGAGAAGGAGGUUAGCAGCAGUCGGCGGAUAGUAAGAUUUUUUGAUGAAUUUCGCCUAAAUUAAAGAUGGAUUAGUUGAAGUUGGUUUUACAACAGUCAUUAGUCAAUGGCAUUAUGGCAAACUUGAUGUUGUGUCGUGGUCGGGGAAUUAUUAGAAAUUGAAUGGUGUCAUCAAAAGUUUCGAGUUUUGAGUUUCGAGCAAGCUUUAAAGCGUUGAGCGACUUCUGUCAGCUAUAGUAUUUUAAUCGUGGGCCGUUGUAGAUUCUUUCGGAAUUCUAAGUGUUGAAGUUGGAUUCCAGUUUUGUUGAGUGUUUUGGGAAGAAAAUAAAUUUAAAUGAAAUUGAAAAGUAAUGGUGGAGUGAGAGCGGAUGGUUGUGGUCACUCCGGUUUUACGACAACAUCUGGUGAAUUUGUGAUGUGUUGUCAGGGGUAUUCUAAAAUAGUUGUGUAGAGCUGGUGGAAGUGGUAGCAGUGGAAUAAAACCCACUGGAUCUUGGAGCAAGACUGUGUGGGUGUCCAUAGUAAAUUUCAAGCUGCAUUGUUUUAAGUAGUGAUGUAUGUCUCAAAUUUGUGAUCGAAGUUGGUUUUUGAUAUCAUUUCGUUCACAAUGGGUGACUAAUUACGACACAACAAUGAGAGGAUUUGUUCUCGCCUUAUUUCUAAUUCAGUGAGAUGGAGUAAGGUUUUGGUUGUGGUGUGUGUGGGAAUAUUUCAAUUAUUCCUACUGUAGUUUGUGGGUAGCAUCCUCAGAGCUUGAAAUUAUGGAAUGCGAUUUCAACGCUUCGAUUUGAAGGUUAGAGAUUAUGGUUAGUUUGUCGAAUUUUUGAGGCAAAUCAUAAAUUGGUAGUUGUGUCGUAGUCAUGGAGUUCAUUUAAGCGAUGAGUCUUGAUGCCGUAAAUCCUAUGUGGUAGUUUGAGAGUUGCACGGUGAUGUUCAUUUGAUGGUUUGUGCCGUUAUAGACAUGUUGUAGCCUUAUGGAAAAGGGUUUUUCCCUGUUGACUCAAGAAGCGUCUAGAGGUUUAUUAAGAGUUAUAAUAUUGAGGGUAGUAGAUAUGGGGAUAGGUUGAACGAUGUCUCUUCUCGAGAUCGUAUUGUGGUGGGACCACUUAUUGAUCCAAGUUUGAUUUGGGAGAUCUUUGCUUUUUGGUGGUGUGUUCAUCCAUUGGUGUCAGGAUGAUUAGUUGAGGUUUCUAAUGCGAUUUUGAAACGGUUCUGGCGGAUAUCGGAGAUUUGUGGAGCUUUUGAGCUCGAAGUUAGAGGACUUGCCUUUCGUGUGCUUUAAGUUAUUUCUUCUGGAACUUGAGCUGAGUUUAGCCUUGAGUUUUGAUUCUUGCUUGAAUUCAUGGUUUUCAUUGGUUGGAGAACCACAAAAUGUGGUAAUGGGUCUUGUAUAAAAUUUAUCUUUGCAUUUGAUAGUUGCAUGAUUCUGCAUGCUCGGUUAUCAAAGAAUUUUUUUGGUGGGAAGCCGUGGCCCUAGGCGGUGUAGGAGACUUGAGCAUAUUUGUUUUUCAGAUCGUCUUCUGCUAUUAGACUAAUCGUUAAGAAGUGUAUUUGUCGGGUGCAAAGGUUUUGGCUUUUAGAAUCAUUCUUGUGGAACGGCUAGAGUGAGCCAUGUGCUUUUAAUUGUUGCACUUAGGGUCGCAGUUGCACCCGAAUAAUUAGCAUGGUUGGAGAUGUAAAUUUUGUCAAUGCUUAAAGAAGGUGUUCUAUUUAUGUGGAUUUCAACAUCAAGUUUAGCAUCACGAAUUGACUGUGCCAAUUUUUCAUGGGCAUUAUUAGUCAGUUUUGUUUAUGGCGAGCAUGGGGGAAUUUCUAGUUUCCACAUGAUAGUCAUGUUUCAGAUUGUCUUCUGAUUUGUGGUAAAGAGAUUGGUAGAGAUAGCAGAAUCAAGAGAGAGUUGGAUUUCCUAUAAGCUGCUAGUUUGUGGUGCAUAAAAUGGUAAUGUAAUAGUUUUGGUGGAGAUACCUAAGUGACGUGGUAUUGAUCUUUUCAUAAUGUUAUCUCGAAAAUCAAGGUUAUCAUAUGUUGGUGGACUGGUCACUGAGGCAAAGCAAAGCUGUCUUGUGGACUUGCGAGGGCUUUGACUCCACGAAAGACUUUGCGAGGUGUCUCGGUAUUAAAAGUGAUUGUUACAGUUCUGCAGUGUGUGCAUCCUUAAAUCUGUUCAAUUAGCAGGUCUUAAUUUUGACCCCUAUGAGCAUGUGGGAAUGUGUGAACUUUAGUUUUUUUAGCAAGUUGGCUUCGACGCUGAGUUUGUGAGUUGCAUAAUGACUAGUUUGUUGUAUGUCAUUAGGAGAUUUAAGCCUGGCAGUGAUAUUGAAUUUUUCUCUGUAUUAGCUAUUUUAAGUUUCUUAAUGAAACAAAUUGUGAUUUGUUGUCGAUCAAUGAUCAUUACCUUUGGCUCGUUCAGUUUAAAAUUUCGAGCACGAAAUUUUUAUAAGGAGGGGAGAUUGUAACAUCCCGGACCCAAAUUUUACCUAUUUACUUAGUAAGUUAACACUCGAGUUUAUUUGCGAGUUUUUCUGGAAAUGUCAAACUCUUCUUUUAAGGUCCCGAUGUCGUAGUUCAAGUCGAUUCGAGUUCUUCGGUGUCUUCAGAAUUGUUUUACGGAGCUCCGGAUUAUUUUUCUAUGUUUUAUCAUAGGUUUGGUACUAGGAUUAUUCUUACUGAGAUUAGGGUAUAAAUUUUUUUCGAGUUUUAAAGGAAAAGAAGUGGUGGACUUCGGUUAAAAGCCCAAAGUGGGUGUUGACCAGCUCUCCCACUCCUCUCCCCGACUCCCUCUCUCUCUCGUCUCUCAGUCUUGCCGCGCCGGAGUGGCGCCGUCCGGCCACCUAUGACGACAAGACCCCCACCAAUUCUCUUCCUCUCCCUCUUCUUUACAACGUCUAGCUUUCAGUUCACCCGUGCCUGAACUUUGGAAGGAGAUUGACGGGAAGAAGCACAACGGCCCUCCGGCGAUUCUUGUCGAUGUCGGCCAUGACUUGGCACCCGAACGGUAGGGUUCGUCUCCUCUAUCCUUCUUCCUUCUUUCUCUGCCUUUGACUCUUCAAAACGAGUUCAAAUUCGGGAGCCCCUUUUUGUGUUUUUAGGUUUUCGUCGGGGUUUUCCGGCGAGUUCGUUCUUGGAGCUCCGGCGGGACUACCGAGCUCCGGUGAGUCUAGAACCGGUUGAAUGGAGCCCAGACACGUCUUGGGAAGGGUUGGAGGAAGCGACGGUGGUAUUGAACCGAGGUAGAGGCUUUCCGCCAAAGGGAGGUCCCCUGUUCUUCUAUUGGUUCUAUGUUUUAUGGUGUGACGUGAGCGUUCGACGCGAGCGUAGUAGCCCUAUAUGAGUGUUUAAUUCAUAUAGUGGGUAUGGGCACAUAUUUAUACACCCGUCUGUCCACCUUAAUGGCGUAGUGUAGCACCGCAUUAAGGCGUGACGUGAGCGUUGGACGCGAGCGUAGUAGCCCUAUAUAGACCCAUGAAUUUAUAUAGGGAGUAUGGACGUGUGUAAAUACAUACAUAUAUUUUUUUUAGAGUCUGAGAGACUCGAUAUUUAUGGGAUAAAAGUUCUAUCGCUUGCAGCAUGCAUUCAACUUUCCUUAGAAAUUGAUUUGGGGAAACAUAAAUAUUUUAUUCGUUAAUUUAUUUUUAUCCACUCACUCUAACGUUUCGUUUUCAAAUGUUUUUCCCCUGGGCUCUUCGUUUUAAAAAUGCCCAGUUUGCAAGAUUGCAUAGUUGUGGUCGGACGUAUUUGGAGAAGAGGCAUAGUCAAUAGUGUUGCUUCUGCUCAUUUUUAUAUUUCUAGUUCAUUUCCUUUCAAAUAAAGUUGCUCUGAACUGUGGCUGUUGGCUAUGAGAUUUUCUUGUUUAAGUUAGUAAUUAAAUUGGGAGAUGUUGUGAUUUGGGGAGCACGAAAGCUCCAGGAGUUUAAGGUUGGAUUUGGAUUUUUCAGAAGUGUUUGCAGGUAUUUAUUACGAAGGGUUGUCCAUUUUCAAGGGAGGUUAUGCCGAUUUUUCGUUAAACUUUCCUUGGAGGUAGUCCCCGCAGGAUUUACUUCGGGUUUCAGGGUGAAAUUCGGGGUGGGUCUUGAUAUUUACCGUCUUCGUCAAUGAGUUUAUAGUUUAAAUAGUCCCUAGAGAGGUUUUGAGGGACGAUUAUUUCGGAGGAAAUAUUCGUAGGAGAAAAUUGUGACGACGGUAAAAAUAGUAAAUUUCAGCUAGUAAAAGGUAAUUUUUAUUGGGGUAUUAUUUUUGGGGUGUUUUAUUUGUGGAGUUGGGUUUAUUUGGUGGUAUUGGACCGGUUAAGAGUAGAAACCCAAACCAUUUCUCUCUCUUCAUCUCUUCUUCCUCCUGACUCUCUCCCUCUCCCGCUGUAGGAUUUUUCGUCGCCAGCCUGCCGCCAUCCGGCCACCGUUCGCCGCCGCACCGGUCCCAAACAGUCGGCCGUCCACCUAGCUGUCUCCCUGGACCGGUGAGAGCCGCCCUAGCGCGCCGUGAGGGAGAGUUGCCGCUCGAAACCUCCGGCUGUCCAAAGCUCUCCAUCGUCGGAACUCUCUCCUCCGGCCGCCAUAGCCGGAGCAGCUUGGCUCAAAAGAAAGCCCUCCUCCCGAGCAUUCAUCCCUCCAAAGGUUCCACUCCCCCUUGGUCUAGGUAAGGAGAAAGGUGGAGUAGAAAUUCUAGGGCUUAUGUAAUGUUUUCGUUCGAUUGGCAUAGUUAGACUUGGAAUUGGGUAUUGUGCUAGUUAAGAAAGUUGUAGGGUGAGUUGAGAGGAAGAUACUGUCAAAUUUUGGUAGGCAUUGGAGGUCGUCGGAGUCGGCCGCCGGCCGCUGCUGCCGGCGGAGCAGACGGCGGCUCUGCCGCUGUUAAGGGGUUUUUCAUGGUUUUAAGUGUGUUAUAUUAAGGGGAGUUUAAUGGUAUGAAGUUUAGAAUUCUUGGAAGAGUUUUGAAUAAGUUUUGGAUUUUUGAAAGAUUGGUGAAUUUAGCGGUUAAUGGGGUAGAAUCCGACCGUUGGAUUUUCCUUAUUAUUGUUUUAGAAUGUUGAAAUAAAGGAAAUAAGGCUGUGGUUGGAAUUUAAUGUGAAUUCGAUAAGCUUAACCCUAGAAAGGGUAGUGGGUUAGGCGGAAGAGUUUUAGGUUAUAUAUUUAAGUAUUAUUUAUUUCUAAAAUUGAAGUUUGAUCCUAAGCAUGGUUAUUGUGCCAGGAUUCAAGGAGACCUUACUUGAGUGGCGAAUUGGAUUUGAUCGGGCUUAUGGCUAAAGUUGUGAGGGGACUUUUGUUUUAAAUAAUAUGCAUGCAAUGAUUGAUUGUUAAGCAAUUUAUUUUGUUGGAGCAUUGACGUCAUUUUAUUUUGACGAUUUUAUUUUUCGUUUGAAGAGUUACUGAAAAUGGGAUUUUCGGCAAAUAUAAUUAUAUAUUGAUGAGGAGAGUAUGUAUAUAAAUGCUAGCUAGCCAUUUGUGUCUAUCCAGCUUAAUGGCGUAGCAUAUAACCGUAUUAUGGUGUGACAUGAGCGUUGGACGCGAGGGUAGUAGCCCUAUAUGAGUAUCUAAUUCAUAUAGGGGGUAUGGACACAUAUUUAUACACCCGUCCGUCCACCUUAAUGGCGUAGUGUAGCACCGCAUUAAGACGUGACGUGAGCGUUAGACGCAAGCGUAGUAGCCUUAUAUGAAUUUCUAUUUUUCUUAUAUUUCCUUCAUAGAAUUCAUAUAAGGAGUAUGGACGUGUGUAGAUACAUACAUAUAUAUUGAUGGAUAUAUAUUAAUUUACCCUGAGAGGCUCUAUUUUAUAAAGCUUUGGAGACUAGCCGGAGCUAGUCGUGUUAUUGCCAGUUUAUGAGUUGAGAGCUUUUGAGCUUGUUGCAUACAGCAUAAUUUCUGUGGAAAAUAAAUGGGAAUGCAUAAAUAUUUUUAUUGAAUUCAGUUUUGUCCACUCACUCUAACAUUUUCGAAUAUUUCCCCUGGGCCCUUCGUUUUAAAAAUGCCUAACUUGCAGGUUAGCUUAGUUGAGGUCGGGCGUAUAUGGAAAUGAGGCAUAGUCCAUCAUAUAGCUUCCGCUUGUUAAUUUAUUAUGUUUCCUUUCUUCCUAUUAGAGUUGCUCUGAACCUAUAAAUGGUUGGAUAUGGGAUUUGUUUAGAUUAGUAAAUAAAUUGGGUGGUGUUGUGAUUUGGGGAGCACGAAGGCUCCAGGUUUUUAAAGUUGGAUUUGGAAUUUUAGAAGUGUGUGCAGGUGCUUUUAGGAAGGGUUGUCCAUUUUCAAGGGAGGUUAUGCCAAAUUUUCGGUGAAUUUUCAGUAAAUUUUCCUUUGAGGUGGUCCCCGCAGGAUUUACCUCGGGUUUCAGGGUGAAAUUCGGGGUGGGUCCUGACAACUAAGGCACACAUUCACAAGUAAGACACACAAUCACCACUAAGGGUCCAAGGCACCAAUAAUCACAUCAAUAGAACUAAAAAUAUUAUGGUCACAAGAACCUUAAAAAUAAUUAUUUAAAUCAUCAUAAUCAUUAUCAACAUCAUCAUCAUCAAAAUCAUCAUCAUAAUAAUUAUAAAUAAUUGGUCUCAAAAUGAACCUUGGUGAGAUUUUACUCACCUAAAUAAUCCCGCUGCGUCUUCAACACAAAACACAUUUCACAAGUCACCUAUAAUUACACAAUUAAUAACCUUAGUAACCAAAGUACCAUAGGAUAUCAAACACCCUUAAACUAAACCUUAUCCCAAAAGAGGACAACCUUCCAAGGUCAUCGAAUUUAACAACCCAAAACUGCUGCUUCUAAUUCUCAAAACAGAAACUCAAACCUUGCACAAGUCUAAGAUUAACCAAAAAGUCCUAGCAAGAAAUAAUGGUAACCAAAACCUACAACCCAUAUAUCAACACGUUUGUAUCGAAGAGUACUACCUAACCAGCACCAUAAAACACUCCAGACACUACCGGACGCGCUGCCAUGCGCCGCCAUAGGCGACGGCGAGUGGGCCCUAUGCGCCACCCUACCAACCUUCGAAUUAGGGCAAACUCACAACACAAAACUUGUAGAUUGAAGAGCGGGAAGCAUCUUUUAUACCUAAGGUUUCGCCUCAAUCAGCUGGAAAACACCGAGAAACUUGCCGAAAGGUUGGCAUCCACCACCACCACUCUACACCGAGAGUCGAGCUUCAAGACCACCAGAAGUCGAACCAGGACGCCAAGGAGCUUCUAUCCCGACCGGUUUCCAGCCUCGUCACCGCCGUCAGAGGUGAGAAUUCCGGUCGGGUUGCAAACCAGGUCGCUGCCCUCACUGUGGCGCUCAAUUAGCACCGAUCCGGUCGAGUCUUCCUCACUCACCAACACAACGAGGAUUGCGCUGAGGAGAGGAAGAGUUUCCGACUAGUGCCGCCGUCUAAGUCGGCCGGAAAAGUCAGGUCAGGUCGACCGGGUCUAGGUCGGGUCAGCUGAAGAACUUUGAUAGCUACAGUUCGGGGAGAGAGAGAGGGAAAGGGAGAAAGAAAUGGUUCCGGAAAAAACGAAAAGGAAACCUAAAACUUUUCUUAUUUAACCCCAAAUUCCUGUAAAGCCACGAACUUCCACUGACCGUAACUUUCUCAUACGAAGUCCGUUUUACUCGUGCCACGUGUUUACAAACUUGUAUCGUCGUGCUCUACAACUUUCGUGAAGAAAGUUUCUCAAGAAACCCAACAGAUUAGAAAGUCAACUCUUGACUCUUGAAAACCAUAAAACCGUUUUGGGUGACUUAUGCAUCCGAACACUUCCGCCCUUCCUUCGAACCUCAAAACACACUAACUUCUAACUCGAAAAUUCCUAAAUAAUAUUAGAAACUAAUACAUAGGAAUAGGCAUAUGUGUGUCAUGCUUUUGAGUCUUCCUUAACUAGUUUGCCUAUUGAACCUAGACCAUGGGAUCUCCAAUGUUGCUAGGUUAGGUUCCCGCCAAGUAAUGACUCAUUGUAUGGGCUUGAGACUCAUUCCCCUCGAUGUAAAUACAACUUGCUCUUUAGUUAGGCCUUUAGUCAAUGGAUCGGCUAGAUUUUCCUUUGAUUUGAUGUAAUCCAAUGCUAUAACUCCAUUGGAGAGCAAUUGUCGUACUGUAGCAUGUCGUCAUCUUAUAUGCCGAGAUUUCCCAUUGUACAUUUUGUUUUUGGCUUGAUGUAUGGCAGCCAUACUAUCACAAUGAAUACAAAGGGGUGUUAAAGGCUUAGGCCACAAUGGAAUAUCUUCAACAAAAUUUCUAAGCCAUUCGGCUUCUUUGGCAGCUUUAUCCAAAGCAAUGAAUUCCGAUUCCAUUGUUGAUCGUGCUAUACAUGUUUGUUUGGAUGACUUCCAUGACACAGCUCCUCCACCAAGUGUAAACACAUAACCACUUGUGGACUUACUUUCCGUACUACCCGAGAUCCAAUUUGCAUCACUAUAUCCUUCCAAAACAGGAGGAUAUUUUGUAUAAUGUAGACCACAGUUCAUUGUAUACUUUAAGUACCUUAAUACUCUUAUCAAAGCAUGCCAAUGGUCUAUACUAGGAUUGCUUGAAUAUCGACUUAAUCGACUUAUUGAAUAAGCCAAAUCCGGUCUUGUGCAAUUCAUAACGUACAUCAAGCUUCCUAUGAUUUGUGUGUAUUCCAGUUGAGACACACUCUCACCAUUGUUCUUUGCAAGCUUAUAUGUUGGAUCAAAUGGAGUCAUCAUCAUUUUAUCAUAAUAGUGUCCAAAUUUCUUUAGCACUUUCUCCACAUAAUGAGAUUGAGUGAGUAUAUAACCAUUACUAUCUCUUUGAAUUCUCACUCCAAGGAUUAAAUCUGCUAAUCCCAUAUCUUUCAUUUCAAAUUUGGAACUGAGCAUCUUCUUUGUGGAAUUGAUAAUGUCCUUGUUUGUUCCCAUUAUCAACAUGUCAUCCACAUACAGACAUACAAUGAUACAAGCAUUUUUGGUUUGCUUGAUAUAAACACAAUUAUCACACUCGUUUAUGGUAAAUCCAGAAGACAACAUUGUAUAAUCAAACUUCUCAUGCCAUUGUUUUGGGGCUUGUUUAAGUCCAUAUAACGAUUUAACAAGUUUGCAGACUUUCUUCUCUUGCCCUUUAACAAUGAAGCCUUCAGGUUGCUCCAUAUAGAUUUCUUCCUCUAACUCACCAUUUAAGAAUGCCGUUUUGACAUCCAUUUGGUGUAUCUCGAGAUCAUAUAUAGCAACAAUUGCUAUUAGCAUUCGAAUGGAAGUAAUUCGAGUGACAGGGGAAUAGGUGUAAAAGAAAUCAAGACCUUCUUUUUGUCGAUACCCUUUUGCAACUAGUCUUGCUUUAUAUUUGUCUAUGGAACCAUCUGGUUUUAACUUCUUUUUGAAUAUCCAUUUAUAUCCAAUUGGUUUGUUUCCAGGUGAUAAAUCAACCAAUUCCCAUGUAUGGUUAUUCAUAAUGGAUUCCACUUCACUUUGAAUUGCUUCCUUCCAAUAAGGUGCUUCUACAGAUUCCAUUGCAGCCUUAUAUGUCUGAGGUUCUUGUUCAGUUAGAAAAGUCAGAAAAUCUGAACCAAAGUCUUUUGCAACUCUUGCUCUUUUACUUCUUCUUGGUUCCAAUUCUUGCUCUUGAACCUUUGAAAUAGAAGCAUUGUUAUUAUUUUCCUGUGUUUUUGGAUCUUCAUGUACUCUCUUCUUUGUAGUACUUGAUCUAUCUUUGUAUGGAAAUAUAUCCUCAAAGAAUUCAGCUUCAUUGGACUCAAGAAUAGUGUUCACAUGUACUUCUUCAUUUCCAGAUUUGUGAACUAAAAAUCGAUAUGUUGCACUGUUAUUUGCAGGUCCAAUAUAUACACAGUCUACUAUUUUUGGUCCAAGCAUUUGCAUCUUUGGAGGAGGAAUUCUAACUUUAGCAUGGCAACCCCACACUUUCAUGGUUUUAUAUGUAGGCAGCCUACCUUUCCAGAUUUCAUAUGGGGAUUGAUCAUUCCUUUUAAGAGGAAUUUUAUUCAAUAUUGAGUUUGCAUACAGAAGACCUUCACCCCAUAAACUGUGUGGAGCACCUGAACUGUUUAACAUGGAAUUUAUCAUUUCUCUUACGCUCAGCAACUUCAUUUUGCAUUGGAGUGUAGGGUUUUGUUGUUUGAUGAACAAUUCCAUGUGUGGAACAAAAUUCAGAGAAUUCAUUUGAUAUGUAUUCUCCACCACGAUCUGAUUUGAGUGUUUUUAUCUUCUUGUCUAAUUGAUUUUCAACUUCAGCUUUGUAUAUCUUAAACAUACUCAAAGCUUCAUCUUUACUAGUUAUCAAAUAGGCAUAGCAGAAUUUGUUGCAAUCAUCAAUGAAUGUAAUAUAGUAAUUCUUUCCAGAUCGACUUGGAGUUGAUUGGAAGUCACAGAGAUCAGUAUGAAUCAAUCCAAGUACUUCGUUGGAUUUUUCAACACAUUUGUAAGAGUGCUUUGCAUACUUUGAUUCAACACAGAUUUCACAUUUAUGUUCAUCAGCAUUAGUAUUGCUGUUUGAGAUGCAUUCUAACUUAGGACUGCAUUUUGGUAACAAUCCCAAGUUGAUCAUCCUGUCUAGACAACGAUAAUUCACAUGACCUAAUCUUGCAUGCCAUAAAUCAACUGAAUCAAGUAAGUAGAUAGAAGCAGUGCUAUUGCCUGCAUUAUUAUUAUUAAUAUCAGCCGUAGGAAUUACAUUGAGUUUGAACAGCCCCUCAGAUAGGUAGCCUUUUCCUACAUACAUUCCACCCUUGGUGAGUACAAACUUAUCAGAUUCAAAUAGUAACUUAAAGCCUUUGUUGAUAAGAAGAGAACCAGAAAUCAGAUUCUUUCUAAUCUCAGGGACAUGGAGCACAUUGGUCAGUGCAAGUUCUUUUCCAGAAGUGAGUUUCAGUAUCACUUUUCCUUUCCCUUCAACUACAGCAGUACUAGAAUUUCCCAUGUAAAGAUUUUCUCCACCAGAUCCUUGCUCAUAUGUUGCAAACAUGCUUCUUUCAGCACAAACAUGCCUUGAUGCACCUGUGUCAACCCACCAGUCAUUGGUAUUGGUCAUUAGAUUGACCUCAGAUACAACAACAACAAAUUGAUCUUCUGCCAUGUUUGCUUGAUUAUUAUUUCCGGCAGGUCUGUCCUUCUCUUGGCGACAAUCCAUGGCUUUAUGACCAGGCUUACCACACACUCAGCAAGAACCUUGAAUUUUCUUUUUGAACAUAACAGCUUUUGGGGCAGUAGAUGCUCUCUUGGCAGCAGUUUUUCCCUUCUUAUGAUUGUGAGAAAACUUAGGCUUGGAGGUGCUACCUUCAAUCACAUUGGCUUUUGCUUCCAUUGAGGACCAAUCGGUUUUUUCAUUCUUUCUGUUCUCUUCCUCCACACAAAGCUUGAGAAUGAGUUGCUCAAGGUUCAUCUCUUUAGAUAGGUGCUUGAGGUAUAUCUUGAAAUCCUUCCAAGAGGGAGGCAGCUUUUCAAUAAUGGAAGCAACAAGAAAGUCUCAUUGAGUCCCAUACCUUCAGCAAGUAAUUCAUGAGCAGUAAUUUGGAGUUCCUCCACUUGCUUCACCACAGAAUUGGCAUCACUCAUCUUAAAAUUCAGAAAUUUUCCAACAACAAACUUCUUGGCACUUGCAACCUCAGACUUGUAUUUCUUGUUCAAAGAAUCCCAUAGCUCUUCUGCAGUUUUGAAUGUUGAAUAAACAUCAUACAAUGAAUCAUCUAAGGCAUUCAGAAUAUAAUUCUUACACAGAAACUUGUUUUGCUCCCAAGCUUCAACAGCCUUAAUAGUUGCAUCUAGGAUAUCACCCUCUACUGGCAAAUCUGGAGCCUCAGAUGUAAUCACUUAUGCCAAGUUCAGUGUUGUUAGAUAAAACAACAUCUUUUGCUGCCAUCUUUUGAAGUCCACGCCUUUGAACACAAAUGGCUUCUCAAUAUGGUUCUUAACACCAACAGCAGUAGGUUGAUCCAUCACAAUUGUAAUAGAAUUUCUGUCUUAGAUUGUUAGAACAAGGGAACAAUCAGUUAUGGAACAACCCAAUCAACACCAGAUGUUGUGUUAAAAUCUUAUAUUUAUACUUUAAUUACAACAAUAAGAACACAAUUCCUAAUCUAUGAACACAGUAAUAUCAGUUGAAACAAUGAAUUGAAAUCAAAACAAAAUUGAGAGCAAUGAAACUGACUUGAUGAUUUUGAUAGAGGCUUGCUUGCAGCAAUCUCCUAAGACAGAAAUUCACCCCUACACUUGUGCACGUAGAUCUUGGACGUCUGUCUUGUAGGAUACAACUAUCGAACCCAAUCGAUGCACUCCGGUUGAAUCCCUGGCAAACUCUACUUUGUGUUUCUCAUAAAUAUUAAGGGGAGAAGAGAGAGGAGAACUGAAUGAAUCUCCCAUCUGCUUGGGCUGAUUGUCUUUAUAAAGAUGAAGGACAACUUUUGGGGAAUAGAGGUGUAGCUUCAGUUGUUCUGGUUUGAAACCCAGAAGACACAACCUUCUGUUCGUACUCAACUCUUCCAAUAGAUAUAAUCUCUUCCAACAAAUAUCUAUUAUUAUCCAAAUAAUAAAAACAGAUAAUAAUAAUAAUAAAAGCAGAUGGUAAAAUGGUAAAGUAAAAACACAGAUGGUUAAUUCUAAUUUUUACCCCACAUUCUCCAACACAAAUCCUAUACAUAUCGACAUUUAGAGAUACUUGCUGGGAUAAAGCUUAAGGAAUAAGUAGGAAAAGUAGAUGGUAGUCAAAUUUAGCAGUACUAGAGAUGAUAUUGGUAAAAAGCUUAUGUGCUACGACCAAGAUUCUUGUUAUAAUAGAAGAAGAACAGAAGAAUCCAGAUGGCUAUUUGUAUAGCUACAAAGGACAUUUAACACAAUUUAAGGAGGCAAGACUGUAAUUGACAUGACAUGAAUGGAUUAAACAAGACGAAAAGAAAAAGUCUGUUGUGCAAAGGCUAGGUUAUAUCAAGAUUAAAGCAUCCAAAACAAAUGAUACUUUUUACAAUGAACAAGUUGGUAAUUCUGCAUUCAUAUCAUCACAAGUGAAAGGGAUUAAAGUCCCGAAGAAGCAUCAUAUGGAUGAGAACUCAAUAAGAUUCAAGUUUGACAAGCGAACAAAGCUGGCCAAAUUACAGUCAAGAUCAAACAAACAGAAAACAUUCCAACACAAUCACACCUAAACAUAGAUACUAGAAUAGAAUCAAAGCUAUAAAUAAAAUUAUGCUUUCCCUACCUCAAAUCCUACAUAUCAGUAGCAAUCUCCAAAAGCAAUCAUGCAAGCACCCAACAAUUCCAAAGCAAUCCACUCUAUACCAUAGCAAUCCAGCCACCUGAUACAGAAGUUUUCAUAUACGAAUUCAAACUCCCCUCUAAUCGAAGAUAGAUUAAUCGAUUACAAGUAGUUUUGGAAGAUCAAGAAAUUAAUUGAACUUACAAGGAUCAAGCCUUUGUCUAGAUGGAGAAACUCUGAAAUUCUAGAGCAAUGGAUUAGUGAAUAUCCACUUUAGUCUCUUGAAAACUAGAUAAAACUUUGGGUAAGUGAUGGGACGACAUUUUUGAGCAAAGCAGAAGUGCGAAGAAAGAAAAGAACAAAAAGGAGUUCGUGUAUGGUUCAAAUGAAAUCGUACAAGGAAGGCUUGAAUCACCGACACAGAUGAAGAAGCGUGUAUGGUUCUAGAAGGUAGUACANNNNNNNNNNNNNNNNNNNNNNNNNNNNNNNNNNNNNNNNNNNNNNNNNNNNNNNNNNNNNNNNNNNNNNNNNNNNNNNNNNNNNNNNNNNNNNNNNNNNNNNNNNNNNNNNNNNNNNNNNNNNNNNNNNNNNNNNNNNNNNNNNNNNNNNNNNNNNNNNNNNNNNNNNNNNNNNNNNNNNNNNNNNNNNNNNNNNNNNNNNNNNNNNNNNNNNNNNNNNNNNNNNNNNNNNNNNNNNNNNNNNNNNNNNNNNNNNNNNNNNNNNNNNNNNNNNNNNNNNNNNNNNNNNNNNNNNNNNNNNNNNNNNNNNNNNNNNNNNNNNNNNNNNNNNNNNNNNNNNNNNNNNNNNNNNNNNNNNNNNNNNNNNNNNNNNNNNNNNNNNNNNNNNNNNAACAUGUAACCUACUGAUGAAAACUGGUGGAAAUGCGGGUGACUAUGCCUCGCCUCCUACUAGAUCCAAUCCGAACUCUGCAAACUGGGCAAUUUAAAACGAAGGCCCAGGGGAAAACAUUUAAUAACGUUAGAGUGAGUGGACAAAAAAAUAAAAUAAUAAAUAAAAUAUUUAUGUUUCCCCAAAUUAAUUUCUAAGGAGAAAAUCGACUGCAUGCCGCAAGCGAUGAAACCUUUAUCUCAUAAAAUAUCGAGCCUCUUAGACUCUAAAAUAUAUGUAUGUAUUUACACUCGUCCAUACUCCCUAUAUAAAUUCAUGGGUCUAUAUAGGGCUACUACACUCGCGUCCAACGCUCACGUCACGCCUUAAUGCGGUGCUGCACUACGCCAUUAAGGUGGACAGACGGGUGUAUAAAUAUGUGUCCAUACCCCCUAUGUGAAUUAAACACUCAUAUAGGGCUACUACGCUCACGUCACACCAUAAUGCGGCUAUAUGCUACGCCAUUAAGGUAGACAGACACAUAUGGCUAGCUAGCAUUUUAUAUACAUACUCUCUCAUAAAUACAUAUUUAUAUCCACCGAAAAUCCCAUUUUCGGUAACUCUCCAAGAGAAAUAAAAUUCGUCAAAUAAAAUGACGUUAAAAUAUUCCGCAACAAUUAUUGUUCAACCAUGAACUUUAGCAUGCAUUUUAUUUAAAACAAAAGUCCACUCACAAAUUAGGCCUAAGCCUGACGUCGAUCUGGGGUCUCGUCUGCUCGAGCCUCCUCACGUCCUGAUCCAAAAAUAAUAUUAAUUUCCCAACUAAUAAUCCAAUAUUUAGUCAAAAUAGGCAAAAUUACCCGAGAGCCAUAAAUACGCUCAUCAUUGCCUAACUUCGAUAUUCUUAAAUCGGAACGAUCUGAACUUAAAUAUCAUACUCGACAGUCGUAACUACAACCUCCCCAAAAUACGACUUAAAUCAUACGGCCGGAUUCUACAUUAAUUAACCGCCAAAAAUACCAAACUUCGGAAAUUCACAAACCUAUCCAAAUCUCAUCCAAAAAUUCCAUAAAUCACAUCAAUAAUAUCCCCUUAAUAUUCCACAUUUAAAACCCUAAAAAUCUCCCAAACCGCGGCGGCUCCGCCGGCAGCGGCGGCCGGAGGCCAAUUCCGGCGACCUCCAAAACCUAUGAAAUUUUGACAGAAUAAUGCUCUCAUCAUGCUCUAAAACUUUCCUAACUAGCACAAACACCAAUUCCAAGCCUAACUAGGGUAAUCGACUAAAAACAUCAAAAACGCCAAAAAACUUCCACCUCAAAUUUCUCCUUACCUAGCUCAAGAGGGAGUGAGUCCUUUUAGGGCAAGGCUGCUGGGUUGGAGGGCUACAAAACCGAACCAAGCUUGCCCGGAUUGGUGGCCGGAGGAGGGAGUUCCGGCAACGUGAAACCUAACACAGUCGGACCUCUCGGGCCCGAUAUCUUCUUCACGGCGGCGCUAGGGGAGCUGUCACCGGUCCAAGAAGGUUUCUGGGUUGAUGGCCGACCGAACGGGACCGGUGCGGCGGCGGUUGGUGGCCGGACGGCGGUUGGCCGGCGACGGAAAGAUCGGCUGCGGGAGGGAGUUCGGGUGCGGGAAAACCGGGAGGGAGAGAGAGAGAAAAGAGGGCUGGGCUUGACCACCCCUUGGCCCGGUCCAACCUUCUUAUACCACCCAAAUCCAAAAUAAAACACCCCGAAAAAUAAUACCCGAAUAAAAAUUACCUUUUACUAGCUAAAAUUUACCAUUUUUACCGUUGUCAUAUUUUCUCCCACGAAUAAUUCCCCGAAAUUAAUCAUCCCUUAAAAUACCUCUAGGGACCAAUUAAACUAUUAAUUCAAUGACGGAGACGGUAAAAUUUUUAUUAUAAUUAAGCUAGUAAAUAAGGUAAAAAUAUAAGGGUCGGGAUGUCACAUAUAGUUUCUAAAUGGUGGCUGAAUCCUUCUAAACCCCAAACAUAUAUUUUCCAUAUAAAAAUAAUAAUAAAACAAAAGCUACAUAAACAAGAAUGUCUAAUUUGAAAUUAUAUUGCUAAAAACCAAAAUAGCACUAAAAAUCUAUUCCUAAUCAUAUAAUGAAACACACAAAGAAAAAAGAAUGAAACCAAUUAAAUUAAAUAACCUAUUAAAAAUUGAGAUCAUUACACGAGCUCUAGUACAAAAAUAUUCAAUGAUGUUGGGUCGUAGAUGAAUAGUAAAGCUACAUGCAAAUAUUGCAUAGCCUCAAGACGCAAUAGAAAGAUUGGUGCGUAUCAAUAAUGUUCGAGCGACAAACUAAAGUUGCUUGGUCGUAGCCUCAGUGAGACCGUAUUGCGUGUGAACAUGGGGUAUAAGACACUUCAACUUAUAUCCCAAUAAACUUCUUUAAAGAAUGGGUAGUGAGCCCGUAGAAGUAUAAGUAGCAUAAGUAGUAGAUAAUGGUGUAACACGUGACCAUUGUGUUAACACUUCAACCAACACCAUAAAGCAUAAAAAACUGUCCUCAAGUUGGUUGUAUCGAUUUACAAAAUUUGAUGUAAGAAUGAAAUAUUCUCUUUUGUGUCAUUUAGCAUAGGAGGGUCUCGCUCAUAAUUUAGCCAAAAAAUAGGCUUUCAAAACUAGCAAUGAGCAUUGCAGGGGGCCAAUGAGACAUCGAGGGAAGGCUGGUGCACCUCAAUUUCUUGAGGGAUUGACCAGACGGCCUCCGGGAAGUUAGAGCCGUGUUCGGGUGACGUUAAUGUCCCCCGGGUGCCGCCAUUUACCAUCAUGGCGUCACCAUCAUGCUUCAUGAAGAGGCUAGAUCCUGAAUGUCUUCGUUUUGAGCGGAAGAAUAGAUGUCCAUGAGAACUUCUCAAAAAUUCGGACCAUUAUAUCUUUUCCAGGAUGACCGAAUUGGUUAAACCAAAGCCUAUAUGAGUCGGUGUCCCAAAUAUCAUGUUUGGCGACAACAUGAGAUUCGAUAUUCGAAUCGUAGUGACAUACAAUCCACUAAAUUGACACAUGAACUUUUCCAAGAUGCACUUUAGUCCGCAUUCAUGAGAAGAUAUACACAAAAGAAUUCUUGUUCAUUCUCAUAAUGUGUUUUCAAAUGAAAACUAUUAACGUGAAUGUGUUUAAAGCUCAACAUGGUUCGGUUGCCUCUCAAUGCAUAG
Molecule: long non-coding RNA, 134635 nt
Filed under: Fragaria vesca (wild strawberry)
Lineage: Eukaryota; Viridiplantae; Streptophyta; Magnoliopsida; Rosales; Rosaceae
Description: long non-coding RNA (FVES_LNC001656)
Source: RNAcentral